RNAcentral lists this long non-coding RNA (98897 nucleotides) under Solanum tuberosum (potato). RNAcentral describes it as "long non-coding RNA (STUB_LNC007990)". The record is from RNAcentral. Lineage: Eukaryota; Viridiplantae; Streptophyta; Magnoliopsida; Solanales; Solanaceae.
AGGUGAAAAACCUUUCAAUGAAAUCGAUGGUUAAUAAGAAAAUAAAAUAAUAUAUAUAGAUAUAUGUCAGAAUUUUCCGAUAAAGACUCUUAUACCAUAUGAGAAAAAGCUUCUAUAAAUGUAUAAUAUGAGGAGUUUUAAAUAUUAUUUUUUUUGAAUUUGAAUGAAAGUACAGAUGAAAGAGAUAAAGUGAAGGUAAAACCAUGAGCCUUGCUCAUUCUGUAUUCUUUUAUUUAUAAGGGGAAUUUACAACAUUAACAAUUAGUAAAAGAAUAAAUACUAAAUAGAGUUCUACUACAUCUAGUACAUAAUAAGUUAACUCCAACACCCUCCCUCAAUCUGGACGGGAAGAAUGAACGUGAAGAUUGGUAGUGAGUUCACGAAAACGGCCAGCGAACAAAACUUUGGUGAACAAAUCUGCAAGUUGUUCAGUGGUAUGAACAUGAGAUACCACUAAGUCACCGUGACUAAUCUUUUCACGAACAAAAUAAUAAUACAAAGCAACAUGCUUGGUACGAGAGUGAAAAACUGGAUUAUGUGCUAGGUGGAUGGCUCCAAUGUUGUCACACUUCACGGAGACGGCGGAAGUAAGAAAAACACCAAGAUCACGAAGAAUGUAUUGAAGCCAUGUAGCCUCAGCAGUAGCAACAACAAGAGCGCUAUACUCAGUUUCAGUACUAGAGCGAGCAACGGUAGGUUUUUUCUUAGCGGACCAAGAGAUGAGAUUGGAGCCAAGAAAAAUGCAGAAACCAGUUGUGGAUCGUCUUGUGGCAGAGCAACCAGCCUAAUCCGAGUCACAAUAAAUACUAAGUGCAAGAGGAGAUUGUUUGUAUAACUGCAAUCCCCAAUCAGUUGUGCCACUUAGAUACCUGAAGAUGUAAUUGUCGCGGCUGGUGAAGAAAUUGAGAAGCAAGGUUGACAACAAAUUGAAUGUCUGGCCGAGUGAAAUACAAGUAAUGUAGGCUUCCAACCAUUGUACGAUAGGUAGAAGGAUAUUAAAGCAAAAGAGAAGAAGUGGAAUUCCAGUCAAGCUUGCUAUGAAGGGGAGUAAGUACAGAUUUACACUUUUCUAGUUUAAAGCAAUGAAGUAUAGAAGUAAUAUAACUAUGUUGUACCAAUAGAAACCCCAAUGAAUUAUGCUUCAGUUCGAUGCCAAGAAAGUAAUUAAGAGAGCCUAAGUCCUUCAGUGAGAAUUUCGUACUCAUAGAAGAGAUGAACUGAGAUAUCAAUGACUCUGAAGAGCCAACAACAGCUAUAUCAUCCACAUAAAUUAAAAGAAUUAUGCAAUCACCCCCCGAGCGAAAGAUGAACAUGCUAUGGUCCGAGAUACAUUGCUGAAAACCAAGAUCAAGAAGAGAACGAGCAAGACGAUGGAACUAGGCAUGCAGUGAUUGCUUGAGACCAUAUAGAGCACGCUCAAACUUGCAUACAUAAUGAGGAUAAUCUGAAUAUACAAAGCCCUUUGGUUGACGCAUAUAAACUGUCUCAGAUAACUCAUCAUGUAAGAAUGCAUUUGACACAUCAAGUUGACGCAUGAACUAGUUGUGUUGAAGGGCCAAAGAUGAGACCAAACGAAUUGUGCUAGGCUUGACAACAGGAGAAAAGGUCUCAAAAUAAUCCACUUCGGGCUUCUGCGAAAAACCUUGAGCCACUAACCGAGGUUUAAAUCUUUCAAUAGAGCCAUUGGCGCAAAAUUUAGUUCGAUACACCCAUUUAUUGCCAACAAUAUUUACAUUUGUUGGAGGAGGUACCAAUGUCCAAAUUUUAUUUUGGACAAGAGCAUCAAAUUCGACGAUCAUGGCUUUCAUCCAACGAGGAUCUUUAGAAGCUUGAGCAAAGGAUGUAGGUUAAGAUAAACUGGAACUAGUCGAAGCUAUCAAAGAAGGAAGAAGGCGUGGUUUAAGUGAACCAGUUUGGGAACGAGUUAUCAUGGGAUGAGAAUGUGGUUUUACGGUGGUUGGAGAGGAGGUAGGCACAAUAAUAUUGCUUGAGGAAGAUUGAUGUUGUGGUGGGUCUGCCUGGGAUAAAGCAACACGUUCAAAAGAAGAGUUUAGGGUAUUUACUGGAGAUUGAUUCGAAGGGGAGUGCAGAAGAUGUGAAGGAGAAUUUGGAGAAAAUGAAUUAGAAUUUUUAAGGUGAGAAUCAGGGGAUUGGAAUGUAGAACUCCGAGGACUUCUACUAGGUAUGAGAUGCUGCGUAUUUUCGGCGAGAGGAGUUAAUAAAUUAACAGAAUUAAUAUGUGGUGAAGCUCCUGUAGAACGUGUGAUAAGGAUUGGGAAGUAAGAAGACUUAGAGGUGUUAUCUAUAACAGUUUUCGAUGGAACGGAUUUGGGUGAGGUCGGUAUCUCAGUAUGAAAGAAGGUCUGAAAAGGGAAAUACUCUUCAACAAAAUGAACAUACCGAGAGAUAAGAACUCUAUUUGAACUAGGAUCCAGACACUUAAAGCCUUUGUGUUUAUCAGAUGAACCGAGGAAUAAACUAUUGGGUUUUGGGCCUUUUUCCCUUCCUAUGUGGAUAAAUAAAAGUCCAAGGUUUUGGGUCUUCCUUCCUUUUCUUUGUGGAUAAAUUCAGGCCAAAUUUGACUAGCCCACUUUACCCAUAAGCCCAAUAUUAUAGUGCAUAUGUAAGACUUUCUUUUAGCUCUUAUUUGAGAUGAUUCACAAGAGAUUCAGAGCAGCCACAUAGAGAGAAAAGUGAGAAAGUGCAGAUUUUCGCACAAGCCCUAGCAGCAAAUUUCAAAUCGCGAUUUCCGCUUCGUUUCUUAUCUGAUUGAGCUGAUUUUUGGACAACUUGUUCCUUUCAACUUGAUCUUUGAUUAGAAAUUGAGAAAGUGUAAUUUGGAGUCCUGUAGCUCCAGAUAUUUGCUCGUGAACAGUAGCUGCGGGUUUGGUGUUUUUGCUUCUUUUAUUUCUCUAGUUUUUGGUGCUAUCUUGUAGUUGUGGUUGCUCAUUGUUUGGCACUUUGUUGGUGGCCAUUUUGGAGAACACUUUUUUAACUUUUGUUGAUUAUAUUGGAGCUUUGGUCUUGUGGUUUUUACUCUUCACAUCGAAGAGGUUUUCCACGUUAAAUUUGGCGUCUCAUGUGUUGAUUUUCUUUGCUUGCUUUGGUUGAUUUGUUUGCUACCCCAAAUAGUUUAUUCUUGCAUUAUUUUGUCUUCUGUUAGUUCAAAUAGAAAUGGAAAGCUUUGACUUGAGUUUUCUUGUGCUAUUGCCCUGUCGUGCACAUUUAUUUUGUGCUUGCUUUUCCCAACAAAGUGGUAUCAGAGCAUUGGGUUGUUGUUGAUUAUCAAUUUGAAUGAUGAAGUCAAAUAUGAGAAAGAUGGUUUGUUUGAAUGGCAGUAAUUAUCAUACUUGAAAAGGCAAGAUGAAAGAUCUUCUAUUUGUCAAGAAAAUGCAUCUACCUGUGUUUGCUUCUAAUAAACCCGAAUCUAUGAAUGAUGAGGAUUGGGAAUUUGAACACCUACAGGUUUGUGGCUAUAUUAGACAAUGGGUUGAAGAUAAUGUUAGAAAUCACAUUGUGAAUGAGACACAUGCCAGAAGUUUGUGGGACAAGCUCGAGACACUAUAUGCUGCGAAGACUGGCAACAAUAAAUUGUUUCUUUUGAAACAAUUGAUGAACAUCAGGUAUAAAGAGAGCACUGUUAUUUCUGAUCAUAUUAAUGAUUUUCAGGGUGUUCUUGACCAAUUGUCCGGAAUGGGUGUAAAAUUCGAUAAAGAAAUUCAAGGACUAUGGCUUUUUAAUACUCUGCCAGACUCUUUUGAAACUCUUCUAGUUUCUUUGACUAAUUCUGCUCCCAGUGGUGUUGUGACCACGGAAUAUGCUAAGAGUGGUGUGUUGAAUGAAGAGAUGAGAAAAAGAUCUCAAGGUUUAUCUUCUUCAACUUCACACUCCGAUGUUUUGGUUACUGAAGACAAGGGGAGAAGCAAGUUUAGAGGUCAGAAUGAUAGAGAUAAAAGUGGAGGAAAGUCAAAGUCCAGAUUCAAGAAUGUUACAUGUGAUUAUUGCCACAAGAAUGGGCAUAUCAAGAAAUAUUAUUUCAAAGAGAGAUAUGAAACAACAAAAGAAAGAAGGCGAUAAUGGAAAUUGUGUUGCUGUUGUUGCUAACGAUGACCUUCUUGUUUCUUGUGAUGAAAAUGCCAUCAAUCUUGUUUGCAAUGAGUCUAGUUGGUUUGUGGAUUCUGGUGCUACUUCUCAUGUCACGCCCAGGAAGGAAUUAUUUUCUUCUUAUACUCCAGGUAACUUUGGGAUGUUGAAAAAUGGGCAAUAAUCAUGAAGUUGCGGUUCUUGGUAUUGGGACGGUUUGUUUGGAAAGUAAUAAUUGUUCCAAACUAGUUCUCAAUAAUAUCAAGCAUGCUCCAGAUGUUUGCUUGAAUUUGAUUUUUGUUGGAUACCUUGAUAAUUAGGGUUAUGUUAAUAUCCUUGGUGCUGGCCAGUGGAAGAUUACCAGAGGUUUAAUGGUGGUAGCCCAUGGUGACAAGUUGUCUCACUUGUACGUUUUUCAGGGCUCCAUUCUCAAAGGCUCAGUAAAUGUAGUGGAGAAUAAUACUUCAUCAUUUGUAUGGCAUAGAAGACUGAGUCAUACGAGCGAGAAGGGGCUGAAUAAUUUGGCUAAGAAGAAUUUGCUUCUGGAGUGAAACAAGCAAAGUUGAACAAGUGUGUUCAUUGCUUAGAUGGUAAACAGAAAAAAGUUUCUUUUCAGAGUCAUCCGCCUUCGAGAAAGCUUGAUUUGCUGGAGUUGGUACAUUCUGAUUUGUGUGGUCCUUUUAAGGUAAAGUCUCAUGGUGGUGCACUUUACUUUGUGACUUUUAUUGAUGAUCAUUCACGCAAACUCUGGGUAUUCUCUUUGAGUCCAAGGAUCAGGUACUUGAUGUGUUCAAGAAUUUUCAGGCCUUGGUUGAGAGACAGACAUGGAAGAAAUUGAAAUGCAUCCAUUCUGAUAAUGGUGGUGAGUAUAUGGUCUUUUUGAUAGAUAUUGUAGAGAGCAGGGUAUUCGUCAUCUAAAAACUCCUCCAAAGACUCCUCAGCUAAAUGGUUUUGCGAAGAGGAUGAAUAGAACUCUUGUUGAGAGGGUUAGAUGUAUGCUUUCAGAUGCUAAGCUGCCAGAUUCAUUUUGGGCAGAAGCACUUAAUACUGUUGCCUAUGUUAUCAAUUUAUCCUUUAUUUUUGCUUAGGAUAGUGAUGUCCCUGAUAGAGUUUGGUCUGGUAAGAAUGUUUCAUAUGAUCAUCUUAAAGUUUUUGGGUGUAAAGCCUUUUUGCAUGUUCCUAAAGAUGAGAGGUCAAAGUUGGAUGUUAAAACUAGAUAAUGUAUCUUUGUUGGUUAUGGUCAAGAUGAAUUCAACUAUCGUUUCUUUGAUCCAGUUGAUAAAAAAACUUGUUAGAAGCCGUGAUGUUGUGUUCUUGAAGACCAAACAAUUGAAGAUCUUGACAAAGAUGAGAAAGUUGAUUCUCAGAGCAGUGAGAGCCUAGUUGAUGUUGAUCCAGUUCCUUUGACUAUUCCACCAAGUAAAAAUCUUCAAGUUGAUAUUGAAGAUGGUGAUCAUAUUCAGAAUGACCAGUAUGUCGUUGAUGCUCCAGUGCAAGACGAUGUAGUUGGUCAGCAACCAACUAUUAUUGAUGCUCUAGAGAGUUCUCUCAGAAGAUCUACUAGAGAGAAAAUACCGUCAUCUCGUUAUUCUCCCAAUGAGUAUGUACUCUUGACUGACGGGGGAGAACUAGAGAGUCUUGAUGAAGCCAUGGAAAGUGAAGAAAAAUAAAUAUGGUUUGAUGCUAUGAAGGAUGAAAUGAAGUCUCUACAUGAUAAUCAUACCUUUGAUUUAGUUAUGUUACCUAAAGAUAAAAAAGCUUUGAAAAAUAGGUGGGUUUUUAGGGUGAAACAUGAAGAUGGCAACUCGGUUCCAUGGUACAAGGCUAGAUUAGUUGUGAAGGGCUUUAACCAGAAAAAGAGAAUUGAUUUUGAUGAGAUAUUCUCUCCAGUUGUGAAGAUGUCAUCCAUCCGUGUGGUUCUAGGCUUGGCUGCAAGUCUGGACUUGGAGGUUGAACGGAUGGAUGUUAAAACUGCUUUUCUCCAUGGUGACUUGAAUGAAGAAAUUUAUAUGGAGCAGCCGGAAGGCUUUGAAGUCAAGGGAAAAGAGAAUUAUGUUUGCAAAUUAAAGAAGAGCUUGUAUGGUUUAAAACAAGCUCUUCAGGAAGUUUGGUUCUUUUAUGAGUCAGCAUGGCUUUAAGAAGACUUCUUUAGACCAUUGUGUUUUUGUGCAAAAAUUCUCUGAUGGUGACUUUAUUAUCGUUUUGCUUUAUGUUGAUGACAUGCUUGUUGUUGGUCAUAAUGAUUGCGGGAUUAAAGAGUUGAAGAAAGAGUUGAAUAAGUCUUUUACUAUGAAAGACUUAGGACCAGCAAGGCAGAUUCUUGGCAUGCAGAUUAUCCAUGAUAGAGAUGCCAAGAAAUUUUUGUUGUCACAAGAGAAGUACCUUCAGAAAGUACUUCGUAGAUUUAACAUGGACAAAGCUAAGGUUUUCAGUACACCUUUAGCUAUGCACUUCAAAUUGAGUACUAGACAUUGUCCUUCCAGUGGUGAGAAGGAAGAUAUGAAGUAAGUUCCUUAUGCUUCAGCUAUUGGUAGUUUGAUGUAUGCAAUGGUGUGUACAAGACCAGAUAUUUCUCAUCCUGUUGGUAUUGUUAGCCGUUUUCCUUCUAAUCCGGGAAGAAAGCAUUGGAAUGAUGUAAAGUGGAUUAUGAGAUAUCUUUGCGGCACUUCUAGUCUGAGUUUGUGUUUUGGGAUAGGGAAAUCUAUUCUUUGUGGUUAUACUGAUUCAGACAUGAUCGGUGAUGUUGAUACUCGUAAGUCUACUUCAGGCUACUUAUUACUUUUGCAGGGGGGGCUGUGUCUUGGCAAUCUAGGUUGCAAAAAUGUGUUGUUUUAUCUACUACAUAUAUUGAGCUUAUUGUUGCUGUUGAAGCUUACAAAGAAUUGAUCUGGAUGAAGAGAUUUUUUAGGGAACUUGGUUGUGCUCAGGAAAGGUAUGUGCUUUAUUGCGACAGUCAAAGUGCUAUUCAUCUUGACAAGAAUUCUACAUUUCAUGGUCGGUCUAAACACAUUGAUGUGAGGUAUCAUUGGAUUCGAGAUGUGUUGGAUUCUAAGUUGCUUGAACUUUGAGAAAAUCCAUACCAUUGAUAAUGGUUCAGACAUGAUGACUAAAGCUUUGCCAAGAGGGAAGUUUGAAGAAUCUUUCAUGAUCGCCGGGAUGGCGGUUUCCUCCACAUAGUCGGUAGGAGGAGUUUUGGGCCUUUUUCCUUCCUAUGUGGAUAAAUAAAAGUCCAAGGUUUUGGGUCUUCCUUCCUUUCCUUUGUGGAUAAAUUCAGCCCAAAUUUGACUAGCCCACUUUCCCCAUAAGCCCAAUAUUAUAGUGCGUAUGUAAGACUUUCUUUUAGGUCUUAUUUGAGAUGAUUCACAAGAGAUUGAGAGCAGCCACACAGAGAGAAAAGUGAGAAAGUGCAGAUUUUCGAACAAGCCCUAGCAGCAAAUUCCAAAUCGCGAUUCCCGCUUCGUUACUUAUCCGAUUGAGCUGAUUUUUGGACAGCUUGUUCCUUUCAACUUGAUCUUUGAUUGGGAACUGAGAGAGAGUGAUUUGGAGUCCUGUAGCUCCAGAUAUUUGCUCGUGAAUAGUAGCUGCGGGUUUGGUGUUUUUGCUUCUUUUAUUUCUCUAGUUUUUUGGUGCUAUCUUGUAGUUGUGGUUGCUCAUUGUUUGGCACUUUGUUGGUGGCCAUUUUGUAGAACACUUUUGUAACUUUUGUUGAUUAUAGCGGAGCUUUGGCCUUGUGGUUUUUACUCUUCACAUCGAAGAGGUUUUCCAUGUUAAAUUUGGCAUCUCAUGUGUUGAUUUGCUUUGCUUGCUUUGGUUGAUUUGUUUGCUGCCCCAAAUAGUCUAUUCUUGCAUUAUUUUGUCUUCUCUUGGUUCAAAUAGAAAGGGAAAGUUUUGACUUGGGUUUUUCUUGCGCUAUUGCCCUGUCGUACACAUUUAUUUUGUGUUUGCCUUUCCCAACAUAAACAAAGCUUUGAACGAGGUAGGAACUUGGAGCAAGAACCAACUGCCACAAAGGGAUAACAUAGACAUACAAAUAUGGGAAUCAAAUUAUAAUCGGGUACACGACCAUAAAGUUGUUCAAAUGGGGAUUGAAAACACAACACUGGAAGAGGAAUAACAUUAAUAAGGGAGACAACAUACAAACAAGCAUCAGCCCAAAAUUUAAAGGACAUAGAUGCUUGAAAAAUAAGACAACGUAGGACAUUGGCAAUUUGUCUAUGUUUUCGCUCAGCUCUACCAUUUUGAACAGAUGUGUGAGGACAAGAAAGACGAUGGACUAUGCCAUUUUGUUUGAGGAAAGAACUAAAAUUGUUGUUAACGUAUUCACCACCUCCAUCAGACUGGAAAUAAGAAAGAGGAUUCAAAAACAUUUUUGACCAUUGUAUAAAAUUCUUUAAAUUUGUCAAUGGAUUUAGAUUAUUCGCGCAUCAAGUAAACCCAAGAGAAUUUGGUGUGAUCAUCAAGAAAUAAAAUGUAAUAACGAUAACUAGAAUUUGAGACAAUAGGAGCAUGCCAUACAUCCGAAUGAAUCAAAACGAAUGGAGAACUUGCAUUAUUACUUGAUAACGGAAAAGACAUGCAAGUUUGUUUGCCUAAAUGACAAACAUUACAAGAACUAUUGCUAAUAGAAGAAGUACUACUGAUCAAUUUUCUAACAACCAAAGAGCUAAGAGACUCUCGGCCAGGAUGUCUGAGACGCUGGUGCCAAAGAGAAGAAAGAAAAUUUUUAGAAAAGAGGCCAAAGUUGGAGGAGCCAUAUGUAUAGAAACCCAGAAUUAUUACUGCAGAGCAAUGUUGUUCCGGUCUUCAUAUCCUUGACAAAAAAACCAGAGUUAGUAAAGUGAAUAAAACAAUUAUUAUCAGCACAUAAGCGUUGAAUAGAAAGUAGAUUUUUAGUAAGGGAAGGAACAUAUAAAACUUUCUUUAAGAGAAGAGGCUUAGAAGUCGUCGGAAGAGUAGAUGAACCAAUAAAGUUAAUAGAUAGAAGAGUACCAUCUCCAACCAUAACUUGAGAAGAACCAGAAUAAGUGUGACAUCUUGCAAAUUGAUAACUAGGAAGAAGCUUAAAAAUCAGAAAUAGUCUUUUUGGAAGGAAUUCAAAAAUCUGGAAAAUUUGGUUGAGUGUGGAAAAAAAAAGUGAGUUUUUUGGCCAACUUUGAACAGUCAUAACUCCUAUCUCAGGAUGAGUUAGGUGUAGUUCCAGUUAUGUUUGAAAAUCCCUUGGAAUGAUCUUUCCAACGUCGCCUAGUUUGCUCGAUUCCGAGUUCGUAUGAGUGAGUUAUGCCCUUUGGAAGUUGGGCUGUUGGCAGGGCAGUUAACCCGAUUUUGUAAGGGUAAUUUGGUCUUUUCCCUAGCAAUUUAUUUUGGUCAUAUUAAGGAGUUAGACUGAUUUUAAAUCAGUUUUUCUUUGUUUUAAAAUAUUGAGAGUAAGGGUUUGUGAGUGAAGAGGAGAAGAAGAGGAGAAAGAGAAGAUCAAGCAAGGAAUCGUCGUGGUUUUCGUCGAGGGUGAUCCCUAUUCAGGUAUGUGAGAUCAUAGUGUUGGGUUAGUUCAUUCCCCCACACGCCAGAUUCGUUUUAAUUUCUGAGAAAAGAUUUGGUUGUGUUUUAUUAAAGUCUUGUGGUUGUGGUUGUGGUUGUGUUGUUGAAGUUCUUGUGGAUUUGAGACAUGUUUAAGGUUGUGUUUUCGAGUUGAAUCUAUUGUGUAUUAAGGGUUUUUAAUGAUCCCAAGUGUUUGUGAGAUCAAAGUCAAGUGAAGUUAAGAGUCAAGUCUAGAAGUUAAGAAGCAAGUCAAAGCAAGUCUUUAAAGUUUUUCAAGAGUCUUUAUUAAACGUUUUAACUUCGUUUUAAGGCUCAAGUUCAAGUUAAGCCAAGAGUAUAGAGUUGAGUUCAUUUUCUCAAAAGUUAUUAGGGAACUGUGUAUUCCCAAAGAAGUUUCUAAAUGUUUUUACAUUUGAGUAAGAAAGGAACUAUGAUUCCAAAAGAGCCUUUGGGCUAGUUUUCAAGAAAAAGGAACAUCGAUUCAAGGUGAGCCUUUGGGCUAGAUUUUGAGCAAUUAUCUCAAACUAAAGAAGGAUGUGUUUAAAACACUUAUGAGCUAAAGUAUUUUUGGGAGUAGUAUUGAGCACCGAAUUAGGGACGCGAGUUCAUAUUUACUCAACUCUCCAUAAGAACCAUGUAGCCAAACAUGGGAAUUAACGGGUCAUCCUUUUUAGAUGAUCACGUAAGAUUAAGCUAGUGGAUCCACUAAGUUAAGUAAGGUUCUAUAUCACGGCAAGGUAUAGGAUGGUCCUUGGGCAACGUGAGGUAAAACGUUGUAUCAUCACUAGGGCUCAUAGUGGUGGUUGUCGGUUAAAGAAUCUCCCACUAAAGUUAUAUUACUUUUAUAUAAGUAAAGUUGAGUUUGUUAUUGUUUUAUCCUUAACGAACUAAGUUGUUUAAUUUGUUUUACAAGCAUAUAUAUAUAUAUAUAUAUAUGUAUUGCAUGUGCCUUAUUUCUUUAUAUUGAGUUCGGUUAUUCAUGAGUCGAGCAGAGCCAAGGUAGGAGUUCCUUUGUAUUCCUUUCAAGCUUAAGUUGUUGUUUAGCCUUCCAGCUUGCAUACUCGUACAUUCAAGCUCGCAUACUCAUACAUUCAAUGUACUGAUGUCAGUUGGCCUGCAUCUUAUUAUGAUGCAGAUACAGGUACCCAGGAUCAGCAUCCUACACGUCAUUGAUCGAGUUGAGUACUCCAGAGUCAGUGGUGAGCCUCCUUGUUUUCCGGAGGACUCUGUUAUUUUGUGUUCUUAGUUUUGUUUUGGUAGGAUGUUGCGGGGUCUGUCCCAACAUCCACCUCAGUAUUUUAGAGGCUUCAUAGACAGUCAGUCAGUUAGUAUUUGAGUCUCUCAUCUAUGUAUAUUUGUAAAUGUUCUAUUUUGAGACACGAGUUGCCUUUUGGCAUGGUAUGCAUCAGUUGAGUUGUUUUAUAACCUUGCAUUGCAUUGAGUUAUUCUGUUGAGUUAGGUUUCCGCUGAGUUAAGAAAGCCAGGCCAAUGGUUCUCUUGGGGCCAGCAAUUGUCUUUGGGUGCCGGUACCGCCCAGGGUGUUGGCUCGGGGCGUGACAAACUUGGUAUCAGAGCCCAGAGUUCAAGAGUCCUAGGGAGUCUAUGAAGCCGUGUCUGUAGAGUCCUAGUUAUCGGUGUGAAGCGCCACAUCUAUAAUUGGGAGGCUAAGACACUUAGGAAGAUUUCUCAUUUCUUUCACACUCAUCUCGUGCGUUACAGUUGAUCUCUAAAAAGUAUUUUUCUAAUACGUGCUUGCGCGUGUUUUCAGAUAAUCAUGCCUCCACGAAGAGUUGGCGAGAGGGCGCCUUCCUAGACGUUAUGUUGAUGAGCAAGAGUUACCUUAUGCCCAGGAGUGCAACCACAAGGGGAAGUUUCUAAAUGCCGAGUUCAGAGAGGCAAUUAGAAUUCUGAGUCAAGCAGUAACUAAUCAGAUUGGUCAGCAAAGGGGAGCUCGACAUGAAGGAGCUGACACUUCAAGGAUUCGUGAGUUCUUGGGGAUGAAUCCUCCCAGUUUCAUAGGUUCGAGUACUACAGAGAAUCCAGAGAACUUCAUUGAGGAGCUGAAGAAGAUUUUUGAUGUGAUGCAUGUGGCAGAUACUGAGCGGGUUGAACUAGCUGCGUAUCAAUUGAAGGAUGUUGCUAGAACUUGGUUCGACCAGUGAAAAGGGGGCAGAGUUGAGAAUGCACCACCUGCGAACUAGGCCUGUUUUGAGGAAGCUUUCUUGGGGAGUUUCUUUCCUCGAGAAUUGAAAGAGGCCAAGGUACGUGAGUUCCUCACACUUAAGCAGGAUUCUUUAAGUGUUCAGGAGUACAGUCUGAAGUUCACACAGCUAUCCUGCUAUUCUCCGAAGAUGGUCGCGGACAUGAGGAGUAGAAUGAGCUUGUUUGUUGCUGGGCUGUCUUGUCUGUCGAGUAAGGAAGGUAGGGCUGCAAUGCUUAUCAGGUACAUGGACAUAUCAAGGUUGAUGGUUUAUGUGCAGCAGGUUGAGGAAGAGAAACUGAGGGAUAGGGAAGAGUUCAGAAAUAAGAGAGCUAAGACCGGUAGUGAGUCCGGGCAGCAGAGAGGUAAUGCGAGCCGUCCAUCCUUUCAACAAAGGCAAAAGGGACCUGCUCCAUCAUCUGCUAGGGCACCUGCACCCAGAUACAGAGGUGAACAUAAUGGCCAGAAUUCGAAGGACUUCAAGACUAGACCAGAACAUUAUUCAGGUAGUAUGGCACAAUGAGGUAGUUUGACCCCUGCAUGUGCUAGGUGUGGUAGAACCCACCCAGGGAGAUGUCGUGAUGGUCAGACAUGUUGUUUUAAGUGUGGGCAAGAGGGUCACUUCNNNNNNNNNNNNNNNNNNNNNNNNNNNNNNNNNNNNNNNNNNNNNNNNNNNNNNNNNNNNNNNNNNNNNNNNNNNNNNNNNNNNNNNNNNNNNUUUUGUAACUCCUUAUGUUGCGAAUAAGUUUGAUGUUCUUCCUGAAAGACUUUGUGAACCCUUUUGUGUUUCUACACCUGUUGGGGAGUCUAUUUUAACAGAAAAAGUUUAUCGUGAUUGUCCUGUUUUCAUUAAUCACAAGAGCACCAUGGCUGAUUUGGUUGAGUUAGACAUGGUAGAUUUCGACGUUAUUCUAGGUAUGGAUUAGCUUCAUGCAUGUUAUGCAUCAUUAGAUUAUAGAACUCGAGUGGUCAGGUUUCAGUUUCCGAAUGAGCCAGUCAUAGAGUGGAGUAGUAGUUCAGCAGUGCCUAAGGGUCGUUUCAUUUCGUACCUUAAGGCGAGAAAGUUAGUUUCGAAGGGUUGUAUCUAUCACUUAGUCCGAGUUAACAACUCUAGUGUUAAGAUACCUCAUUUUCAGUCAGUUCCUAUAGUAAGAGAGUUUCCAGAAGUUUUUCCUAAUGAUCUACCCGGAAUUCCUCCUGAGAGAGAAAUAGAAUUUGGCAUAGACCUCAUUCCAGAUACUUGUCCAAUCUCUAUUCCGCCAUAUAGAAUGGCACCAGCAAAGUUGAAAGAGUUGAAAGAGCAGUUGAAAGAUCUCCUAGAUAGGGGUUUCAUUCGACCAAGUGUCUCACCUUGGGGCGCUCCGGUCUUGUUUGUGAGAAAGAAAGAUGGUUCCCUUAGAAUAUGUUUAGAUUACCGCCAGUUGAACAAGGUUACCAUUAAGAAUGAAUACCAUCUUCCGAGGAUUGAUGAUCUUUUCGAUCAGCUUCAGGGUGCCACUUGUUUUUCGAAGAUUGACCUCAAAUCAGGCUAUCAUCAGUUAAGAGUAAGGGAAUGUGAUAUUCCAAAGACAGCUUUCAAAACCAGAUACGGUCAUUACGAGUUUUUGGUCAUGUCCUUUGGUUUGACCAAUGCACCGGCAACUUUCAUGGACCUUAUGAAUAGAGUUUUCAAACCUUAUUUAGAUAUGUUUGUUAUCGUCUUCAUUGAUGACAUACUAAUCUAUUCAAGGAAUGAAGAAGAUCAUACUAGCCAUCUUAGAAUAGUUCUUCAUACUUUGAAAGACAAUGAGUUGUAUGCCAAGUUCUCUAAGUGUGAGUUUUGGCUUGAGUCCGUGGCCUUCUUAGGCCAUAUUGUGUUUGGUGAUGGAAUUAAAGUUGAUACUCGGAAAAUUGAGGCAGUGCAGAAUUGGCCUAGACCCACAUCUCCAACUGAUAUUAGGAGUUUCUUGGGGUUAGCUGGCUAUUAUAGAAGGUUUGCAGAGGGGUUCUCGUCUAUUGCAUCUCCUUUGACCAAGUUGACUCAGAAGACAGUGAAAUUUCAAUGGUCUGAAAUUUGUGAGAAAAGCUUUCAGGAGUUGAAAAAGAGAUUGAUUACUGCUCCAGUUUUGACUUUACCAGAAGGUACUCAAGGUUUUUUGGUGUAUUAUGAUGCAUCUAGAGUUGGUUUGGGUUGUGUCUUAAUGCAGAAUGGCAAGGUUAUAGCUUAAUUAUGCCUCCAGACAGUUGAAGGUUCAUGAAAAGAACUACCCAACCCAUGACUUAGAGUUGGUUGUUGUAGUAUUCGCUUUUGAAGAUAUGGUGUCAUUACUUGUAUGGUGUGCAUGUUGUCAUAUUCACUGAUCACAAGAGUCUUCAAUAUGUGUUCACUCAGAAAGAGCUUAAUCUCAGACAGAGGAGGUGGUUAGAAUUACUCAAGGAUUAUGACCUGAGUAUUCUUUACCACCUAGGUAAGGCUAAUGUUGUUGCUGAUUCUUUAAGCAGGUUGUCUAUGGGUAGCACCGCCCAUGUUGAAAAAGGGAAAAAAGAGUUAGCAAAAGAUGUGCUCAUACUGGCACGCCUGGGCGUCAGACUUAUGAAUUCCACAGAAGGAGGUAUAGCGGUGGCGAACGGGGCCGAGUCAUCAUUAGUGUCAGAAGUGAAAGAGAAACAAGACCAAGAUCCCAUUUUGCUUGAGUUGAAGGCAAAUGUUCAAAAGCAAAGAGUAUUAGCUUUUGAACAAGGGGGAAAUGGUGUUUUGAGGUAUCAAGCUAGAUUAUGUGUACCUAUGGUGGAUGGUCUCCAAGGGAGGAUUAUGGAAGAAGCUCAUAGAUCUAGAUAUUCCAUUCAUCCGGGUUCCACUAAGAUGUAUCGUGACUUGAGAGAAGUCUAUUGGUGGAAUGGCAUGAAGAAGGGCAUUGCAGAGUUUGUGGCUAAGUGUCCAAAUUGCCAGCAAGUGAAAGUUGAACACCAAAGGCCCGGUGGUUUAGCUCAGAGGAUAGAACUUCCGGAAUGGAAGUAGGAGAUGAUCAAUAUGGAUUUCAUCAUAGUGUUGCCAAGGUCUCGUAGACAGCAUGAUUGUAUUUGGGUAAUUGUCGACAGAAUGAAAAAGUCAGCCCAUUUUCUACUGGUAAAGACUACCCAUUCAACAGAAGAUUAUGCCAAGUUAUAUAUUCAAGAGAUAGUGAGACUUCAUGGAGUCCCAGUCUCCAUUAUUUCAAAUAGAGGUGCACAGUUCUGGAAAUCUUUUCAGAAAGGCUUGGGUUCGAAGGUGAACUUAAGUACUGCCUUUCAUCCUCAGACUGAUGGGCAAGCAGAGAGCACUAUUCAGACUCUAGAAGAUAUGUUGAGGGCUUAUGUGGUCAAUUUCAAAGGUAAUUGGGAUGAUCACCUACCUCUCAUUGAGUUUGCCUACAACAACAGUUAUCACUCUAGCAUCCAGAUGGCUCCAUAUGAAGCUCUUUAUGGGAGAAGAUGUAGAUAUCCUAUUGGAUGGUUUGAAAUUGGUGAAGCAGGGUUGAUAGGACCAGAUUUAGUUCACCAAGCUAUGGAGAAGGUGAAAGCGAUUCAAGAGAGGUUGAAAACGGUACAGAGUCGUCAGAAAUCCUACACUGAUGUUAGGAAAAGGGCGUUAGAGUUUGAAGUAGGUGAUUGGGUAUAUUUGAAAGUUUCACCUAUGAACGGGGUUAUGAGGUUUGGUAAGAAGGGGAAACUCAAUCCCCGGUAUAUUGGACCUUAUCGCAUAGUCAAGAGGAUUGGCAAUGUUUCUUAUGAGUUGGAGCUACCACAGGAAUUAGCAGUGGUUCAUCAGGUAUUUCACAUCUCCAUGUUGAAGAAGUGCAUAGACGAUCCUUCAUUUAUCCUACCGAUUGAAAGUAUUCGGAUCAAGGAUAGCUUAUCUUAUGAGGAGAUUCCUGUUCAGAUUUUAGACCGCCAAGUUCGUAGGUUGAGAACGAAAGAGGUAGCCUCAGUCAAGGUCCUUUGGAGGAACCAAUUUGUUGAGGAAGCUACUUGGGAAGCCGAAGAGGACAUGAAGAAGAGCUAUCCACAUCUCUUUGAAUUCAGAGGAAAUGUAGAUCAAGGUAUUAAUUUCCUUAUUAGUGCUCUUUAAAUUAUAGUGAGCAUGUUGUUGUUGUUGUUGCAUGAUUGCUUGUAGGGUGUUUGAAUUGAUGUUACACCCUUAGCCUUGUAAGAGUAACCUCAUUCGAGGACGAAUGCUCCCAAGGGGGAGAUAUUGUGACUUCUUGCAAGUUGAUAACUAGGAAGAAGUUUAAAAAUCAGAAAUAGUCUUUUUUGGAAGGAAUUCAAAAAUCUGGAAAAUUUGGUUAAGUGUGGAAAAAAAAGUGAGUUUUUUGGCCAACUUUGAACAGUCAUACCUCCUAUCUCAGGAUUAUUUCUGUGUAGUUCCAGUUACGUUUGAAAAGCCCUUGGAAUUAUCUUUCCAACGCCGCCGAGUUUGCUCGAUUCCGAGUUCAUAUGAGUGAGUUAUGCCCUUUGGAAGUUGGGCUGUUGGCAGGGCAAUUAACCCGAUUUUGUAAGGGUAAUUUGGUCUUUUCCCUAGCCAUUUAUUUUGGUCUUAUUAAGGUGUUAGACUGAUUUUAAAUCAGUUUUUCUUUUUUUAAAAAGAGUGAGAGUAAGGGUUUGUGAGUGAAGAGGAGAAGAAGAGGAGAAAGAGAAGAUCAAGCAAGGAAUCGUCGUGGUUUUCGUCGGGGGUGAUCCUUAUUCAAGUAUGUGAGAUCAUAGUGUUGGGUUAGUUCAUUCCCCCACACGCCAAAUUCGUUUUAAUUUCUGAGAAAAGAUUUGGUUGUGUUUUAUUGAAGUCUUGAGGUUGUGGUUGUGUUGUUGAAGUUCUUGUGGAUUUGAGACAUGUUUUAGGUUGUGUUUUCGAGUUGAAUCUAUUGUGUAUUAAGGAUUUUUAAUGAUCCCAAGUGUUUGGGGAAAGAACCUUUGAAGUUAGGAGGGUUUAGAGUUGGUAACACGAAGGAGAAAAGUCGGGCAGCUUGCAUGAAACAAGUCUGCGUCGCAGACUUAUUCCCUCUGUGAACGAAAUCUGCUCCGCGUCGCGGACAGGAUGCGGACUCCACUGUUUCGAAAAUUUAAUUUUGUAAUUUUUCUUAAGUUUAACUGUCUUAAAUCAUUCCUAAACAUCAUAAGGUCUUUCCAAACACAAAUCAUAGUCCUUGAAUCAAUAAUUCAAUUCAAGAAAGUUAGGAUCAAAGUCAAGUGAAGUUAAGAGUCAAGUCUAGAAAUUAAGAAGCAAGUCAAAGCAAGUCUUUAAAGUUUUUCAAGAGUCUUUAUUAAACAUUUUAACUUCGUUUUAAGGCUCAAGUUCAAGUUAAGCCAAGAUUAUAGAGUUGAGUUCAUUUUCUCAAAAGUUAUUAGGGAACUGUGUAUUCCCAAAGAAGUUUCUAAAUAUUUUUACAUUUGAUAAGAAAGGAACUAUGAUUCCAAAAGAGACCUUUGGGCUAGAUUUUGAGCAAUUAUCUCAAACUAAAGAAAGAUGUGUUUAAAACACUUAUGAGCUAAAGUAUUUUUGGGAGUAGUAUUGAGCACCGAAUUGGGGACGCGAGUCAUAUUUACUCAACUCUCCAUAAGAACCAUGUAGCCAAACAUGGGAAUUAACGGGUCAUCCUUUUUAGAUGAUCACGUAAGAUUAAGCUAGUGGAUCCACUAAGUUAAGUAAGGUUCUAUAUCAUGGCAAGGUAUAGGAUGGUCCUUGGGCAACGUGAGGUAAAACGUUGUAUCAUCACUAGGGCUCAUAGUGGUGGUUGUCGGUUAAAGAAUCUCCCACUAAAGUUAUAUUACUUUUAUAUAAGUAAAGUUGAGUUUGUUAUUGUUUCAUCCUUAACGAACUAAGUUGUUUAAUUUGUUUUACAAGCAUAUAUAUAUAUAUAUGUAUGUAUUGCAUGUGCCUUAUUGCUUUAUAUUGAGUUCGGUUAUUCAUGAGUCGAGCAGAGCCAAGGUAGGAGUUCCUUUGUAUUCCUAUCAAGCUUAAGUUUUUGUUUAGCCUUCCAGCUCGCAUACUCGUACAUUCAAUGUACUGAUGCCAGUUGGCCUGCAUCUUAUUAUGAUGCAAAUACAGGUACCCAGGAUCAGCAUCCUGCACGCCGUUGAUCCAGCUGAGCACUCCAGAGUCAGUGGUGAGCCUUCUUAUUUUCCGGAGGACUCUGUUAUUUUGUGUUCUUAGUUUUGUUUUGUUAGGAUGUUGCGGGAUCUGUCCCAACAUCCAACUCAGUAUUUCAAAGGCUUCAUACACAGUCAAUUAGUUAGUAUUUGAGUCUCUCAUCUAUGUAUAUAUGUAAAUAUUCUAUUUUGAGACAUGAGUUGCCUUUUGGUAUGUUAUGCAUCAGUUGAGUUGUUUUAUAACCUUGCAUUGCAUUGAGUUAUUCUGUUGAGUUAGGUUUUCCGUUGAGUUAAGAAAGUCAGGACAAGGGUUCGCUUGGGGACAACAAUGGUCUCCGGGUGCCGAUCCCGCCCAGGGUGUAGGCUCAGGGCGUGACAAUAAGGAAUGAGAGCAGUAAGAGUGGAAGGAUCAUUAGUCAUGUGCGCAGAUGCUCCAGAGUCCGAGUACCAGACGGUUGGUUGAACCUCCUCCAAAUUCAUGGCAACAAAUGAUUGAGGAUUAUUGUUAGCCACAAAGGAAUGGUUGAACCUGUUUCUACACUAUAAUGCAGUGUGGUUAUAGUGAAAACAAAUUUGACAUUGUUUCGUAGGAGCAAAAGGAACUUUACCCAAAAUACCAGCACUAAGGGAAAGAGGCCGAGAUUGAUGUUGGAAACCAGAACAUGAAGAGUUGUGGUAGCCUCGACCUCUACCAUAUUGACCCCUGUUAUUUCUGCCACGGCCGCAUCCAUUAAAGUUUCCUUUUGCAGGCUGAUUUCCAUUAACGGAUGACGAGGAAUUAGAAGUGUUCUUCCCUUGAGUGGACGCCAACAAUGCAGUUUGAGGAUUUGACUCUUCAGAAGUAUGUGCAUUAAUGUGAGCUUCUUCGGUGAGAAGAAGUGGUCGUAAUGCAAUGAAGGAAGGAAGCGUUCCAGUAGCAUUUAAUCUAGACACAAAGGUCCGAUAGGAAAGAGGUAAUCCUUGCAAAUCUUGAGUGACUAAAUCAUCAUCAAUUACAGGUUUACCGAUUGCCCUAAGAGAGCAGGCAACCGAGUGAAGUUAUUGAAGAUAAUCUUCCAUGGAAAGGGAACCUUUUUUGAAAUUCUGGAAUUCGGACUUGAGAUGAAUGACGGAGGAAGACACUUGAUCUAAAUAUAGGAAGGCUAAGGUGUCCCAAGCUUGUUUAGAUGUCUCACAAGCAUAGUUCAAAAGUGUGUCAAGAACAGCGGAAGAAAGGGUUGCAUUAAUCCAACUUAAUGCAAUAGUAUCACAUUGAAUCCAUAGCCUGAAAUCAGCAUGCUCGGGUGGUGGGCAUGGUACAGUUCCAUCGAAUAAGGAGAGAAGGUUGUGACUUUUAAGGACGGUGAGAAAAACUUUCUUCCAGUUAAGGUAGUUGACGUAUGUCAAUUCUAUAGUAACAAAACCUUUGAUAUUGGAUAUUGUCGGAGGGGGAGUUGGAAGGCCAAGAGUAGAUUGACUCAAGGAGGACGGUUGCGCAGAGGAAUUUUCGAGACCCAUGGAAAAGAUCAUUUAGGGCUCUUGAUAUCAAGAUGAAAGAGAUAAAGUGAAGGUAAAACCGUGAGCCUUGCUCAUUCUGUAUUCUUGUAUUUGUAUUUACAACAUUAACAAUUAGUAAAAGAAUAAAUACUAAAUAGAGUUUUACUACAACUAGUACAUAAUAAGUUAACUCCAACAAGUACAUGAUAGACUAGUUAAAAUUUUAAUUCUAAAGUGAAAGAAAUUUAGCAUUGUCAAAGAAUAAACCUACACAUUCAAAUAAUAUGGAUUUCGUUUUAAGAUAAAUAUACUAAUAAUUAUUAAUAUAAGGGAUUCCCUUAAUAUAAAAUAAACGUGCAAACACAUGUGUCGGUAAACAUAGAUAGAUAUAUAAUAACGUGAAGCAAAUGGCGGAUGUACUCAUUCAAAAAGACAAAAAUUCAUAUAUAUAAAAAUAAAGAAUAAUUUUGCAAAUCAAGAAAACUCUUAACUUAUUGUUUUAAUUUUUUUUUUGCCACGUUCCAGCUUUGAUUCUUGCUAAAAGCAACUGUUACAAAAUAUAAAUAAAUCUAAAAUAGUGAGAACAAAUACUCCUAAAUAAUAAGCCGAUUGAUGCACGUGCAUUGCGUGUACGGUCCUACAUAUGAUAAUGAAAAUAAAUAUUAAUGGUCGAAAAAAUAGCAGAAAUCGCUGGAGAAAACUGGUGGAUGAACUCCGCCCCUCUCUGUGGAGCCAGGAAUUUUACAAAGGAAUUCGAACACGCGAGUACUAUCUCAUAUAUAUAUAUAUCAAUUUUUUUAAUAAAGUUGUGUCCCAUGACACUCCUUGGGCCUUUCUAGAUCCGCCCCUAAUUGGACUAAUAUAUAUAUCCAUUUUUUCUGAUAAAGCCGUGUCCCAUGAUACCCCUUGGGCCUUGCUAGAUCCACCCCUAAUUGGACUAAUAUAUAUAUAUCAAUUUUUUCCGAUAAAGUCGUGUCCCAUGACACCCCUUGGGCCUUUCUAGAUCCGCCCCUAAUUGGACUAAUAACAACUUGUUGUGUUAACGGUGUUCUAAAUAUGUUAUUUACUCAUUUCGUGUAUCAUUUUACUUGUAGAUACGAUGUCUUUUUUUCAACGAAGGGUGUCCAAAUGACCAUCCUGACAACCAUGUAGCUAUGCCGCUGCUCUCCCCCUUCCACCCCUUCCCACACACACGUCGAUAAAAUACUAAUAUGAAUAAUUGUAUUUUAAGGAACUUCUAAAAAUUUAAGUGGACGCAUAUGAGUGUUAGUGAUCGGUAGAGGAGUUCACAUUUUGGGUAGAAAUCAGUCCAAAUCGAUUUAAUAAAUUUAUUUCUAUUUGGUUUGAUUUUACCUUUUUCAAAAUUGAUAAUAUUUUAUUUAAUUUUAAUUUUAUUAAUUUUUUUUGAAGAAAUAACUAAACCAACAAAUUAUAUACAUAUUUUUUUUAUUAUAAUUAGAUACAUAAUAUAUUAUGGAGUAUUUUUUUUAUGAAAAAAAAUUAAACAAAAAAUGCAACACACACAUUAAAGAGAGUAAGGUAUGAUGCGUCUUUUAUUUGUGUAGCAAUAAAAAUAUUUUAUGUAUUAUUCAAUAAGAUUAUGAUGUCUUAUACAUUGAAUAGCUAACAAUAUAAGCAGAAAGUUAAACAUAAUUGAUAUUCUGAUAUAAAGAUUAGAAGAUCCAAUUUUUUUAUUUUUUUUAUAUAUGAUUAAUAAUCAAAUAGUCGAAUUUAAAAAAAUAAAAUAAAUAAUUAAUAGAAUCAAAUCAAAAUUGAUAAUAAACAAACAAACAAAGAAAAAAAUAUUUUAUUUAAUUCUAAUUUUAAUAUUUAACAGGAUCCAGCGUGAACAUUCUUAAUUACCGGAGUGAUGGAAAUAUAACUCAAGUCCAAUUAGUCUCAUUUAUCACGUGGUUUGGUUAGAACAUACUCUAUCUAUCCCAUAAUAGUUGAUUUUUUUUUACAUAUAUAUUAUAAAUCAUAAAUAAGAAAAUUAUUUUACUAAUUCACCCCUUAAAAAAACCUCUUAAAUUUUUUUACAAACAAAUAUAACUACUUUUUUUUAAAAAAAAAUUGCAAAAAUAAUACCAGAAAAAUUUAAAUAAUGCUUUCUUGAUCUAAUAAGAUAUUCCCUCUGUCCGUAAUCACUUGUCCACUUUUGAUUUUGUACACUUAUUAAGAAAAUAAUGAUUGACAUAGUGAGUUUACCAUUUUACCCCAAUUAAUUAUUAUGAAGUGAAUGAAUUAAAAAAUUUAGAGUUUCAAAAAUUUCUACAUUUUUCAAAGUAAUUAAUUGAGGAUAUAAUAGGUAAAAAAAGAGAUUGUUCUUUCUUAAUUUGUCAAAAUGAACAAAUAAUUAUGGACAAUUAAAAAAAAAGUGAACAAGUAAUUAAGAAAGAAGGAAGUAAACAACUAAUAUAAGAUAAUUAUUUUUAGUAAGUGAUCAAUUAAUAUGAGAUCGAAUAAGUAACUGUUUGUUUGUUUGUGCCUUGGGACGCCAUCAUUUUGUACAUUGUCAUUUUACACCUCCUUUUUGAAGUGUGCAUUUCGUGUUGAAAGCUCAACUGAUUUAAAACGUGGCUUUAUUAUUUUUUUAAUACACCCACCUCCCCACUACCCAAAAAAAUCAUCUGGUAUAUAUUCAUUCAAAUUCCUCUUCCUUCUUUCAUUAACUCUCUCUCUUAUCUCAACUUCUAAAUAAAUUUUCCAUUAUCACUAAAAAAAAUAAACUUGUUUGUUGAUUAUUCUUUGCUCUCAAUUAAUUGAAGAAAAUGAGAAGAAAUUGUAAUUUGGAGCUCACGCUUAUGCCUCCUUCUAUUUCAGAUAAUUUCUCUUCUAAGAAUUGCACAAUGUAAGUCAUUCUACCUCUUUUAAUUUAUACUUCUUGUAAUAAGUAAUAUUCAUAAGGUAUUGAUUAUAUAUUUGUUCUUAUGUACUAUUAGGGAGGAUCAACAAUUGGAGAAUAAGCAAUCACAACAGCUGACUAUAUUUUACAAUGGAAAAUUUGUGGUUUCUGAUGCUACUGAACUUCAGGUAUGUCAGAUACUUAACCAAUUAAGCUUCUGCUAUUCUUACAAAGAAUAUGAAUUUAGUUUAAAAGAUGCAUUACUUUUAUUUUCUUACAUGAGUUAUUUUGUAUUGUAGGCUAAAGCUAUAAUAUAUCUUGCAAGUAGAGGAAUGGAGGUGAAAACAAACAAGAUGUCUGAUCCUUCAUCACCAUUAUUACAACCUCAAACUGGUUUAUUCAUGAAGCGAUCUCUACAAGGAUUUCUACAAAAACGAAAAAGAAGAGUUCAAGCAACUUCGCCAUAUCACCACUAGCUGCAUGCUACUGAUGAACGUCGCCUUAGUUUUAGUUCCAUUUGUUCAUACAUUUUUAUUUUUGGUGUUACUAAUAUGGUAGAUUUUUCCUAUAAGUGAUAUUAGCAAGUGUAUCACUUAUUUUACAGAUUUGUCAAUACAAAAAUUUCUCAAUUUCUCUCAUUAGCUUCAGGUGUGGUGAUCAGAACAUUUUUCCUCUCAAAGAUCUUUUCAGAAAAGAUAUCUUAUACUCCCUCUGUUCCAUUUUAUGUGAGUUAGUUUGAUUCGGUAUAGAGUUUAAGAAAGAAAGGAAAACUUUUAAAACUUGUGAUCGAAAAUAAAUGAUAGAAAUUUGUGUGACUGCAAAUCAUUUCAUUAAUGUUAAAAUAGAUAUUUUAUAGUUAAAUUGUUACUUAAUAUAGAAAUGUAUCAUUCUUUUUUGGACUGAUUAAAAAAAAAAGUAAGUCACAUAAAUCAGGACAGUAGUGCAUUAAGGUACAUCCUCUGGUCAAAAUUAGGGUCUCUGCAAACUUUGAUCCAAACUAGGAAAAAGUAUGAGCCAAACAUGAUAUGAAAUACAUAUUCAGAAUAAAAAAGAGUAGUUUUUGACGGAAUAACAAGACAUGAUUUGGUAGUAUUACCAAUAAUUGUUCAGAUCGAAGCUAAUAGUCUAGUACGACUUAUUUAAGUGAAUGAUUUCUUCAACAAUCAAAUUGGAAUAUAGAGAAACUCCACAACAUGAUUCCCAAUUGGCUUUGCCAACACAUCACUACUCACUAGUGUGAAGAUAUAUAGGAGCAUAUACAUCUGAUAAGAACUUUGUGAUUGACCAACAAAUUGAACUUUGAUGGUGUUUGCAAUCAUAUCUUGUAGCUGUUGAAUCGUUAUAGUAGCCGGUGAAGUAUAUUGUUUUGUGCAUUAAGAUUCAACUAUCUUAGUGGAAGAUUCAUUAUCAAUUUUUUUCUUUUUGCAGUGUUAGGUUGUGACUUAACUCUCUAGGACAAUAGAGAUCUAAUUUGCUCAUAAGUUGAGCGAUCUAAAGAUAUUUCUUUAAUGCCUUAAUGGUUUGCUUCAUCACAUAAAGUUGUUUGUCGACGUUGACUACAUCAGUUAUCAUGUAAGAUUAAAUACUUUAAUUUAAUACAUAAUAUCAGAAUCUUGAAUACGAUAAUCUUAUAUAGAGAUCGUUAGGGCAUAUAUACCUGAUGUGGAAGACGUCAUCACAGAGAGAAGCAGAAGCGUUAGUCGUAAAUUGGUUUCUACCUCCUUGCCCUAGCCUUACGUUACCACAACCAUCAACGAUGGAAUUAAUGUAGAGAAUAUGUGGUAACCGUAAUAGGUUGAUGGAGGACCAAUUUAUAGAGGUUAAGACUUAAUCUGGUACGUCCAUCAAAUAACCAAUGUACGGACGAGAUCUAUUAUUCAUUAAAUAUUAUUUAUGAUAUUACUUGGGCUACAAGUAAACUUGGGCCAUAAGUAAAAAAUAAUUAAUAAUUAUUACAUUCUUCCACUUGGCCCAAUGACCAUAUCACACUAAUAUUUCAUAAACAUUAGUUGCGCAUACUAUAAAUCUCUUCUAUAAUGUCCAUCAUACAUACCUCAAUAUAACAAACUAAUAAUGCGAGUUAUGGUGGUUGUACAUAAAUUUUAAGCUACAUACUUCCUUCCAUAUACUACUACAUUAGCAACUUAUCAUACUAGGUUCAUAAGCUAUAAAAAACAUAUAACAUUAUGAUCCACAAUAGUGUCUUAUCUUGUAAUAUCUCAAAAACAAUAAUGUAUACACCAUUAUGAGAAACAAGAAAUUUAUUAAUGUAUAUCAGAAACACAUAAUUGAACUCAGAGUGUAAAAACAUCCUAAAUGUAUCAAUCAUAAGUACAACCAAGACCCAUUCUUUGAACAUGUUCUUUAAAUGUCUUUGGUUGUAAGCCUUUUGUUAAUAGAUCUGCAAUCAUGAGAUCAGUUCUAAUAUUCUCAAGUAACACUCUUUGUUUCUAAACUUCUUCCUUGAUAGUAAAGUACUUUAAUUCCAUAUUUUUGGCACCUUUUGAGUACUUAUCAUUCUUGGAGAAGAAUACUGUUGCAGUAUUAUCACAAUAAUUUUUUAGCGGCUUGGUAAUGGUGUCGACAAGCCCAAGUCCUGAAAUGAAGUUCCGCAGCCAUAAUUCAUGAAUUGUGGCUUCAUAACAUGCCACAAAUUAUGCUUCCAUUGUGGAUGUAGCAAUGAUAGAUUGCUUAGCACUCUUCCACGAUAUUGCUCCUUCAGCUAAUAGGAACAAGUAUCCAAAGGUGGACUUUCUAGUGUCAACACAUCCAGCAAAAUCUGAAUUCGAGUAUCUAGUAACUUCUAAGUGAUUGGAUCUCUUAUACAUGAGCAUGUAAUCCUUUGUUCCUUUCAGGUACCUUAAGACUUUCUUUGCAGCUUUCCAGUGAUCAAUUCCAGGGUUACUUUGAUAUCUUCCCAGCAUUCCGACCGCAAAACUAAUAUCCAGUCUUCUGCAAGUUUGAACAUACAUCAAACUUCCUACAAUAUAAGAGUAAGGAAUUGUUUCCAUUUCUUUUCAUUUUACAUCAUUCUUUGGGCAUUGCAUGAGAUUAAAUUUGUCCCCAUUUUGAAUAGGAACUAUUCUUGCCGAACAGUUGUUCAUGUUAAAUCUCUCUAGAACUCUUUCGAUAAAGCCUUUUUGGGACAGUCCCAAUCAUCCUUGUGAUCUAUCACAGAAUAUUUCUAUCCCUAUCACAUAUGAUGCCUCACCCAUAUCUUUCAUUUCAAAGUUCAUAGAGAGAAAGUCUUUCAUCACGCAAUAUGCCUAAAUAAUUAGCAAUAAGUAAAAUGUCAUCAACAUACAACACUAAAAACAUAAACUUAAUCCCAUUGAUCUUUUGGUAUAUGCACCGAUCAACGGUAAUUUCCUUAAAUCCAAAAGAUUUUAUGGUAUUAUUAAACUUUAUAUACCAUUGUCGUGAGGCUGGUUUGAGUCCAUUUAUUGACUUCUUUAGCUUACACGCCAUUUGAUCUUUUUCUUUAAUUUCGAAACCCUCUGGUUGGUCCAUAUAAACAUCAUCCUCGAGGUCUCCAUUAAGAAAGACAGUUUUCACAUCCAUUUGAUGUAACUCUAAAUCAUAAUGAGCUACCAAAGCCAAAAUAAUUCUUAAUGAGUCUUUCUUUGAGACGGUGAAAAGGUCUCUUUAUAAUCAAUGCCUCUUUUUUAAGUUUAUCCCUUGGCAACAAGUCUGGCUUUAUAUCGUUCAAUAUUACCAUUAGAAUCGCGUUUGGUCAUGAAGACCCAUCUACACCAAAUUCUUUUAAAACUUUCUGGUAAUUGAACAAGAUCCCAUACUUUGUUGUAUUCCAUGGAUUUUAACUCUUCAUUCAUGGCAUCAAUCCAUUUAUCAGACUCAGUUCUUUCUAUGGACUGUGAAAAUAAAACUGGAUCUUUAUUAAUUCCAAUGUCAAAAUUUGACUCUUGCAAAUAAAUCACAUAAUCAUCUUAAAUGGCUGAUUUUCUUCCUCUUUGAGAUUUUCUGUCACGCCCCGAGCCUACACCCUGAGCGGGACUGGCACUCAAGAACCAUUGCUGGCCCGAAGCGAACCCUUGGCCUGACUUACUUAAUCAGGGGAAGAUUUAUACUCAACAAAGAUAAAAGUAUGCAAUAAACUGGAAUGUUAUAAAGGAACGUAACAUUCAACUUGCCAUUAAGGCAAACUCAAGCCUCAACAUAAGAUAAUGACAAUGAAAACACUAAAGAACUAACAUCUGACUGUCUAUGAAGCCUCUAAACAACUGAGAUGAUGUGGGGACAAGACCCAUGACAUCCUAAUGAACUAAUAAUAAAACUGAAAGCAAUAAAACGGAUCCUCCAAAAGCAAGGAGGCUCACCACAAGACUCUAAGUGCUCAACUGGAUCAACGAUGCGCUGGAUGUUGAUCCUGUUUACCUGUGUCUGCAUCAUAAUAAGAUGCAAGCCAAAUGGCAUCGGUACAUUGAAUGUACGAGUAUGCGGGGGGAAUUCUAAAACAAGACAUAAGCUUGAAAAGAACUAAAGAACUUACCUGGCUCAACUCAUCUCAACAUAACUAAACUCAUUUCAAUAUAAAGUAGUUUAAAACAAGUGCAAUAUAAAGAAACGUUGUGUAAAACAUAAUGUCAACUCUGUGUGUAUGCAAAGAUACAUAUAACUCUGAAAUAUAUGUAAAAAUACAAUAAACUGUGUAUAUAAGAAUACAAUUACUUAUGUGGGAGUUUCUCUAACCGACAACCAUCACGUAAGAGCUAUUGUGAUGAUACAACCUUUUGCCUCACGCUGUCAGGGCCGUCUUAUACCUUGCCGAAGGUAUAGAACCUGAACUACUAAGUGUAUCCACUAGUCUAUGCUAAAAAGCACUAAAGGAAUCAUCUAAAAAGUAUGACCCUUUUCAACCCAUGAUGGCUACAUGGUUUAUGGGGGCUGUGAGUUGUCUGAACUCUCCCUCAUAUCGGUGCUCAAUACUACUCCCAAAAAUAUGAUACUAACUCUUAUGUUUAAAAAACAUACCUCUUUCUGUGAUUUGAGAUAAUUGCUCAAAAACUAAGCUCAAAUGUUAUCUUGAAACUCAAAGUUUCCUCUCUUGCUUAAUUGUGAGAGCGUUUACUCUUUUCUGAAAACUAGCUCAAAGGCUCUUUGGAAAUCUCAGUUUCCUUUAUUAUUUAAAUGUGAAAACAUUUUUAAACUCUUUGGGAAUACAUAGUCCCCAUAUACUUCUUUGAAGAAAUGAACUUCAAACUUUACUCUUUACUCUUUACUCAACUUGAACUUUAAGUCUUAAGACAAAGUUAAAAGCAUUUGCAAAAGACUUCUUGAAAAGACUCUAAGAACUUCCUAGACUUGGCUCUUAACUUUCCUUGAAUUUGAAUUUAUGGAUUCAAGGUUAUGAUUCAUGUUUUCUGGAUGAUUUCUAGAUGUUUAGAGGUCAUUUUGUGUAGUUAGAAUCAAUGGAAAGUGUUAGUACACUUUAGAAGGACUUAAAUAGGCUAAACGACAAAAAACUGGUGAAAAACAACGAUUCGGGCGCAUCCCUGGCGCACCGUGCAAGCCCCAAUUUUUGGGGCUCCUUUUGGGCGCACUGCCGGUGCGCCUCCCCAGCCUCUCUGGCGCUAUGAGGGCGCAACGCGCCUGGCCCUCCUCAGGUGCGUCUGACGAAUUUUUUAACUCGUUUUUUAAUCCUAAAUCAUUUUAAAUCGAUUCUUUUUCUCAAUACUUUAAUAGAUUUAGAUACCUAAAGCAUGUACACUAGAACAUAACUCGAAAAAACUCUUAAAAUUACUAAAACGUCUCAAGAAAACCCAUCAAUCACAUGUAAGUUCAAAAAUGGAAACAAUUCAAGAACACAACUCAAGAAUAUCAAAUUCUAACUCCUUUAGGACGAAAAUCGCUGAAUUGAACAUGUUUGGCGCGUGGGUGAAUGGACCUUACACUAUGUGAUCUCACAUACCUCGUAGGGAUCACCCCUUGAUGAAAUCCACAAGCGAUUAUUUACAAAGACGACGAAUCUUGAACUUUCUUCUCCUUUCUCUUCUUUCUCUUUUCUCCAAGCCGCAGCAUGAACUUCCAAUUUUCUAAACUGACCAAAUUCUGAUUUGACCCUUAAUUAAUUCACUAAAAUGAAUUAAAUUAAUUGGGUAAGGAAAAAGACUAAAAUACCCUUCCAAAAUCCGGUUCUAGACUUUCCUUAUUUGAACAACCAACUUCGAAUGGACAUAUCUUACUCAUACAAACUCGAAAUCGCGCAAACUCAGCGGCGUUGGAAAGAUUAUUCAAAUAUCUUUCCACUAUCUGGAACACACCUAACUCAUCCUGAGCUAAAAUUUAUGGUCGUUUAAAGUUGACCGAAAAUCCAACUUAACAUACUUAACAAAUUUCCCAGAUAUUUAUAUUCUUUCCAAAAAUGACUAUUUCCACUUUUUAACUUCUUUCUAGUUCUUUCUAGUUACAGGGUGUUACAAUAUCUCCCCCUUGGGAACAUUCAUCAUCGAAUGAUCUUACUCUUAGUAGGCUAAGGGUGUAAUAUCUAACAUUCAGCUCAAACACCCAACAAGCAAUGCAAACACAACAUGCAAUCUCUUAAAUUAUAGAUCAGAGUACUAAGAAAGGAAUUAGUACCUUGAUCUUGAAUUUCUCCGGUUUCAAAGAGAUGUGGAUAUAUCUUCUUCAUAUCUCCUCCGCUUUCCAAGUAGCUUCCUCACCAAAUUGAUUCCUCCAAAGGACUUUGACUGAUGCUACUUCUUUAGUCCUCAACUUGCGAACUUAGUGAUCUAGAAUCUGGACCGGAAUCUCCUCAUAAGAUAAGAUAUCAUUGAUGCUAAUAUCUUUAGUUGGUAUAACCAAUAAAGGAUCACCCAUGCACUUUUUCAACAUGGAGAUGUGAAAGACCGGAUGAACCGCGGCUAACUCUUGUGGUAGCUCCAACUCAUAAGCUACAUUACCUACCCUUUUCGAUAUUCUGUAAGGGCAAAUAUACCGGGGACUAAGCUUCCCCUUCUUACCAAAUCUCAUAACUCUUUUCAUGGGUGAAACUUUCAAGUAUACCCAAUCAUAUACUUGAAACUCCAACUCCCUUCUCCUAACAUCGGUGUAGGAUUUCUGACGGCUCUACACCGUUUUCAACCUCUUUUGAAUCACUUUCACCUUCUUCAUAGCUUGAACUAGAUCUGGUCCUAUCAACCCUGCUUCACCAACUUCAAACCAUCCAAUAGGAGAUCUGCAUCUUCUCCCAUAAAGAGCUUCAUAAGGAGCCAUUUGGAUGCUAGAGUGGUAACUAUUGUUGUAUGCAAAUUAAAUAAAAUGUAGGUGAUCGUCCCAAUUUCCUUUGAAAUCAAUCACACAAGCCCUCAACAUAUCCUCUAAGGUCUGAACAGUGCGCUCUGCUUGACCAUCUAUCUGAGGAUGAAAAGUAGUACUUGAGUUCACCUGUGAACCCAAGCCUUUUUGGAAUGACUUCCAAAACUAUGCAGUAAAUUGUGCACCUCUAUCUGAUAUAAUCAAAACAGAGACUCCAUGAAGUCUUACUACCUCUUGAAUAUAUAACCUGGCAUAAUCCUCUACUGAAUAGGUAGUCUUUACCUAAAAAAAGUGGGCUGAUUUGGUCAAUCGAUCCACAAUCACCCAAAUAGAAUCAUGUUGCCUGCGAGACCUUGGCAAACCUGUGAUGAAAUUCAUAUUAAUCAUCUCCCACUUCCAUUCCGAAAGUUCUAUAUUCUGAGCCAUACCACCGGGCCUUUGGUGCUCUACUUUAACUUGUUGGCAAUUCGGACACUUAGCAACAAAUUCUGCAAUGCCCUUCUUCAUACUAUUCCACCAAUAAACUUCUCUCAAAUCGCGAUACAUGUUUGUGGAACCCGGAUGAAUGGAAUAUCUAAAGAUAGGAGCUUCCUCCAUGAUCCUCUCUUGGAGUUCAUCCACCCUUGGUACACACAAUCUACCUUGAUGCCUCAAAACACCAUCUUCCCCUUAUUCAAAAGCCAACACUUUUUGCUUAUGAACAUUUGCCUUCAAUUCAAGCAAAAUGGGAUCUUGAUUUUACUUCUCUUUUACUUCUGAUACUAAUGAUAAUUCAACCCCGUUUAUUACCAUUGCUCAUCCUUCUGUGGAAUCCAUUAGUCGGACUCCCAAGCAUGCAAGUCUAUGCACAUCUUUCGCUAACUCUCUUUUUUCUUCCUCAACAUGGGCGGUACUACCCAUAGACAACCUGCUUAAAGCAUCAGCAACCACAUUAGCCUUACCUGGGUGGUAAAGAAUACUCAUGUCAUAAUCCUUGAGUAAUUCUAACCACCUCAUUUGUCUGAGUUAAGCUCUUUCUAAGUAAACACAUACUGAAGGAUCUUGUGAUCGGUGAACACAUCUACAUGCACACCAUACAAAUAAUGACGCCAUAUCUUCAAAGAAAACACUACAACAGCCAACUCUAAGUCAUGGGUUGGGUAGUUCUUCUCACGAACUUUCAAUAGUCUGGCGGCAUAAGCUAUAACCUUGCCAUUCUGCAUUAAUACACAACCUAAACCAACUCUAGAUGCUUCACAAUACACCACAAAACCUUGCGUACCUUCUAGUAAGGUCAAAACUGGGGCAGUAGUUAACCUCUUUUUCAAUUCGUGAAAGCUUUUCUCACAAGCUUCAGACCAUUGAAACUUCACUGUUUUCUUAGUUAACUUGGUCAAAGGGGAUGAAAUAAAUGAGAACCCCUCUACGAACCUUUUAUAAUAGCCAGCUAAACCCAAGAAACUCCUAAUAUCAAUUGGAGAUGUGGGUCUAGGCCAAUUUUGCACUGCCUCAAUUUUCUGAGUAUCAACUUUAGUUCCCUCUAUAGACACAAUGUGGCCUAAGAAUGCCACAGACUCAAGCUAAAACUCACACUUAGAGAACUUGGCAUACAACUCUCUAUCUUUUAGAGUCUGGAGGACUAUUCUGAGAUGACUAACAUGAUCUUCUUCAUUCCUCGAAUAGAUUAGUAUGUCAUCAAUGAAGACGAUAACAAACAUAUCUAAAUAAGGUUUGAAUACUCUAUUCAUAAGGUCCAUGAAUGCUACAGGCGCAUUGGUCAAAACCAAAGGACAUGACUAAGAACUCAUAAUGACCAUAACGGGUCCUGAAUGCGGUCUUUGGAAUAUCACACUCCUUUACUCUUAACUAAUAGUAGACAGAUCUGAGAUCUAUCCUAGAGAAACAGGUGGCAGCCUGAAGUUGAUCGAAAAGAUCAUUAAUUCUCGGAAGAGGAUACUUGUUCUUGUUGGUAACCUUGUUCAACUGAUGGUAAUAUAUACACAUUUGAAGGGAACCAUCUUUCUUUAUCACAAAUAAUACCGUAGUGCCCCAAGGUGAGACACUUGGUCGAAUAAAGCCCUUAUCAAGGAAAUCUUUCAACUGUUCUUUAAGCUCUUUCAACUCUAUUGGUGCCAUUCUAUAUGGCAGAAUAGAUCUUUCAAUUGUUCCUUAAGUCUUAAAUCUAUGUUAAGUUUAAGAUAUACUUGACCAACAAAAAUUAGAAAUACACCGUGCCAUUAAUGAUCUCCUUAGUGGUACAUCACACCUUAAAAUUAAUAACAAUUUUAUGUAUAUAUAUACAUAUUUGACUUAACUUGUUAAAUGGAAUAGAAAAUCCUACAAAAAAAAUAAAUUGUCCGGCGGUUAUCUACCGUGGCCCAAUUACAUGAAAUUAACAAUCUCAUAAUAACACAAGAGUAUAAUAGGAAAGAAAUUUUUUGUAGAGUUUUAAAUCAAACACAAGAUUAAGUGGAAAGUAAUGAACCAAACACUUGGCAAAAAAUAAUCCCUGCACUACUAAUCUCUGCAUUACUAAUCUCUACGUUACUAAUCCCUACAUUACUAAUUCCUGCAUUAUCAAUGUUUGUACCAAACGAUCCCUAAGUCUUAAGACAAAGUUAAAAGCAUUUGCAAAAGACUUCUUGAAAAGACUCUAAGAACUUCCUAGAUUUGGCUCUUAACUUUCCUUGAAUUUGAAUUUAUGGAUUCAAGGUUAUGAUUCAUGUUUUCUAGAUGAUUUCUAGAUGUUUAGAAGUCAUUUUGAGUAGUUAGAAUCAAUGGAAAGUGUUAGUACCCUUUAGAAGGACUUAAAUCGGCUAAAUGAUGAAAAAUUGGUAAAAAAUGACGAUCUAGGCGCGCCGCGCCAUCCCCACUUUCUGGGGAUCCUUUUGGGCGCGCCGCCCCAGCCUCUCUGGCGCUAUGGGAGUGCGACGCACAUAGCCCUCCCCAGGUGCAUCUGAUGAUUUUUUCAACUCAUCUUCUGAUCCUAAAUCAUUUUAAAUCAAUUCUUUUUCUCAAUACUUUCUUAGAUUCAGAUACCCAAAACAUGUACACUAUAAUCUAACUCGAAACAACUCUUAACAUCGCUAAAACGUCUCAAUAAAACCCAUCAAUCACAUGUAAGUUCAAGAAUGGAAACAAUUCAAGAACACAACUCAAGAAUAUCAAAUUCUAACUCUUUCAGGAUGAAAAUCGCUGAAUUGAACAUGUUUGGCGCGUGGGUGAUGAGUCCACAAAUUGGACUCAUUUAGGGCUAUAUUUUAAUAGAAAUUGUGUCAUCAAAUGCUUUUUUAAUCUCAAUAUCUGAUGAAAACCCUUAAGUUUUAGAUAUUUGAUGUUUGAAGGAAAGCACAAACACUACGUUGCAAAAAGCAACGAAAAGGCUGAGAAGAACGAAGAAAUGAAGGCCUGAGGAUCGCCGAGUUCACUUGGCGAGUCGCCGAAGAGUCUUACUUCGCCUUUUGCUCCAGUGUGCUGAGCUAUGAAGGAAAAGAUCAAGUCGGCGGAGAUAGGGAGCAGUUGUCGCAUCGCCGAAAAGUUCCGCGAAACAGUACCACGUCGCCCAAUGUCCCAGAGCACGACGAUGCUGAAGGCUGGUGCAAGAAGGCGAUGAACUACACCAAAGGGCGAAUCACCAAGUUGAUCGGUGAUUCCGACUAACGACGCCGAAUGAUCCGCUGCAGCACAAAUCUAUUAAAACUAUAAAUAUUUUUUAGAUUUGUAGUUUUAGGAGUUGAACAAUUAUUAUAAUUUUCAUAUCGAAUAGUACUUUUUAGUAUUUUUGAUCUAAGUUUGAGAGGGUUUUGAAGACUUAAAGAACAAGAGGGUUUCAUCUCCAAGGAUUUGGACUUGGGUCUCUUGGAUUCUUCNNNNNNNNNNNNNNNNNNNNNNNNNNNNNNNNNNNNNNNNNNNNNNNNNNNNNNNNNNNNNNNNNNNNNNNNNNNNNNNNNNNNNNNNNNNNNNNNNNNNNNNNNNNNNNNNNNNNNNNNNNNNNNNNNNNNNNNNNNNNNNNNNNNNNNNNNNNNNNNNNNNNNNNNNNNNNNNNNNNNNNNNNNNNNNNNNNNNNNNNNNNNNNNNNNNNNNNNNNNNNNNNNNNNNNNNNNNNNNNNNNNNNNNNNNNNNNNNNNNNNNNNNNNNNNNNNNNNNNNNNNNNNNNNNNNNNNNNNNNNNNNNNNNNNNNNNNNNNNNNNNNNNNNNNNNNNNNNNNNNNNNNNNNNNNNNNNNNNNNNNNNNNNNNNNNNNNNNNNNNNNNNNNNNNNNNNNNNNNNNNNNNNNNNNNNNNNNNNNNNNNNNNNNNNNNNNNNNNNNNNNNNNNNNNNNNNNNNNNNNNNNNNUUAGAACUAAAUUUUAUUUUUCUAUUAAUUCUCAAAACCACUCUCUUGGGAACGAUCCCAACCCUUGGUUGGGUUACUAAACUAUUGUACGAUCGUAGACACUUGCAUCGGAAGUUAUGUCUUGAUUAUGCAAACUUCAAAAUGGCGCUGCUGCCGGGGAGUGGUGUUACUUGAGAAUUUUUAGAUUAGUAGAAUUUUUGUUCUUCUUAGUUGUAGUUUACUCACCUAAUUUGUGGUUUUAUUUUAUUUUCUUGUGUGAAUAUUUAAAAAAGCAUGAGUGUUAACAGUAGCAACGAUAGCCAGGUGGGCCACCAGGAUCUUAUUGGUAAUCUCAACGAUUUCCAAGAGCCCAACAUCAAUGACCCUCAUCUCAUGGGAGGUGUUGGAGCCAUCCGUGUAACCCCAGCCGAGGGAACCGCAGUGUUGCACAUAACGAGCAUCAUGUUGCAACUCUUGCAACUAAAGGGACUUUUCAGCGAACUGGCUCAUGAGGAUCCUCACGAGCAUCUUCAAAACUUUGUAGAUGUGUGCAGACCAUUCUCGUUCAAAAACAUCUCCCAGGAGUUGGUCCGGUUGAGGCUAUUCCUCUUCUCGUUGAUGGGAGAGGCGUGCAAAUGGCUAGGCGAGUUGCCACGAGAAUCCAUCACUUCUUGGGAGGAAUUGGUAUCCGCAUUUCAUGUGCAAUUUUUCCCUCCCUCGAAGAUGAUGGUACUUAGGGAUAUCAUCCAUGUCUCGAAGGAGAGUCUCUGCACGAAACUUGGCUGCAGUUCAAAAAGUUGGUGAUACAAUGCCCAACCCAUGGUUUGCCUGAUAACGUGUUAGUUCAGUACUUCUAUCAGAGUUUGGACUCGGUAAACAAAGGUGUCGUCGACCAACUCUUGCCGGGAGGCUUAAUGCAGCAGUCGUAAGCAGUAGCAGCCCAACUUUUAGAUAGCAUGGCAACCAUCAACAGAGAAUGGUACACUCGUGAGGACCAAGUCUCCUCUCUCACCUUCAACCUAUCCAAGGAACAGAUUGAAAAAGACAAUGAGAGAGACCAAAACAUGGCCAAAAUGAUGACGCAACUUGAUAUUUUAUCCAAAAAUGUCAUGGGGGCUGGUGCCCGUGGUGUCAACCCUAUGGGGGUUGGGUGUGCUAAUCUUGAGGAGAUGAAGUUUGAAGCCUUGUAUAACGAUAAGGUAAAUUUUCUAGCCAACCAAGGCGAUGGCUACAGCUCAAAUUACCUAAGGCAUGGUGGUAACCAAGGUUGGGCUAGAGAUGAAGGCUGGAAGGACCGAGAUCGUGAAUGGAGGGACCGUAAUCCGAAUUGGAAAGAUGGGGAGAAGGACAUAUAUGUGCCUCCCCAUGAGCGCCAGAAACCCAAGGAUUCAGAAGGAGGUAGGUCUAAGGAUAUGCUCUCAUGCAUCUUCAACAAAGUUGAAGGGUUAAACAAAAUGCUAAAAGGAAUGAAAGAACAUGUAUCUACCCUUAGCCAAACCAUCACCUCCUAUUCAGUUUCAAUCAAGAAGUUAGAAACCCAGAUGGGUCAUAUCUCGUCUCACCUAAAUUCGAGAUAGGAAGGGGGUUUGUCGAGUGAUACUAUGGCUAACCCCAAGAAUGAGGUUUGAAGGUGGACUUGCAUCGUGCCACGACGUUAACUAAGGCGUUGUUUGGGAGGCAACCCGAAACCCUUUAUUGCUUUAUGUUGCUUUGAUAAAAUAAUGGUGUGUUCAUUGUGCAGAUGGAAGUGUGAAGAGUGAACGAAAAGUGCAAAUUGGUGAGCAACAGGUCUAAUCAGCGAAUCACCGAACGGUUUGGCGACUCCGAACUAGACCAUCGUUAGACUCAAGAUCAUCUUGCAUUGGAGUCUGUAAAACUCGGUGAGCACAUGAAAUUAUUUGUGAACCGCCGAUCGUGUCGGCGAUCCCGACAGAGACCGCCGUUUGGACUGGCACAUAACAUGGAGGUUCUGUAAACUUCAGCGGGGAAAAUGACUAUUUGGUAUUACACCGAAUAGAUCAGCGAUCGGGACUAAUGUUGCCGAACGGGUGAAAACAGGACGGUUUUGCAAGCCAAAGGUUUACAAGUUUCAAAUUCAUUCACUUUGCCUCACUUUUUGUCUUCCCAAACUCACACCCGCAUGCUAGAUCCUAUAUUUUUGCAUUUCUAAAGUAUUUUUAUUGUCGAAUUAUGCUACGAGUUGGAUCACAUUGCUUCCUAGCAUCUCAAUAUCCAUUUGAUCGGCAUAAAAGGUUGGUAAUUCAAACUCCGAGUUCCUUUCGUCGACAGUUGUACUCAAAUGAAAUGGCAUUACUUUGAUGAUGUGUGUUGGGCCUAUCUGGUAGGAUUAGAAUAUUUGUUUGCCUGUUAGGUUCACAAAUUUUGCCCGUACUAAGUUAAAUAGUUAAUUCCUGAAAGUUGCGCUUUAAAUUGGAUGAAAAUCGUAGGUUGUGCAUGAUUGUCACUGGGUUUAAGCCUAAUUUGAGUUGUUCAUGCCUUAAUUUUGUUUUCGGGGGUUGAAGGGUUGGAUUCAAGAAAAUGGGUUGAAACUAGGAACGUGAGCCAUUUGGCGAGUUAAGUCGAGCUCGCCAAACUACUCGGCGAUUCGCCUAACAUCCCCAUUUCGCCGUUAUUUUAAUGCCAUAUGUAAUGUUUAGUUCUGUAACUUUCUGCGAGAAGCCUUUGAUCGCCAAAAGCAUUCGGCGACUUGCUAAAAGACUUCUUGUUCACCCUUUGUCUGCACCCUUGUAUUCUCUAUGUACUGCACUCGGCGAACCGCCGAAGUAGCUGCGCGCUUCACCAACUGGUUCAACAAAGUGAUUUUGCAAUUGAACUGCCUUGCUUUUGUCUGAAUACUUUCUAACUUUUGCUCAAAGUUUUGCAGAAAUGGCUAAAACCAAAAGUAGCUGGAAGAGAUAUGCCACCCCAACAAACAAGAGCAAAAAAUUUCAGGAAAAAUACAAAGGCAACAAAUCCUCCCAAAACAGAUAAUGAGGACAAGAAGCCCAGUGCCAGCAAGAGAACAAAUCCCCGAGACCCCACUAUUCCCUCAUGGAGACGUGGAUUCUUCACAACUAUCCAUUCCUUUCUAGAGGCUUAUGACUUGGACAAUCUUAGUAAGUCAGCUGCCGCUGAAUCUUCUAAAGAAGCUCCGAGGGCCAUUAUCAAGUUCCAGGCUGACACAUCGGGCACUGAUUCCCAGAUAGAUGGAGCGACUGUGUAGCCAGAAUCCCCUCUUUACCUCCGUCUCUGUCUUUCUUUAUUUUACCUUUUGGAUUCUGUGUAAAUUGCAUUUGAGGACAAAUUGCUUUUAUUUGUAGUGGAGUGAGGCCCACCUUUGUGAGCUAUUUGAUGUUUGUAUUUUGUUUAUAUUUGGGUUGUUCAAUCUAAAAUUGUGUUAAUACUGCUUUUCUGUAGAUAUUUGAUCUUGAAGCUCUUUUUAUUUUAUAUUGCAAAAUGAUUUGGACCCUUUCUGAAAUUUUUUGUAUUUUUCGCACAUUUUCGCCACCCUUUAUAUGCUGUUGAAUGUGGCUUUUCCUUGGAGAAUUUGAGUCUCGGUUUCGAUCAAUACCGAGGACUUGAAUAGUGCUCUCAAUCGAACGAACAUGAAUGCGCGACUACAAUGAGGCCAAAUGAAGUUGCAUAAACAAUAUGUGAACUCUUUGCAUCUCGUUAUGACUAGCCUUGUAUCAAAUUGAGUCUCUUGUGAUGAUCAUUGCACAUUAGCGAAAGUGUGGAGUCUUGUUUGACUUAUAGUGUCAAUGCCUAGUGUGAUGAGCUUACCUGUGAACUAUGCAUGAUAGAUCCUAGAAUUUGCCCCGUUGGUCCGGUCAACUAAGUGAUNNNNNNNNNNNNNNNNNNNNNNNNNNNNNNNNNNNNNNNNNNNNNNNNNNNNNNNNNNNNNNNNNNNNNNNNNNNNNNNNNNNNNNNNNNNNNNNNNNNNNNNNNNNNNNNNNNNNNNNNNNNNNNNNNNNNNNNNNNNNNNNNNNNNNNNNNNNNNNNNNNNNNNNNNNNNNNNNNNNNNNNNNNNNNNNNNNNNNNNNNNNNNNNNNNNNNNNNNUUUCUUUAUCCAUCACCCAUAAUCCUCAUGAAGUUGUGGUUAGUUGAAUAGCCAACUUAGGCCAAAAGCCUAAGUUGGGGGUGUGGUGAAAAGAAAAGGCAAAUCAAGAAGUGCAAGAAAGUCCUUCUUACCCAUGGUUUUGAGAAAAAUGGAACCCCUCUAUAUAUAUAAAAGAAUGAAAAAUAAAGUUGUGGAAUAAAGUACAAAAGAAAUGGGGUCUCCAAAUAAUUCACGGGAAGUGAAUAAUAGGAUGACUUAUGAGCACUAAAGAGAAUGAUAACAAAAGGAAAGGAAGUGUUGUGAGCACCACAUUUCAUGAGGAUGAAAGUCACUGAGCCUAAAUGACCAUACCUUUACACUCAGCCCCGUUACAAGCCUUGUUAAGACCUUUGUGAUCUUGAGAAAGUCGAAACAAAUGUUGAUUGAAAAAUACGGGCAAACCUAUGGAUGAAAUUAUGCAUUAUGCUCUUCUUUGUGAGUGUGAGAGUUGCAUCUGAUUCCAAAGCUUUAAACUGUGAACCUAUUGUGUGAAUAUGAAAUCAUUCUUUGUGUGAGUGCAUUUGAACACUAUAGUUGAGCUUGAACUUGCAUUUGAAGCAAGUAUUGUGAGCAUGAGAUUCGUUGAUAUUGGUGAGUCACAAUUUGAAUCUUUAAGUACACAUUUGAUCUUUGCAUAAGUAAAUUGAGUCUUGUUGUGUGCAUUCAUGAUUGAGUCUUGUGCAACACUAUUCGAGACACCCUUUUAAACGGCUAAACUUGAGUUUGCUUGAGGACAAGCAAAUGUUUAAGUUGGGGGUGUUGAUGAGUCCACAAAUUGGACACAUUUAGGGCUAUAUUUUAAUAGAAAUUGUGUCCUCAAAUGCUUAUUUUAUCUCAAUAUCUAACGAAAACCCUUAAGUUUUAGGUAUUUGAUGUUUAAAGGAAAACAUGGACACUACGUCACAAAAAGGAAUGAAAAGGCUGAGAAAAAUGAAGAAAUGAAGGCCUGAGGAUCGCCGAGUCCACCUGGCAAGUCGCCAAAGAGUCUUACUUCGCCUUUUGUUCCAGUGUGCUGAGGCUUUUAUGAAAGGAUCAAGUCGGCGGAGAUAGGGAGUAGUUAGCCGCAUCGCCGAGAAGUUCCGCGAAGCAGUACCAUGUCUCCCAAUGACCCAGAGCACGAUGAUGUUGAAGGCUAGUGCAAGAUGGCGAUGAACUACACCAAAGGGCGAAUCGCCGAGUUGAUCGGCGAUUCCGACUAACGACGCCGAAUGAUCCGCUACAGCACAAAUCUGUGAAAACUAUAAAUACUAGUUAGAGUUGUAGUUUUAGGAGUUGAACAAUUAUUAUAAUUUUCAUAUAGAAUAGUACUUUUUAGUAUUUUGCUCUAAGUUUGAGAGGGUUUUGAAGACUUGAAGAAAAAGAGGGUUUCAUCUCCAAGGAUUUGGACUUGGGUCUUUUUUAUUCUUCAUUCUUGGCCUGUAACAAGACUUAAAUCUUCAUACCCAUUUGAAUGCAAGCUCAUUUAGGAAUAAAUUUUUAUCUCUUGAUGUGUGGCUAAAAACCUCAAUUCUUGGGGUGUGAUUUAGCGAAUAUGGGUUAAGUUAAUUGUUGGGUCUUGCUUGUUGAUAGUUUAGUCAUAGUUUAAUUAUGAUUUCGUUUAGUGGUUGUGGGUGAACUUAAUGAGGUUGUAGUUGCAAAAUAUAAUCUCAUAUAUGUGUUUUCGGCUUGCUCGAGAGAGAGGUCGUAAAACUAAGACCAUUAAAUUGAUGGUUAGUGCGAGUGGGUCGACAUGAGGUUCAGCUUGAGAGAGUAAACCCUAGUCCCAUGUCCACACACUCAGCUCAAGAGAGUGAGUGGGUUAAGGCGUAGGCUGGUCUUCACGCGGCAAGUGGGUGUCCGAGAGAAACGCUAUUUGAAACAGGGUAAGUUGCUCGAGAGAGAGCUUAUACCCCUUAAAGUCUAGCCUAGUCACAAUUAAUCUAUGAAUCUUCUAUCGAAAGCAUGUACCCAAUAAUCUAGCUUAACCCGUAUUCCCAUCACAUCCCAAGGUUCCCCUCACAUUACUUAGAAACCCUUGUUUAUUUUGUUGUUUUUACCUUACUUGUGACAAAACCCCCCAUUGUUAAUUGACACUCUUGUGUCCCCCUUUAAUUUGCAAUGUUUACAAUCGUUAUUGUCUUUAGCUACGACUAGUUAGAACUAAAUUUUAUUCUUCUAUUCAUUCUCAAAAACCACUCUCUUGGGAACGAUCCCAACCCUUGGUUGGGUUACUAAACUAUAGAUCGUAGAUACUUGCAUCGGAAGUUGUGUCUUGAUUACGCAAACAUCAGUGGGUGAAUGGACCCAACUCUAUGUGAUCUCACAUACCUCGUACGGAUCACCCCUUGACGAAAUCCACAAGCGAUUCCUUACAAAGACGACGAAUCUUGAACUUUCUUCUCCUUUCUCCUCUUUUCUCUUUUCUCUAAGCCCUAGCGUGAACUUCCAAUUUUCUAAACUGACAAAAUUCUGAUUUGACCCUUAAUUAAUUCAAUAAAAUGAAUUAAAUUAAUUGGGUAAGGAAAAGACUAAAAUACCCUUCCAAAACCCGGUUCUAGACUUUCCUUAUUUGAACAGCCCAACUUCGAAUGGAGAUAUCUCACUCAUACGAACUCGGAAUCGCAUAAACUUGGCGGCGUUGGAAAGAUUAUUCGAAGAUAUUUCCUACUAUAUCUGUAAAUACACCUAAAUCAUCUUGAGAUAGAAGUUACGGUCAUUUGAAGUUGACCAAAAAUCCAACUUAGCAUACUUAACAAAUUUUCCAGAUUUUUAUUUUCUUUUCAAAAAUGACUAUUUCCACUUUUUAACUUUUUUCUAGUUACGGAGUGUUACAUUUUCUUAAUGGCACUGUUUGUGGUUCAUUUGCGCUAGAUACUUGUGAGUUAGUUCCUUCUUAAAGUGUUUCACCCAAAUAUUGUUCAGCAUUGUUAAAGUGUUCUUCAACAAGAGGAACAACAUUUGUUAUUUGUGUGGAAGUAGGUAUAUUCAUGGGCAAUGGAAUAUUUACCCUUACCUCAUUGAUUUCCCCACUUUGUCGUUCAACACUCCCACUAACUUCACCAUUCUCAAUGAAUUUUGCAUUACCAGUUUCAACAAUUCUCGAACUAUGAUUUGGAUAGUAAAACUUAUACCCUUUAGAUUUCUCUGGAUAGCCAAUAAAGUAUCCACUUACCGUUCGAGAAUAUAAUUUCUUUUCAUGUGGAUUAUAAACUCUAUCUUCCGCUUGACAACCCCAAAUAUGCAGGUGUCUUAAACUAGGCUUCCUUCCCAUACACAGUUCAAAAGGGGUCUUUGGAACUACCUUACUAGGAAUCAUGUUUAAUAAAUAUACAAUGGUUUUAAAAGCAUACAUCCACAAUGAUUUGGGUAAUGAAGAAUUACUUAUCCUACUCCUAACCAUAUCCAUAAGUGUUCGAUUACGCCUUUAUGCAACACCAUUUUUGUUGAGGUGUUCCUGGCAUAGUAUACUGUGCACAUGUGACAUGUUCUUCAAGGAAUUUUGCAAAUGGACCUAGACAUUGUCCUGAUUCGUUAUACUUUCUAUAAUAUUCACCACUUCUAUCUGACCUAAUGAUUUUCACUUUCCUAUCUAACUAUCUUUCAACCUCAUUAACGUACACUUUGAGAGUGUCCGCUGCUUGAGAUUUUUCUUUCAACAAAUAGAUAAAUCCAUAACUUGAAAAAUCAUCGAUAAAGGUGAUAAACUAUUUUUCUCCACCUAAAGAUGGAACAUCAAAGGGUCCGCAAUCAGUGUGUAUAAUUUCAAGAAGCUGAGUGCUCCUUGUGGCACCUUUCUUGGUAUGUUUGGUUUGCUUUCCUUUAAUGCAAUCCAAACAUAUAUCAAUAUCAACAAAAUUUAAAUUCGGAAGAAUCUCAUUCUUUACUAAUCUUUUUAAUCGUUCUUUGGAUACAUGACCCAAAUGUUUAUGCCAUAAAUAAGCAGAACUUUAUUUAGUGAACUACGUUUAAUUCCUAUAUUUUAAUGAAUAGUAAGUAGGGAUUUAGAAAAAUUAUUAUCGAGUUUCAAUCUAUAUAAACCAUCAAUAAGAACACCAGAACCAUAAAAAAUAGUAUUCUUAUAUAAAUUGAAACAUCCAUGUCCAAACUAAAAAUCAAAUUCAGAAACAUCAAGUCUUGAAAGAGAAAUCAAAUUCCUAGAAACUGAAGGAACAUAAAGAGUUUGUAAUAGAUCAAGAUGAUAUCCAGUCUCCAAGAUCAAUCGAGAAGUCCUUAUGCCUUCAAUUUGAGCCUUCAUGCGAUUUACCAUGAACACGAAAUCCUUAUUUGGAUUUGUAGUUUGGAUCGUAGUGAAUCCCUGCAACAUAGUGGAUACAUGAGUAGUUGCACCAGAAUCAAUCCACCUAUUAUUAUUAGGAACUUCUACUAAAGUUGAUUCGAAACAUACAAAAUCACUAAAUGUACCUUUCUUUUCAAACCAAGCUUUACGUUUCAGGCAAUCUUUCUGAUAGUGUCCUUCCUCUUUACAGAAAUGAUACACAUCAGCCUUGAGUUCCUUAUGAGCAUCCUGUGGAACUUUAGCAGGUGCUUUAUUUUUCUUAAACUUGUUGGCCUUCACUUUAAGUCUUUUACCAGCUCCUUGACCCAUGAGGUUAAUGGAAUGACCUCCUUGUUUCUUAAGUCUUGACUCCUCUUUAGUAAGCAUACUGGACAAUUCACUAACAUCCCACUUAUCCUUAAUAGUGUUAUAGUUAAUUUGGAAUGAUCCAUACUCAAGAGGCAAUGAGUUCAGAAUGAACUGAACCAAAAAGGUGUCAUCCACUUUCAUCCCCAAGGUCCGAGGUCUUGCUGCAAUGUUAGUUAUCUCGAUGAUAUGAUUUUUCAUACUAUGCGACUCAUCAAACUUCAUGGUUGUGAGUUCAGCCAUUAGUGUACCAGCGAGAGACUUAUCAGCAGAACAACAAUGUUCUUCCACAAACUUCAGGUAUUCCCUAGCACUUUCUGUUUAUGGAAUAAUACUCUUAAUGUUGUUAGCAAUAGUCAUUCGCAUGAACAUAAGGCUCAAUCUGUUAGAGCGAUCCCAUGAUUUAUGAUAAGACUUCUCAUCCUCACUGCUCUUACUAGUAAUGGCAGUAGGUUUGUCAUUCAGCAAAGCCAAGUCAAGAUCCAUCACACCUAAGUGGAACUGUACUUGUUCAUGCCAUUCAAAGAAGUUCAAUCCAUUGAACACGGUAACAGACGAAGCAUGCGAAUGAAGAGGAAUAACUCCAAAAUAGAUAUAGUUGCUCACAAAUAAAAAAAUAAUGUGAAUUCAGUAAAGCGAUAAAAAUAUAUCGUAAUUCUCCUUUGGGUAGAUACUAUGAUACAUUAUCAUAAUUUAAAUGCCAAUUUUAUCUUUAAUAGGUAAUUGAAUAUUUUAAUCAAACAUAUACGACAUCUUUGGAUAUGCAAUAAAUGUUUGACUAAAAAUAUUAAUUUACCUCAUAAUUUUCACUAUUCAUAGAAUGAGUGAUUCACCUUUGGGUAAAUUCUUAAGUUCUAGCAAUAGUGAAAGUCAAUUUAUCUAUUUAUUUUCAAUAUAGGCAUUUCAUUAACUUUCAUAGAUAAAUGACAAUUUAUGAAUGCAUAUUUUUCUUAACCAUACUAGUUUGUCCACUUUGGUCACUAAUAAACUAUAUAGAUACAAAUGCACACAUAAUAUCAUAAAAAAAUGUGCAUGAAUAAUUUUAUACAUUUUAGUUUGACCACUUUGGUGACUAACAAACUACAGAAACAUAAUACAUGCAUCAAGUGAUCAUAAAUAUCAUAUGUGUUGACGUUAAGUUUUCUGGUUUGGCCACUUUGGUGACUAACAAACUAUAUUGCACAAAGUACACACAUAUUAUUUAUUUAUUAAUACAAUGAUCACUUUAUUUUAUUGCAUAAUCUAAAAUAAAACAUAAUUAUUACAUUACGAAACGUAAACCAUAAAAAACUAGGAAGAAGGUUCAACCACAGAGUUAGUGCCCACCAAUACAAAACAAUACUGAUGCGAACAAUGAAUAAUUAAUUGGUCUUAUUCUAAAAUUGGACAUAGAAUUCAUGAUUUUCCAUAAACAAGACAUGCAUGUUGAAGAGGAUCUUAAAAGUUUUUUUUUUUAAUUAUCCUCAAUGUACACGUCCAUUCAAAGAAGUGCGUCUUUUCUUUAUUCCUUUUACUUUGGUCUCACUAUAAUAACAAAAUUGAUGCAAGUUUGCAGGUGACAUUGUGCUAGUCGCUUACAUCAUCUUAUAUAGAUAUUAUUGGAACAUUGAUGGUAAGUAUCGAAGUGGAACAUGUGAUAGACAGUACAUCAUAAACAUUGAAUGUUUCAUAUACGAAAAUUAUCAGUUUAAACAAUUCAGACUCAGAUGCCACAUGUAAGAUUAAAUACUUUAAUACAUAAUAUCAGGAUCUUGAACACGAUAAUCUUACAUAGAGAUCAUUAGGACACAUACCUGAUGCGGAAGCCGUCAUCACAGAGAGAAGCGAAAGCAUUAGUCGUAAAUUGGUUUCUACCUCCUUGCCCUAGCCUUACGUUACCACAACUGUCAGCGAUGAAAUUAAUGUAGAGAAUAUGUGGUAACCCUAAUAGGUGGAGGGAGGACCAAUUUAUAGAGGUUAAGACUUAAUCUGGUAUGUCCAUCAAAUAAUCAAUGUACGAACGAGAUCUAUUAUUUAUUAAAUAUUAUUUAUGGUAUUACUUGGGUUACAAGUAAACUUGGACCAUAAGUAAGAAAUAAUUAAUAAUUCUUACAUGACCAACAUAUUGAACUUUGAUGGUGUUUGAAAUCAUAUCUUGUAGUUGUUGAAUCGUUAUAGUAGCCGGUGAAGUAUAUUGUUUUGUGCAUUAAGAUUCAACUAACUUAGUAGGAGAUUCAUUAUCAAUUUUUAUUUUUUUUGCAGUGUUAUAACUCUCUAGGGCAAUAGAAAUCUAAUUUGCUCAUAAGUUGAGCUAUCUGAAGAUAUUUGUUUAAUGCCUCAACGGUUUACUUCAUCACAUAAAGUUGUUUGUCAACAUUGACUACAUCAGUCAUCAUGAUGUUGACCUAUGUUAAGGUAAAUGAAUCUAUUGAAUCUUCGAAAUCCUCAUAUAUAUAUAUAUAUAUAUAAUACAUAAAUAACUUAUAUAUUAUUAAAAUAUUAAAAAAUAUGCAACCUAGUAUUAGUAUAAACUGUUAUAAAUAAUUUAUUUGUGGAUGUCAAGUGAUAACAUCACCUUGCUACUAUAGCAAUAUGUAUUUGUGGAUGUCAUGUGGUAACAUCACCUUGCUACUAUAGCAAUAUGUAUGUGUGGAUGUUAUGUGGUAACAUCACCUUGCUACUAUAGCAAUAUGACUACUCCAAGUCAUAAUGCCUAUAAAAGGGCAUUGAAAUGAUAAUGAAAAGACACACCCAAAAAUAGUUACUACUCUUAUUUCUACUUUCUAUUUUACUAUGCUCUCUUCAUACAAUUUUAGUAUUCUGUCUUCAUUUCAUAACACGUUAUCAGCACGAGUCUCUUCAUCUACGAGCAUCUCCGACAGUGCAUUAGCCGAAACAUAAAUAGUAUAGAGUAUAUUAUAUUUUACUAUAUAAGUCUUCUUAUACUUGAUAGUCUAAAUUUGAUAAUUAUCGUUAAUAUUAUCAUGAAUUUUGAGUUAAUUAUUGAAAGUAUAAUUAGUACAUACUUAAUUGAUAACCUUGUUAGAAGAAUUGAAUUCACCGAAAUCAUUAGAAGACUAAAAGUGCAUAACAUGCAUUUUUAAGGUUGAUACCUUGUUAUGGUUUGCACCUAGGAAUACAUAAUUCCUUUUAAAUGAGAUAUAGGUAAUUUAAGGAAUGCAUAUCAAAAUAAAUAUUAAAAAAAUGUAUUAAAUUUAUUAUGUUGGCCUACAUUGACCUUGAUCAACAUUGUUAAUUAUUUUACACUUAUUUAUCUUUCACUAGCUAAUCAUUUACUUUUUCAAUUAUUAUAAUAUGUUAUAUGUACUAACAUAACUUAUUUUAUACUUGCUUUAAAAAUGUAAGCAAACUAAUAUGUGAAGAAGUAUUUUAUUUUCCUUUGGAAUUAUCAAAAGGACUUUUCUAUCGUGAAAGAUUCUUUGAAGUGGCAUUGACAUGUCAUUCAGGUUGGCAAUUAACAAACUUUUCAAUGGUAAGCUAAUUGUAUAUUUUUGCUUUAUGGUAAGCUUCCUUCAUAAUACUAAUUGCACUAAUUCUGAUUUGUAUAUAUCUACAAAAGAGUAUGCUAAUUUUUGAAAUUUAUAAAAUAUGCUACAUGUCAUUGAGAAAAUUUGACAUGUAGACUUUAUUAGAUCCAUUUAUCAAGUGUUUAUUUAAUUCUUGAAUUUUGAGGUAUCAUGUUAUUUAUUGUGAUUAUUAGUGUUUACCUCUAGUUGUUUUAUCUAUGAAUUACAAUUGAAGAAAGAAAUUUUCUUAACUAGCAAAAAAUGAAGUCAAUGUUGAGAAUUAAUAUGUUGGUCUUUCAAUAAAUGAAUUAUUCAUAAAACUUUUGAGUUGAAAAUAGUAUUCAAGCCACCUAUGAGGAUCAACUUUGCUUCGUUUAGCAAAUGCAAUAAUUUGUAUAUGAUCUUUUGAAGUGUUAUUAUGACUAAAUGUAUUUAUGCUAUUAAUAACAAAGUAACAAUAUUUUAAAGCCUCAAAGGUGAAUUUUAUUUUGGACUAUAUUUAAUGUCACUGAUUGAGGGUAAGACGGUGGAUUCAAGUUCCAUCAAACCAAAAGGGUAAGACAUUGAACAAUGUCUCGAUGCACCAUGAUGAUAAGAUUUUGGGUUCAAGUCCCAUCAUAUUUUGGCCUAACACACCUUUAUAUCGAUAAGUCAUUGGGUUAAAGUCCCAGUGCAAUAUAUUGAUUAUAUAAUGAUGACUGAGCAAAUUGAUAUGCUCUUAAAAAAAUGUGAAGUUCGUCCCAUUGAAUAUACUCCAUUCUUUGAAGUGAAUGUGAUAGCAAUACAUUAAAAGUUUGAAAGAUAACAAGAUAUUUUAUGAUUAAACAUAUGAAUAUGGACGUGAAGGGACAAAAUUAUAAUAGUCAUCAUUGUGAAAGAAAGAACAUCAUGCGUUCUCAAAAUUGUCCUUCAAAGAGUGAAGGUAAUUUUUGUCAUCAAAUUUGGUAUGAAAAGUAUUGGGCACGCGAUUACUGUACGUGCAAAUUAAUUUGAUUUUAUAAAUCCUCCAUCAAAGAAAAGGAUGAAAAAGUGGUGAUACUUUCAAAAGAGAUGUUGAGGUAUGUCAUAUGAAUAUGAUAAAUUUCAAAGCAUGACAAUGAACUUCUAAUGAAAGGAAUAAUUAUGAAGCAUAAAUAUACUAUUAUAGUCAAUUCCUUGAAGAGAAUGUGACUUGUGAUAAGUAUCAUGAAAAGUGGACCAUUCUUGAAAAUGAAUGUGUCAAGAGAAGAUGAAAAUUAUAAAUAAGGACAUACUCAUGCAUGAUUUAAUAAAUACCACAGCUCACCCCUAUGAGAGGUUAGAGAGAAAUAAAGAAAUUUAUUUUGAUAUAAAUGAUCAUUGGUCAAGUACUUUUAGUACAUCAUAAAUAUUAUGAUAUGUUUUAGUAUGAACUACCGAAAGGGCAAAGGAAGGAAAUAAUUUCUUGCCACAAAAAUUGUCAUUGGUUAUGUAUCUCUGUGCAUCAAAUAUUUUGCCAGAUAUUAAAUAAAAGGGAAGAGAUACUAAUGACAAAAGUAAAUCAAGAAACAAGUUUUACUUGUAAUGAUUUUGACCAUGACAAUAAUGAUAUAAUUUUUUCCUUGAAAGAGAUGUUUACCACAAAAACAAUGUUAUGAAAUAUGAGGUAGUAUUUAAUGUUAAUUAUGAGUCUUUGGUGAGCUAUUGUGCUACUACCCAAAGAAAUAAAAUUAUUCAUGAUAUUGGAAUUGUAGUAAGUCUCGAAAGAAACUUUUUAAGCUUCAAAGAAAUAGUCAAAGAAGAAAAAUAUUGAGACUAUAAAAUAUGAAAAGGUUUAAGAUCUUCAUAUUANNNNNNNNNNNNNNNNNNNNNNNNNNNNNNNNNNNNNNNNNNNNNNUUUGCAUAUUGUUUGUGGUAACUAAAUAUGAGCAUGAUGAUGGACUCACAUGCAAAACAAACUAUAAGUUUAUUGAAAUAAAUAUCAGUUAGCAUGACCGGUUGAUGACCAUCCCGGUUCAAAUAUGAUACGAAAAUAAAUGAGAAUUCAUGUGAUUAUAUAUAUUGAAGAAAUAAUAAAUUCUUCAAGAAUUCUCUUGUGUUGUUUGUUCUCAUGAUAAAAUUAUCAUUGUACCAGCUAAGGUUGAGAUUGUAUCUCCCGAAAUUUUGAAAUGUAUAAAAAUGUGAACAUGGAUCCGUGCAUCCGUCAUGUGGACCAUUUACUAUUAUAUAGAUGCAUCUAUGUAUGGUGACAUGUGCUUCAUUAUCGACUUGCAAUUUGAUUUUUGCAAAGAUUGUUUGCUCUAAUUGAUGAAUCAAGAGCACAUUUCAAAUUAUAAAAUUAUAUUGAUAAUGUUGGAUAUAUCCAAGUGGUUUAAGUAGAAAUUAUAUGACUCCAAUUAUAGCUAAAUCAUUGGUUAUGAGAACACAACUCUCAAAAAAAAUUUGGUAUGAGAUGUGUUAUUUAAGGUGUAGCAACACUUGUACGUAUCAAGCCAACAAGAUUCCCCAAUCACAAUUGAUUUAGGGUACUAAAUAAUUCUCAUCUAGAAAUACAAAUGUGUGGCAUAUUAUUUCAUUGCUCCACCAUUACGCAAUGCACAAAGAUGAGUCCCCAAAUAAGGUUGGGUGAAUGUUAGAUUCUUUAACAUUAGGGGGAGAUAAACAAAUGAAAAAUAAGUUAUACAUAAUGAAUUAUCAUGAUCCUCAUUGAAGAAAUAAUUUAAGUCAAUUGUCAGACGCAUUCGCUAACCCUAUGUUAUAAUCUAGUUAUAAAUGCUCCAGUGAAAAGUCCUUGAAGGACAUAAUUUAUGGCAAGCCUGAAGCGUGAUAAAUUAAUUGAUUCAAAAGAUAAAGGAGCAAAUGAUCAAGCUGGUCAUAAUAAUGAGGCAAGUGCUUUAGAAAGAUCACUAUGACAUAACACUUUAUAAAAACAUUGGCAAAGGUUCAGGUACCUGGAAAUGAUGAAAAAUAAAGUGAGAUUGAUAAGUUAUGUCACAUUUGAAUCGAUAUCACAUAAUCGUCAACGAUAUCUUGAAUAUAAUGUAGCGCUCAAAAUUAUAAAUGGUGAUGAAGAUCUUGAUAUUAAAUCUGUCGAGAGUUGUCAGAUAAAUGAUUGGCCAAAGGAAAUACAAUUCAAAUAUUUUUCUAUUCACUUGGAAAAAUGAAGUUUUGGACUUAUUUUGUCCAUAUACCAGACUUAUUUUGUCCAUAUACCAAGUUAUAAUGUCAGUGGGGUACAAAUAAAUUAUUGUGCGAUAAGAAAACUCGUAAAAUACAAAGUACGGGUUGUGCAAAUAAAGAUUUUUCGCAAAAGUCCUGACAUUAUUGUAUGGAGAUAUAUACUCCCAAGGUGGAUGCAAUGAGGUUUCUUUUAGUCUGACAAUACAUGAAAAACUUGAAUACCCAUGAUGAAUGAUUAUCAUGUCUAGCUAGACAGUAAAUAUUAUAUGAAAAUUCUUGAAGGAUUUAAAAGGUUAUAAAGCUAAUCCAUUGAAUAGUACCCCAAUGGUCGUAAGAUCGCAUAACAUAAAAGAUCAAUUUGGAUCUCAUUAAAAUGAUUAGAAAAUACCAUGUUAUAGUGCAAUUGGUGCAUUUAUGUAUCCUACUAUUAUUAUUCAUGGUAAAUAAUUUUAUGAAUGCUAAAUAUAAUAUCACUCUUAUCGGUGGAGAUAUUAGAGUGAAUCAAAUAUUGAUAUAAGUUAUUUAUUCUGAUCAAUUGUGUCAAGAUUUAUUGAUCAUGAAAUUGCAGGAAAUUAUGAAGUUUGAUCUCAAGAAAGUUAUCUAUUUUCAUUUGGAAAUACUAUCAUAUCAAAUCAUUCCACAAGACAGUCAAUUUUGUUGAAAGUGUUUGUCAGUGCUCGAUUAUUGCUGCUAACAAAUUAAACGAGCAAUUUGUCUACACCGGUAAGAUCACGAUUGAGUUAUUGUCAAAAAUAUAUUUGGUUGAGAUCAGUAAACAUAUCUAGAAAAUAUGCGACAUUUCUUUGAAAAGAGAUAUUCCAACAACAUUAUAUGAAGACAUUGAUGCAUGUCUAGCUCAACAAAGAGGAGUACACAUCAAAGAAGACUGAACAAAAUAUAUCUCAUCAAAGUUCUUCUUAUUCAUGAUCUUCAAAACAAGGAUGUAGCCGAUGUUUAACACUUCGUAUUCACCAAGACAUUAUCAACUUCAACAUUUGAGAAGUCAAGAUAUAAGAUUAAAAUGCAUCAUCUUUGAGUUGUUAAGUGAUGCUUAAUCAGGGGGAUUAUAAUACGUGUUGCACUCUUUUUUCCUUAGCCGAGGUUCUGUCCCACUGAAUUUUCCUGGUAAGAUUUUUAAUGAGGCAGCUACUAAUGCGUAUUACAACUUACAAGAUAUGUGUACUCUUUUUCCUUCACUAGGAUUUUUUCCAUUGGUUUUUUUUCUAGCUAGUAAGGUUUUAACGAGACACAUUAUAAAUCAAGACAUGAACAUUCAAAGAAAGAAUUAUGAACGACUAUGUAUACUUGAAUUUUUACUAAAUUUGUGCGCUUACAUGGACAUCCAAGGGGGAGUGUUAUAAAUAAUUUAUUUGUGGAUGUCAAGUGAUAACAUCACCUUGCUACUAUAGCAAUAUUUAUUUAUGGAUGACAUGUGGUAACAUCACCUUGCUACUCUAGCAAUAUGUAUGUGUGGAUGUUAUGUGGUAACAUCACCUUGCUACUGUAGCAAUAUGACUACUCCAAGUCAUAUUGCCUAUAAAAGGGCAUUGAAAUGAUAAUGAAAAGACACCCAAAAAUAGUUACUACUCUUAUUUCUACUUUCUAUUUUACUAUGCUCUCUUCAUACGAUUUUAGUAUUCUGUCUUCAUUUCAUAACAUAAACUAAAUAUUUAGAAGUUGAAAUUUUGACUACUCUAUUUUGAUUGAAAUGUAUUUUAAAUGUAAUUGAUUAACAAAAGAAAUUGUUUAUGCUUUGUUUUGAGUAUAUAUUUCUACAUGUAAAGUAAUGAAUUUUGAUGGACUUGAACUUAGGAUUGUAAUAGUUGAGCUAAAAAUUAAGUAUUGGCUUGAGAAAAUGGUAAAGUUAAAGACUUAAGUUGAUUAAAUUUAAAAAAAUAUUUAUAUUUUAUUUAUGAAUAAUAUAUUAUAAAAUUUAUCUGUUGGGUUUGACUAAUUUUGCGGUUGUUUUUUAGUAAAAUCAAAACCUAAUCAAAUAGUAUCAAUUUUCAAAAUUUAAAAUCAAACCUAAUCAAACCAAACCAAAUAUCAAUUGUUUUAAUCGAUUUGAUUCAAAUUGCAAUUAAAUUUAAUUUUUUAACCAUAACCAUGAACAACCCUAGCUGUCACUAUAAUUCUCAAAGUGAAUUUAAAAGAAAAAUUAGAUAAAAUAUUUAUUGAUUCAGAAAGAAUAUUCUAUUCCCUUUCUCUCUCACAUGUGACUAUCUCAUCUUUGUAAAUAUCUUGUCUCCCCUUCUCUCUAUUUUUCUUUCUCAUUUUUUUUUUCCGCAUGUUUUUUCUAUUUUGGCACUCUAACUUAAUUUUAUUUUAUUUUAAUUCUCCAACUUUAUUUUUAAUAUAUUAUUUAAACAUAAAAUAUUAACUAAACAGAUAAAUAAAGUUAUUUACCUUUUAAAGUAUGUGAGAAAUUCUUUUUAAUAUUAAUAUUCAAUAUUUUUAUGUUAACAAUUUUUUUCCCUAUAUAUUUUCUUAUCUUCUCUUCAACCCCAUAUUUCCCUUCAUCUACUUUACAAGUUCAUUUUUUUCUUCAUCGACCUCUUUUUUUUUAAUUUAACUAUCUAUGCUGAAGAUAAUGAUUUUUUAAAUUUUAAUUUAUAUAAUUCAUUUUGUCUAUAUAAGGAGUAAAAUAUUAAUUAUGUUCUAUGUUAUAAAUGUCUGAAUAAAAUGUUAAUGCAAGUUUAAGGUAUUGUUGUAUGUGUUUGACCUUCUAACUCCUAACCUAACUCAUUUCUCGUCUUCCUUUUCCCACUUUCAAGCCUUGUUACGACUUUAAUUGAGAUAAUAUCUCAGAUGGUCACUCAACUAUGCAUAGUUCUCCUAGAAAGUUACAUAACUAUACAUAAUUUUCUUUGAAAAUCACUCUACUUUAUUUUAUAACUCAAAAGUCACUCAACUAAUGAUAGUUUUCUUAGGAAAUCACUCAACUAUUGAUAUUUUACCUAGAAAGUCACUCACUGAAUUUAAAUAUUUUUAUAGAUUAAUUUUAUUUAAAUUAAAAACUUAUUUAAAAAUAAAUUCUUAAAAAAUGAAAAGAUACCCAUUAGUUACUAAAAUUUAUUAAAAUAAAAAGGUACUCAUUAUUUAUAAAAAGUUAUUUAAAUAAAACGGUACCCAUUAAUAUAUACUUUUUAUUAAGUCAUGAUAAACGAGCAAUAUCUGCUCUUAAGAUGAUUCCGCAAUAAUUCUUUUUUUAGUACAAGCAGCAACAAAAUGGGGAAAGGGACAACAAAAAAUCAACAAGAUAAAUGAAAUAUGUAUUUAGACAAUAUAUAUUGUCAUAUUGAGUAGAGCUGUCAAUAUGGGCUGGUCUAUCCCAUCCAGACUAACUCAUACAUGCUUUGAAAUUUUACGGGUUAGGCCGGGCUAGCUCAUUUUUAGGGUGGGCCAGAAAAUGGUCGGUCCAACCCACAAGUACGUGGGCUAGGGGCUUUUUCGGGUCACCCCUCUUUUUUAAAAAAUAUAUUUUUUAUAAUUUUUUUAAUUAAAUAAUAAUUUUAAAUAUUAUCAUAAGUAUCGACAAGACAAUAUUACAUGGUGUUACCAUUAGUACUUGUUGAUCAAAUCCACAAAUAAAAUUAUCUUUAUAAUAUUUAUUAAGUUUGAUUUCAAGUAAAAACAUAAAUAGCUAAAUAGAAAUAUUAACCUAAUUGUUUUCCAAUCAUAAUAAAACACAAAAAUUAUGACAAUAUUGCAUAGGCUACGGCUUAUGUAGUGAUUCCCUAGAAAUUUUCAGGAAUUUUUAUUUUAUGUAGUACACAAAUUAUGAACAUAAUUUGUAUUUAAAUUGUAAUAUUUCAAACUUUAAACAGAUUUCGAGUUUAGACUCUUGUUAUUUUUAAUACUCAAUUUUAUUUUUAUUUUUUAAUUAAUUUUUAUUUGGCCCCACGGGCCGGCCCUAUCCAUAUUUCUCAAUCUCCACAAAUCUUGUUAUUUUAAUACUCUAUUUUAUUUUAUUUUUAAUUAAUUUUUAUUUGGCCCACGGGCCGGCCCUAUCCAUGUUUCUCAAUCUCCACAAAUCGGCAGACUUAUUCAGGUCGGGCUAAAAAGCCCUUUUAUUAAAUGGGCUUCAAAAAUCGUAAUCCAACCCUAUCAAAUCACAGGUUAGGCCAGGCCGACCCAACGGGCCUAGCUCAUAUUGACGACUCUAAUAUUGAGUUUCUAUUUUAAGAAAUCAAAUAGGAUAAAUUAGAUCUACUAGUAUGAUCCAUAAUGGAUAUUUAUCCGAUAUUUUGUUAUCUUUUACCAAUAUACAUUUAAUAUUUUUUAUGAAAUAAUUUGUACCUUUUUAUUUCUUAAAAUUUAGCUUAAAAAAAAAUUAGUUCAGUAAAAUUUAAUUAAAAAAUCAUUUGAAUUGAUUGACUGACUUUCUAGGUGAAAUAUCAAUAGUUGAGUGACUUUCUAGGAAAUAUCCUUAGUUGAGUGACUUUUGAGUUAAAAAUAAAGAUGAAUAACUUUUUAAGAAAACUAUGCAUAAUUGAGUGACUUUCUAAGAAACUAUUCGAGUGACCAUCUGAGAUAUUAUAUCGUCUUUAAUUCAGUCACUAGUCCUAUCUUUAGGAUCCUCUUCCUUAAAGUUAAAAUAGUAAUUUUGGGCAAGCCAACACCCAUAGUGUGAUGGACGGUGGAUAUAAGGCUCGAAAAUGAUUUUUUUUCAUCAUAUGAUUAACGACGGUUACUAGUAAUUCUAACUUCACGCAGGUGACUUGUAGUCUGCAAUUCGAACUAAGGAUGAAUUUUUGGGGUUAGCUUAUCCUCGCACGGUGGCGAUUAUUAGGGAUCCUUUAAGACAAUGGCUGGGGUUGUAGUCUUGUUAUCUUAUGUUUCAGAGUCAAUUGAUUCCUCAAUAUAUUUUAACUAUAAAUAUUUUAAGAAAAGAAAAAAAAUCAUUUAGAUUCGAGACGAAAUUAACAAAUUGUGAUAUAUAUUGAUAAUUAAUGAAAAGGAAUAGGUGAUGAGAAAAAAACAUUAUUUUCAAGAAAAUCAAAUAAUAUCACGAGGUAGAAAGCCUUUCAAUGAAAUCUGCAGCCAAGUGAAAAUAAUAAUAAGGGAAAAAGAUCUGAAAUAUAUCUAAAUUUUGAUCGAAAUUGAUGUAACAGUACUGAACUUUGGAAAGGACUUUUUACCCCUGCACUAUUUAAUAGUGUAUUUUAAAGGUAUAUAUAUGCCCAUGUGGACAUCAUAAAAAUUGCAUAAUUAUAAAUAGUAACGUGUCCACGUGGGCACAUAUAUACCUUUAAAAUACACUACUAAAUAGUGCAGGAGGAUAACAACAAUUUCAGCCAAAAUUGAAGUACUAAUAAUAAUAUAUGUUUUCAGAAUUUUUCGAUAAAGGAUCUUAAUCAACAUAAGAAAAAACUUCUAUAAACGUAUACUAUGAAGAGUUUUAAAUAUAUAUUUUUUGAAUUUGAAUGAAAGUAUAUGAUGUGGACUAAUUAAAAUUUUAAUUUUUAAAGUGAAAGAAAUUUAACACUUAAAGAAUAAACGCACACAUUCAAAUAAUAUGAAUUUCAUAUUACGUGAGUGUACUAAUUAAUUAAUAUAAAAUAAACGUGCAAACGCAUGUGUCGGUAAACAUAGAUAGAUAUAUAACAACGUGAAGCAAAUGAUGGAUCUGCUCAUUCAAAAAGACAAAAAACUCACAUCAUAAAAGUUAAAUAUGUUAUAAAAUAUUAUAGUGUGGUGUCCACUACACUAAGAAGUUACUCUCACCCAUUAUUUCCAUUACUUUCCUCCAUUAUGAAGAUAACCAUAACCUCCAUAACCUAAAACUUUAUAACCAUUAUUUUUGUAACAUUUCACUUCUAUAACCUCCUCCAUUAUAUUCAUGUUAAUGUCAUGUUUAUGACUAACCUUUUGUAUGCCUCUAUGUUACACUAUAAAUAGAGGCAUACGAGUUCAUAUUGUAGAGAUUUGAAGAUUUGGUGAACACUUGAAAGAAAGAAAGUUAUCUCAUAUAUUGUUCCUCUUGUUUUAUAUUUCUUGUCUUAUUUUACUUUAGUUUUACAACACGUUAUCAACACGAAUAUUCUACUAUUGCAGGAUUGAAGCAAAGUAAAUAAAAGAAGGUAAAAUAAUUGUGUUUAUUUUUCUUUCGGGAACAAGGUAAAUUAUAGUGAAAUCUAUUUUAUAUUUUACUUGUGAACAAGGUGAAUGAUUAAUAUUAUUGUUACUGCGCAUUUUUUUUCACAUGUGACUAUAUAUAUAUAUUCUUUGUAUGUGAAACUUAUUUUAUAUUUUAUUUAUGAUUAUACUCACUGUUUUGGUUAUUACAUAAGCUUUUAAUUUAUUUUGUUUUCUACGUGAAAUAUUUUGGGUUUACAUGAAAAUUGAAAAAAGGGUGGUGGUAGUGAGAACUUUUAUUUUAGUGUAAUUGAAAUUAUUAUUUUCUUAGUGUGCAAUUAAUUCUUUGAUUUAUAACGGUAACUCACUAGCUUAACUAUUGUGCACCAAUCAUAAUAUAAUAUAAUAAUAUAUGUAACGCUCUGUUUUGACAAGUUUAAGAUAUUAAUACUUACUUUGUUGAGAAUAUUUUUAUUGUGUUUCGUUUGUUUUAUAUUUAUUUGUGCAUGUUAAUCACAAAGUGACAAUAUUUUUUUAAGGCUCAAUGGUGAGUCCUAUUAUAAUUUGCUUACUAAGACAUUGAUUGAAGGUAAGACAGUGAAUUCAAGUUUCACUACACCAAGUGGGUAAGACAUCGAGUUAAAGUCUCGGUGCACCAUGAUGAUAAGAAGUAGGGUUCAAGUCUCAUUCAUUUAUGACCAAAAACGUCUUUAUAUGGGUAAGACAUUGGGUUUAAGUCCUAAUGCACUAUAAUGAUGAUAUGAUGAUGACUAACAUAAAGUUGUAUACUUUUGACUGAAAGUUAUGAAAUUUGCCCAAUUGAUUUGCUCCAUUCUCUUAUGUGAAUGUGGUAGCAGGGUAUGAUAUGUCAAUUGAUUUGCUCCAUUCUCUUAUGUGAAUGUGGUAGCAGGGUAUGAUGUGUCUGAAAAUGACAAGUGGUUGAAUGUAUCAAUAUGAGUGUGGUAAAAUAUUAAUGGUUAUCAUUGUGGUAAUUAAAAUGAAGAACAUUAUGGGUUCUCAAGAUGGUUCUUCAAAAUGUGAAGGUAAUUUUUGCCAUCAAAAUGGUAUGAAAGGUUAUUGCGCACAUUGUUGUUGGUGCAAUUCAAUUUGAAAAGUUUUGUAAAUCCUCCAUCAAAAUAAAGGAAUACAAAGUGGUAGUACAUUUGACCUCUUAAAGUGAUGUUGAGGUGAGUCACAUAAAUUUGAUAAAUGUGAAAGCAUGACAAUGAGUUUCUGACAAAAACUUAUGGAGCAUGUUCAAAUGGUUAUGGUCCAUUUCUUAAAGAAAAGGUGACAUGUUCUUAUGGAUAAGAACAUGUCCAUGUAUUGUUGGAUAAAUGUAACAUCUUACCUCUACGAGAGGUUUAAGAGAUUGAAAAGAAAUAUUUUGACAUAAAUGAUCAUUUAGUCAUAUACUUUAAGUACUACACAAAUAUUGUGGUAUGUUAAAUUACGAACUAUUGAAGGACAAAAGAAAGAAAUAAUUCUUUCCUAUAAAGGUUGUGGCUAUGACCAAAAUAAAUAUUGUUGUGUGGCAACACAAAUUUGUCAUUGAUUGUCAAGAAAUAAGACUUGCAUGUGAUAAUUUUAAUCAUGACAGUAAUAAUAAUUUUCUCCUUGAAGGAGAUGGUCACCAUAAGAAUGACGUUGUGAAAUUUUUGAUAGUACACAAAAUUAAUUGAGAGUUCCGAAAGGGCUAAUUUGUUACUAUCCGGAGGAAUGAAAUAGUUCAUAAUAUUGGGGUUGUAGUAAGUCUCAAAAGAAACUUUUUAUGUUUCGGAAGAAUUGAAAUGAANNNNNNNNNNNNNNNNNNNNNNNNNNNNNNNNNNNNNNNNNNNNNNNNNNNUUAUUAUAUUGAGAUUGUAAAUUAUUGAAAGAUUAAAUAUCUUCAGAUUACUACAAUCAAAGCGGGUUAUGAAUAUUUACAUAAAAGGUUACCCGCCUUUCUCUUGUUUAUUGUAUACAAAUAUAGGCAUGAUGAUGGAAUCGCAUGCAAAAAAAAUAAUCUAGAAGUUUACUAGAAUAAAUAUCAGUUGGCAUAAUCGGUUGGUCAUUCCGAUUCAAAUGUGAUGCAAAAGAAAUUGAGAAUUCAUGUGACUGUGUUUGAAGAAAUAAAAGAUUCUUCAAGAAUUCUCUUGUGUUGCUUGUUCUCAUGAUAAAAUGAUCAUUGUACCAGCUAAGGUUGGGAUUGUAUCCCCUGAAAUAAUUUGAAACAUAUAAAAAGGUGAAUAUGGGCCCGUUCACCUGCCAUGUGGACCGCUUACUAUUAUGAUUUAAUAGAUGCAUCUAUGGUAUGGUUACAUGUGCAUUUGUAUCAACUUGCAAAUUGGUUUUUGUAAGGUUGUUUGCUCAAAUUGUUAAAUUAAGAGCACAGUUCCAAACUAUAAAAUUAUGUUGAUAAUACUGGUUGGUUUAGAAAAAAUUGUUUGCUUCCAAUUAUAGCUAGACCAUUGAUUAUCAGAAUAAAUCUCUCAAAUAAGAUUUGGUAUGAGAUGAGUUUAUUUAACAUGUAUGCAUCAAGCCAACAAGGUUCUCCCAUUACAAUUCGUUCAGGGUCAGGAACCAAAUAAUCUACAUCUAAAAUUUGAUGUGUGCACAUAUGAUUUUAUUGCUCCACCACACACAAAGAUGGAUCCCCAAAUGAGGUUGGGGGUAAAUGUUAAAUUUCUUAACAUUAGGGGGAGAUAUGUUUAGCAGCUGAAAAUUAUGUGUGGGGUGAAUUAUCUAGAUCCUCGUUAAAAAAAUGUGAACUUGAAGUUCAAGAGAUACUUCAUUUGCAAAAUUUUGUAAAUAAUUUGUCAGAUGUAUUUGCUGACCCAAUAUUUUAAUUAAGCUGCAAAUGCUUCAAUAAAUAGUCAUUGAAGGACAAAGUCUAUGGUACGCCAGAAGCGUGAUAGACCAAUCGAUUCCAAAUGUAAAACUCAUUGAGGAAGGAGAGGAGCAAAUUAUCAAAAUGGUCAUGAUAAUGAGGUAAGUGCUUUGAAAGAGCACUAUGACUUAACACUUCAUAAAACCUUGGCAAAGGUUCAGGUACCUGAAAAUGAUGAAAAAUGAAGAGAUCUCGAUAAGUUGUGUCGUAUUGAAAUCAAUAUCAAAAUGACCGUCGACAGUAUCUUUGAUAUGAAGUAGCACUCAAUAUUAUAAAUGCUUACGAGGAUCUUAAAUUCGAAUCUGUCAUAUAGUGUGGACAGAUAAAUGAUUGCCACUAUUCAAGUAUAUUUUGUUUCGCUUAAAAAAGUGAUGUUUUGAUCUUAUAGUUCAUGGAUCAAAAUAUAAUGCCAUUGUGGUACAACUGAAUCAUCGUGCAAAAGUAUAACUGUAAGAUAUAAAGUGCAGUUUGUGCCUUGGGGAAUAAAAAGUUUUCGCAAAAAUUCUGACAUUAUUAAAUAGAGAUAUAUUCUCUAGUGGUGGAUGCAAUGGGACUUGUUCAGUCUGGCGAAUAGAUGAAAUACUUGAAUAUGCAUAAUGAAUGAUUAUUAUGUCUAACUAGAUGAUUAAGGUUACAUGAAGGAUUUUAAAGGUCUUAAAGCAAUUCCAUUGAGUACCCAAUGAUUUUGAGACUACUUAACACAAAGAAAGAAUUUUUUUGAUCUCAUGAAAAUAAUUUAAAAUGUCAUGUAUUAGUGCAAUUGGUGCACUUAUAGAUUGUUGGUUAUGCAAAUGCUAGAACAUUAUUUGAUAUACAUAACGAAAGUUAUGUGAAAAUAUUGUCAUAUUAUCAUUCAAGUUAUGACAAGAAACUAACAAAGCAAGUGACUCAACACAUAGAAGAUGUGUGAUUUUCUUUCAAAAGAAAAGACGAGCUUCAAUAAAAUUGAAAUGAUCAAUCCCCGAGUCAGAUAUGAUUUGAUUAUGUAGAUGCUGAAUAUUUAUUUGAUCUGCAUAAAGCUCGAUCGCAAAUGGACUAUUAAUUUACAUAUGGAGACGCAACAAUAUCUUGGCAUUCAAAGAAUCACAUUAGUAAUCACUUCUUCAAAUCAUGCAUAAAUAAUAUUGAUCUAUGAAUUAAGUCGGGAGUGUGUUUGGUUGGAAUCAUAAUCUAUCAUAUUCAGAAAAUAUAUGAUUUUCUUUUGGAAAGAAUAUUACAGCCACCAUAUACGGAAAUAAUAUAUAGCUCAUUGAAGGGAGGAUACAAUCAAAGGAGAUCGGACAAAACAUAUUUCACCAAAAGUCUUUUUCACACAUGAUCUUCAACAAAAUGGUGAGAUAAACGUUCAAAGACCCAUUAAAGUGAUAAUCGUGUAAACUUAUUCACUAAGGAUUGCCAACAUCAAUAUUUGAGAAGUUGUGAUAUAAGAUUGGAAUGCAUCAUCUUUGAUAUAUCAAGUAAAGUUUUUAUCGGGGGGAGAAAAAUACGCGUUGUACUCUUUUCCUUAACCAUGGUUUUAUCCCAAUAGAGUUUUCCUGGUACGAUUUUUAACGAGGCAACAUUCAAAGUGUAUUAAAAGAUAUGUGUACUCUUUUUCCUUCACUAGGAUUUUUUCCCACAGGGUUUUUUCCUAGUAAGGUUUUAAUGAGGCAUAUUAUCUAUGAACAUUCAAGGGGGAGUGUUAUAAAAUAUUAUAGUGUGGAUGUCCACUACACCAAGAAGGAACUCUCACCCAUUAUUUCCAUUACUUUCCCCAUUAUGAAGAUAACCAUAACCUCCAACUUUAUAACCAUUAUUCUUGUAAUCUUUUACUUCUAUAACCUCCUCCAUUAUAUUCAUGUUAAUAUCAUGUUUAUGACAAACCUUUUGUAUGCCUCUAUGUUACACUAUAAAUAGAGGCAUAAGGGUUCAUAUUGUAGAGACUUGAAGAUUUGGUGAACACUUGAAAGAAAGAAAGUUAUCUCAUAUUAUUCCUCUUGUUUUAUAUUUCUUGCACUACAACAUUUUAGGCCUACGGCCACACUAAAUCUAGACAACGCUUGUAAAGUGUUGCCUAAAAUAGUUUUGGGGACGCUUUUAAAGCGUAGCCCAAGUUUUUAACUUUUAGCUUCGAUAAUAUUGGCAACACUUGUAAAGUGUACUCCUUAAUGGUAUAAGUUACACUUUAUAAGCGUUGUUAAAGUAUGAUAUAAUUGGCAACAACUAUUUACAUAAAUGUCCAUACUUUUAAAGUGUCCUAUUUUUAUAAUCGUAAAAACACACUACUAAAAAUUUGGUCUAUGGAGACAGUUCAUUUACCGUUGCAUUAGGCUUCUAUUUUGUUGCAAUAGCUCUAUUGCCACGGUUUAGGCAACCACUACAACAGAUCGCGUAGCAAUAGCACUGUUGCUAUGGUUAUUUCCGACAGUUCUUAUAAUCCCUAUUACAACGGUUUUUUACCUUGUGUUAUUGUCAACGGUUAAAGCCCUACUGAGACGAUUAUGAACCGUGGCAAUAAACUUUUAUGCGACAGUUAUAUGUGUUAUAGCUACGUUUUUUUCCAAUUCAACAACAAUUUCUGUCAGUUGCAGCGAUUUUUAUAUGGUAGUGCAACAGUUCUAAAUUACUAUGACUUUUACUCCAUUGCUAUUGCUACAGUUAUUAUUAGGCUUUUGCAACAACUAUUUGCCUAUAGCAACAAUUCAGUUUAGGCUUUUGCAAUCGUUACUAUUAGUCUUUUGCAACAAUUAUUAUUAAUCUUUUGCAACAGAUUCUACUGGUCUACUGCCACAUAUAAUUUAUAGAGCUAUUGGAUAUAGAAUAUAAAAUACACAAAUCGAUUCAAUACCAAAAUUACAAUCCAAGAUCCAUGGUUAGGUAAUAUCGAUAACAAUAAAAUAUAGAACAAUGUUCACGAUUCAAAAUGGGUGUACUGAAACAUUACACAUGAGUUUUUGGUCUUCAAAACUAAAAGAUUUGUAGAACAUUAAAGUUAAUCAACAUCAAGCCAGUCAACACCUAGGUCAAGUUCCCAGUACUGCUUUCAUCCUCUUCUUCGAUUUUAUCACCUAUAAUGAAAAUACAAAAUAAAUUAGCAAAAUUUUCAUACAAGCUUAGUAGUUCCACGCCAGUCAUACAUAAACUUUACUACUUGCUAUCUAUAAUUGACAUAUAAAUUCAAUAAGCUUCAAAUGACAUAAAACAAAACAAAAAAUUGAUGAGGUAGAGAGUUAGGAUAAAAAGUCUCCUACAUUUCGGCCAUAGGUGAAUCUAACAGUAGAACCAUCAGUUAAAUCAAUUCAAUAAGGUGGGUUAUUGGCAUUUGGAGCAGUGAGGAGAUUUUUGUUGUUUCUAUUAUCAAUAAUAAAGAUUCUCUGAUAAUGAACAAAUAGGGCAUCUGUUCUUCAUUUCUUACCAAUAUGAUUUUAAAUUCAUAAAAAGUAGCAAUGUAUUAUCAUCACAAAUCAUACAAUGUUAUUAGUAAUAGUCAUUAAAGGAAAAGAAUCUCAAAUCAUACAAUGAUACCAGUACUAGCCAUUAAAGGAAAUAAAUAGAUAAAAUUAAAACUAUGGAAAAACUAUAUGUAGGAGGAUGAGACAGUUAAGGGAAAAACUUUUAACUAGGUAAAUAACUCACAGCUAAUGAGACCGAUCCUAGGAAAUACAAGCUAACCAAAAGGCCAACAAGGCCACCAUCAGAAAAACUAGCUAAAAACAAGAUCACCAAGGUUGCACAAAGCUCAAAGUGACAUUUAUAACAAGUCUACAAGCCGCAACAGAAAGAAAAUAGAAUCGCAAUAGAGAAAGGAAAUAGAAUUGCAAAUGAGACAGAACGAAGAAAAAUAAGAGGAAGACAAAGACAAAGAUAAGAAAAAUAAGAAAGUGUCAAAAUAGAGAAUUAGCGACACUAACCUUGAUCAGCCGCUUGUGGGGUAAGUAAGUUCUCUAUGUGAAGGAACGGACAAUGCUGCUAGUAUGUUAGGAUCAAUUAAUCAUACAUGCUGAAGUUGUGCAAUUACAUAUGCGAUAACUUCUAAUCGCAUAGUUCUGUAUUGUUAAUCAAUUUGUUUCUCCAUUUUUUACAUCUUUUCUUGCAUUUGUCGUACUACAUCUUUUGUGGCAUUUAAAGUUGGUUCACAGUUAGCAGAUUUUAUUUUCAAAGUAAUCUUUAUAACCUCCACUCCAUAUUGUCUUAGACGUCCCGAAUGUUCAGAACCCAUGAAGGCUGAAAAUGCAUCAACAAACUCACCAUUUGCGUCCAUUUGUCUUUCAAUUUACUCCAUUUCUGCCUAACAAUGCAUAUCCAAUAGCAUGUAAACUAAAUUUAGAACAAAUACUGACUCAAAAAAAUUAAAACAAAUAAUUGAUCUCAAGAAAAACUUGUAAAUAGAUGACACUCGUACAAUUUCACUAGUUGUAUUUUCAUUCGGGGCGGCCUUGUACAAACACCCGAGUUUCCUUGUCCUUGUGACCAUGAAGAUCUCCUUAGACGAUACAGUUUCCUUAUCUUUUUCCUAGUCACAUAAAAAUAAAUAUAAGAAAUAACUUAAAUAAUAGGUUAAGACUUAAUAAUAAAUAAUAGAACACACCAAUUUAUUACAGACUAAAGCAAAACUUUUUUUGCCAGAUAGGUGUGGGUUCAUCAGCUUUUUCCGAUUCUCAAUUUUUGUUUCAGACAUUUUUUGUGCUACAUAAUGUACUAGAUGAGGUCAGUGCUUCCUAUUUUCUAAUACCAAAACUUAAAACUUGAACACUACUAUACCAGCGUAAGAUAAGUUGAAUGCUAUAAUAGUCAUCUAGUAACUAAAGAAACAAUGGAUGGAUGCAGUUCAAGGAAAAAUAUUGUCCACAGAUACAAUUCCAAUCUACUUGGAGAAAAAUUUGACAAUAUUUAAUGGACACGGAAGAGUUUGACAAGUUAAUAUCAUAUGAAGCCAAAACCAAACUGAAGACCUUACUUUUGUUAGUUUCAAAGCUCAACUCAUAUUAUCUUUGAUCAUAAAUAAAAUCUGAGAAAGACCUUCAACUAUAAGAAAAUUAACCAAAAAAUUAGAAGUCAUAGAUAAAUUCAAUAAGUUUCAAAGCUAUGUGUUACCUUGUUCAUCAGAUUGUUCAUCUGUUGAAAGAGUGAUAGAAUUCAUUUGCACUUAAUUCUCUACAAGUCGCUCCUCUGGUGGCUGCUCCUCUGUAAAUUUUCUAUAUUCUUCAGAUUGGGGUGCAACAGGCUGCUUCUCAAUUAAUUUUAGAAGAUGCCCUUUCUUUGACUUUAUAGCUUGAACUAUUUUAUUUGUUUUCAAUAAUCCUCAUUUUUUAUUUGCGAAGAAUGAAAACGAUCCAGGUUUAUCAUGUCUUAUUUUUUUUCUAUUUCUUUUUGAAUGCUCUUGUUCACUCAUAACUAUUCAAAACUCGAGAGAGCAAGACCCAGGAGGUUCGCAACUACCACGGCCGUAAGAACUCCGCUCGUUCGUAAACAGUCUGGAAGAAUCCAUCUUUACUAAAACAUAAUCAUCAAGAUCUUACAAAUUACAUCUUCUUCGAGGUUAGAUAAUAAUACAAGUGAAAAAUCUAAAUCUAGAUAUUAAAAUCACUUAAACCAAAAGGCUUUCACUAGUAUUAUGUUUAAGUGAAAAACUUACCGUGCUUCGACUUGUAAUAAGAAAUAUAUCAUUAGCAGGUGAUAAUACAUAAUAAUACAUGUGAAAGUCUAAAUUCAGAUAUUAAUCUUUAUAGUUGGUCUAACGGAAACGUAUGUUUAUCUAUCAUACAAUCAUGAAAUGUACUUGAGAAUACAAAUACAUAACGUCUAAAGAUAAAAUAACUCAUAUAAAAGGAACAAUAUGAAAGGCUUAUCAGAUAUUAGGCAAAUAAGUUGAUAAAUAAGAAACAUGAAAGGCAAAGACAUUGGAGUGCAGGUCAUUCGAGGAAAGUGAACAACAGUAUACACUGUAUUAGUAGGAGGCAAUUUAAGAGGCAAAGUUUCAGCUAAAUACGGUGUUAUGAUAUACAACACAUGGAAGGUUAGGAACAUAAAGAAGUAUAUACUAGAGGAAAUUAUAUACUAGUUUAGUCAUUACACAGAUACAUAAAGAAGUAAAAGAGAGAAAAGGAGUAACUAGAGGAAAUUAUUUUUCAUGAUAUUAAGGUUGUAUUUCAACAUACAAUCUUAAAAGUUAUUUCUAUUUCAAUUCUAUACAUAUUUUUAUUCCCAAUUUGUGGAAUCUUGCAGCUACAACGUACAGUGUUGAGGAAUUUCAUAAUGGAAAUUGCCUCAAGGUUGCUUUUAUAUUCUUAACUAGGAAACGUUCUUUAUUAUAGCAAUUAUUUUGAAUGGAUUUUGGAGUAUACACCUCAAUUUUUUGUUGCAUUGCCUAACUACAUCUAUGUUGUAAGUUUCUGAUUUUAUAGAUAUAUUCUUUAAGCAUUUUAGGCUUAUGUAGAGUUAAAAAAAUUCUCAUUUGAAAUGUUUUAAUUAUUUUUUUGGUUUGUAGGCUCAACUUGAAACUGUUGUGUAGGCUUGCUGCAAUAUUGUUAUUUGAUAAAGCAACAAGACUAUUUAUGGUAUUAACUCUCAAAGGGAAUGUGAAAUUUUUAUCCCUUAAAGAACAUAGAUGUCGAAAACUUUUUUCUCAUCUGCCAUCGAUUUAUAGUAAUCACAAGGCUAUAAUGUGAAGAAACAAAUGCAUACAGUGCCGUUUGCCAAAACAUGAAAGGCUGGGUAGGAACAUGAAAAAUUCUCGAACACAUAAAUAGACAUACUAGUUUAAUCAUCACACAGAUACUAUAAAAAAGUAAAAGAGAGAACAGGAGUAAUAUGUUUCAACAUCCAGAAUCCAAUAAAAUGGAGUUUUCACCAAUUGUUUUACAUACAUUUGACAUCAGUUGAAAAAAAUAUUUUUUCAACUUAACAUAUCAUCUAUGACAAUAGCUAUAGCAGUCAUCUUUGGCAACAUUCAUGUGUUUAAUCAACAAUGAUACAAAAAUCAAAGUUCAGAACAAUAAUGUAAUGACCCUAAAGGUCAUUUUUGGAAAUUNNNNNNNNNNNNNNNNNNNNNNNNNNNNNNNNNNNNNNNNNNNNNNNNNNNNNNNNNNNNNNNNNNNNNNNNNNNNNNNNNNNNNNNNNNNNNNNNNNNNACACGUGCCAUCACAUCCGGAUUUGGGUUGUGACAAAUAACUUCAAACUUUCGACCAACAGUAAAUUUAACUUGACAUGAUAGAUAGACGAAACUCAAAAUACUAAAAACAUUGGGAGAAAAUCAACUACAAAUCAGAAUUUGUUUCAUAAAAAUGAAACUCAGCUUCACAAUGAUUUUUUUCUGAGCAUUAAAAUCAUCACCAAAUUUGAGAUACAAACUCUAAACUACAAAUAGAUAUCACACAGACCUAAACUAGAACAAAUAAUAUAGAUUUCAAGCAAACCCAAUUGUUAGACUUUAUGAUUUCUAAAAGACCUUAAAUAGAGUUUCUGAUUUUUUAAAAUAGUACAUGUAUAACAAAUUAGAGACAAUGAGGAAUUAGAAAUCACCUUAAAAUUAGUAUACCUUUACAUGCAGAAGUUUAAUGUGGAAGAAGACUACUGUUGGAGAAGAAUACCACUAUAGAUGAACACUUCACACCGGAGAAGAAGACUACUGUGGGAAGACUAGUGCGGUAGAAGAAAAAAAAUUCUUCACCGGAGAUCCAUGUUUGCUGUCGAAAAAGAAGUAGUCACCGGAGUUUUGAAAUUCUAGGGCUAAAGCAUUGUUGUUUAUUUUGAGACCUUAUUUCACUAAAAAAAUAAAAUAAUGCGGGUCUACUAAAUUAGUGGGGGAAAUGAAUUUUUGAGACAUAAAAUUUACGGGGACCAAAAAGUAUACUUUUCACUAAAACAAAUCAUUUUCAUAGAGUAUUUUAUAGCGACGGUUAACAUGUAUGUUGCAAUAGAAAGUUUGUAGCGAUGGUUAACAUGUAUGUUGCAAUAGAAAGUUUGUAGCGACGGUUGUGCGGAAGAUUGAUACGCUCAAAUUACACCUCCCUAAAGAAGUAUAAGCAAUUGUUAUCAAGUAAAGAACUCAAUUUGUAGGUUGGGGGUUGAUCCCACGAUGAAUAUGGUUUAGACUUAACUUUAACUUAUGAUUAUAUUCAUUUAGUCAAUGUAUUUAUGAGACAAGUAAGUAAGGGAGGGGGGGCGGGGUUGUGAAACAAAUAACUGAUUGAUUGUUAAGUAACAAGUGAGCAAGAUUCGAACUUUUGUUGUUAUCAAUGAGAGAGAGAAACUAGGGUGUAUGUGUUCCCUAUAAGCUAUUAACUCGGUAAUCCUAAUAAUAGUAAUCCCUUCCUAGUGUAUCACAUGCAAAGUAGUAAGUUAUGUAUCCCUAAGUGCUUGGUCCGCCAAAUAGGGAAUUUCACCCCGCACCUUGGUCCGGCUUCGUGUGUAUAAUUUACUAACCCUUACAUUUACAUUGGAUUAGACAUCACAUCAAUGUAUGACUUAGUUUUCACCCUCGCACCAACUGACAUUAGACUAUUAGAUAGUAUCACACUAAAUCUCCAUUGAUAAUUCUUUUCUUAUUAAGUAUCUCCUUGGUCCGGCAAGUAGCAACAAGGCGAGUUCUAACGCGUGCACUAGUUAAAAAGAUUUAUAAGCGAAAGAAUUACCAGUACAUGCAUCAAAACUAGUCAAGAAUUACUUAGUUAUUAUUCAUACGUUGUUAAUUGCUUAUGGUUCCCACAACCGUGGUUGUGGACUUAGCUACUCAUGCUUGAAAGAACACAAUUCAUAUUUGUAGAAGAAGAAUUCAUGAACUUACCUAUUGAGUAGAAGAAACCCGUAAUCUUCAAUUGAAAUUCAAAGCAAGAAUCUUGAUAAACCAAAAUUAGGAAAUCAAACUGUUAAAGUUUGCAAGUUAAUUACCAAGAAAAUACCAAGAACUAAAAUUAUACUAUGGUGUCUAUCCCCCAAAAAUGAGGUUUACAUGCCCUAUUUAUAUAAAAACAUGUCCUAAACAAAAAGGAAACGAAAUAAGAAAAUAAAUUUUUUUGAACACGACUUCAAUCGACGAUACUGACCUACAGACCGUGGACUGAACUCGGUCCGUAGGUCCCUUCCGUGGUUCAAGAUUAAGACAAUUUCUCAGAAGUUUUGGAACCUUCAACUCCCAGUUGCAAUCAACAGACGUCCAGUACGGACCGUGGGUCGAUCCACGGUCCGUAGGUCCUCUUCCGUGGCUCCACACUUAGAACUUUUCAUCCUGUACUGGAACUUCAACUCUCAGUGAUCAUUGACGGACGUGCAGGACGGUCCGUGGGUUGACCUAUGAUCCGUCACUCGCCUCUGUAGUUCCACACUUGAUCAGACUUUACAUAUGAGCACUCCAUGCCUACCCACUGAUGGACCGUGAUUGGACCUACGGUCUGUAGGUCACUUCCGUGGGUGGCAACUUCUGCAGAAUUUCAGUUGUAUCUCUCUCAACUUUGUCCAAGCCUAUUUCCUGUUAUUUUAGCACAAUAAACAUUAGUUCUAAUACAAAAUGACCCUAGACACACACAAAUCUUAAGCGAAAUGCAUUAAAAAUACUGUAAACUCACGGUAUAUCAAUACCCUCAACUUAAAUUCGUUGUUUGUCCUCAAGCAACACACUAAGACUCUAAACGACACUUGUAUAGAAGCAGACAUUCAAACAUAAGCAAUCACAUGACUUUCUAUCCCAACUCCCUUUUUGAGUGCAAAUCUUUUCUCUUAGACUCAACAAGCUAACUCAUGCGGAUCAAGAUAUGACAAAGAUCGACCAAUAGACACACAACAUACACUUUUUCACUAUCACCAAGGUACCAACUCUCCGACAAUGUAACUAGUGCCCUUACUUCAAACGAAAACCCUUUUUCCACACAAUGAAUAAGAUUUUGAGUACAAGGAUUCACUAAACACUCACGCUCAGAAGUAACUUCAAGUAUAGUUAGUGCUCAAUGCCAUAGGCUUGCCUUAUUUUCACUGCUUAGAUUCUCCAAACUAGUUGCUAGGAUCACUAUAGGACUUUCUUAGCUUGUAACGUAGGCUCAGGGUCAGGUGUGGUACAUUUGGGUACUUUUAAUUGACUUUCUGCCCUCCUUGACAUUACAUUGGCUUUUAACCUCUUUUCUACCUAUUUUUGACAUCCUUCCUUUUUAUCUUCUUUCCCUUGACUCUUUUCACCAUGGAUGUAACUUUUGACUUUGUAGCUCUUAUUUUUCACUUUCUUCUUUUUCUUUCACUUUAUUUUUUUCUUUAUUUUUCAGCACUUUUAUUUAUAUCUUUUUGCUUCUUUGGCACAAAGUCACAUCCUCUUCUAUCUUCUCCUUUUCUCUUUUCAUACCUAUUUUUCUUUCGGUUUUCUCUUUCAUAGCCACCCUCAACUUAUGGAUUUUCCAUUAGUUGAGGUGCACAUUAUCCGAUGUCAGACCAGGGCCAAGAUUGAGGUUACUUUUAGCAUUAGCCACCCUCAACUUAGGCUUUUGGCCUGAGUCAAGGUACACAUGUCCAAGGAGGGAUCAGGGCCAAAACACUUAUUUUAGGGAAGGUGAGUUAGGUGAAUCAAAAGAAAUAGUCAAUUUUAGGCUCAAUUAUUUGGAUCAAAGGGAACAUUGAUUUCAUUUGGUUGGACUCUUUUAGGCUUAUGUGGACUAAUUUGAACAAGGGCCUAUGAUCACUUCCCAACUUCUAGCCUAGAUACUCUUAGCAGGACCAACGGGGUAAGUUCUAGAUUGGCACAAACUGUCUAAACAAUCAACUUUCCUCACACACUCUUGGCACAUUGUUUCAUUAUCAGAUUACUCAGUUCAAGUUUUAGCUUAAGUCAUGAGAUCAAAUUGGUUCUUUAUCAUGUCAUACUCAGAGCCAACACAUUCAACUCAUUCUAGCCUACAUAUUUUAGCACAUAUCACAACUUUUGGACGGGUAUCAUUUUUCUCUCUUAAUUAUGCCAUCAUGCUUCAUUCUUUCUCAUGCUUCUACACAUACAACCCUAACAUAUGUCGGUUCAAUAGAAAUUAAAAAAAGUCUCUUGGGGGAAAAGAACACAAGCAAGAAAACCCCAAGAGAGGAUUAUGAGUUGGGUUACUCAGACUUCACCCUAUCACUCAUAAUCCAUUUACCCCACCCCCAACAAAAUAGAGUGAAUUAUCCCCAAUGCACAAAAAAUAAAGAAUAGAGGAACGGUGAAGCAAACCAGUGGCGCAUAGCACCGAAGACCUAUCCACAAGCGGGUGGGUUUGGUUUCUCGGAGCCCACUAGAUCAAAACUUGGGUCACCAUCAGUAGUGCCCACAUCUACCAUCUCAGCACCAUCAGUAGUGCUAGCAUCAACUCUCGCCUCACCAUCAGUAGUGCUCACGCCAACUCUCACUGCACCAUCAGUAGUGCUCAAGCGGCUAGAGGCACCAACACCUACCUCCCUAUCCCGCUGCUGCCACAACCUCUCAUCAAUAAUAGAUGCCCUUCGAGCCACCUCAGUCUCUUGGUGCUCCCUCUUACUAACUCUUCCAACCUCUGUAUCGUCAGAAGCUCGACGGAGCGGAGGCGCUUCCCAGCAUGAUGGGAAGCAGCAGGAGGUGGCAUCCAAUCCUCGAAUAGAGCAUCGAACACCGUAUUAUCAACGGGUGUAGUUGGGGCUUACUCAGGCUCAGUCUCUGGUGAAUCUAGGAGGGUGUCUAGAUCAGCCUGGAGACUAGCUAACUCCGUCCGGAAAGCAGACAUAUCUGUAGUGAGGGCUGGUCGCUUUAUAUACGCAACUCAAAUGCAUCAAGGCGAUGGUGAAUGACCUGAACCAUUUGGUCCAUCAUCUGCUCAAUCUGCUACUCAACCCUAGUCGUGAACUCCUCAAUCGCACGCUGCAUUCACGACCUCACAAGCUGAAGCAUGGUAGCCAUCUGAGCCUCCAAUUUCUGGACUCGAGCUAAGGGCAUGGAAACAUACCUCGAAGAGGGGGUGGCUCUAGAGGAGCUAGGGGCCUGACUGGCUGCUGGAGAAUGGGAAGCCAGGGCAUCCUCAGUAGUGGCUGGAGGGACCGGCUCCUGACCCUGCAUCUGCUCCACAUAUGCUACCAAGUCUGCUCUCAAUGGAAACACCUCAACCUCCCGCUCUCUGCGUGGUGCCGCCAUAUUUCAUCUCGAAUCAAGCCUAUAUCCAGGGUCUUGGUCGCCUGGAUCAACUUGUCGCAAUGCUAAACCGUCACUCCAACAUCCCUGCACAGCUGAAAAAUAAGGCAUGGGAAAGGGUAAGUGGUGGUGGCUUUGAAGUCCCUCUCGUGUAUCUCCGCAAUGAUUAUGUGGGCAAAAUCCAUCUCAAACCCUACAGCUAAGACUGCAACCAUGGCUGUGCGGUCCCAAGUAAGAACAUUGUUUGCCUGCGUAUGAGACACUCUGUUUCACACCAACAGCCAGAAGAAUUUGGCCACAAAAGUAAAGGUUGCCUUCCUGAUGCCUACACUCGGUGUGCUGACCCACUCGACGCGCUCUCUGUCUAUAGCAAGGUGACGGGACAACCAGCAUAAUAAAUUCUCCCUCUACUAUGUAUUCCUCUGGAAUUCCCCGCUCCUAACGAUGUCCCAGCGAUAAUCAAACUCGGUCUUGUUGAUCGCUAGAGUGUUGCCCGAACCAUAGAGGAAUUUGCGGAUGGCGGUCUCGGAUAUAUCGACCGCAAACCCACGCACUAGUGUAGAUGUAAGAGGAGGCUGGGCGGCGGGCUUGUCCCAUUUGUCAAUAGAACCUCGAAGGGUGGAUGCAUAGGAAGUGUAGAACUCCCUGACGAUCUCCUAACUGAAGGACCUUAGGCUACGGGCCAUCCACUUACACCUGUGCUGCUGGAAGAGAGCUUGGAUGUCAAGCAUAGCAUGAAGGCUACCUGUGAGCACCCGGCGCUCCUCGGUAACCAAUCGAGCCAUCUUAUCUUUCUCAUUCAGCAUCUUGGAGUCGCGGUAUAUCUACCACUGGCCACUCAAGCACCAUCUUUUGGGCUAUCCAAGAACUCAUGCAAGAUCGGUACUCUGAGGCACUGGAAUGUCAUAUGCACUAUGAGCCUCAGAGGAUGAGGCGUUGGCACUAUUAGAACUGGAGCUGAAUGCGGAGUUGGAGCUAGAGUCAGAAUCAGAGGCGGACUCAGAACCAAUCGGUGAACCGAUCAGUGUAUCCUCCUCAUCAGACUGGGAGGCAGUGACUAUGUUGGGAAUCACCUGCCGUGCUUGAUUCUGUGUGGUACGUGGUGCAGUAGGGGAUAUCCUAGUAGUGGGUGGGACAUAUGCAGAGUCAGUCUCCGCAUCAAUAUCUUGAUCAAGUAGCCAAAGGGUUGGUGCCACUGAUUUGGACUUGCCCCUUGUGAAGAAGACCGGAGCUUUCCUGGGAGCCAUGGUACCUGUGGAGACUUAGUUAGUACCAAAAUAAACCAAUGACACACUCGAAAAGAUUUUAGAACAAAAACAAAAACUGAAAAAUUAUGUACAGUAGCAUCAGUGACCACCUACGGUGGGUACCUAUGGUCCGUGGCUCCCCUCCGUAGGUCAGAGAUCCCAAAAAGUUGGGUCUCUGAUGGGAACCACGGAUGUGCAAAAUGGUCUGUAGGUUGACCUACGGACCGUAGUCCACCUUUGUGGUUCCUCACUUAGAGGAUUUUUCAUGUGCAACAGACCCACGGACCCGACCCACGGUCCAUCGAUUUACCUACGGUCCGUGGACAGGGUCUCGUGGGUCAGAUCUGUGACAUAUAUCUGACAUGCCUCAUUUUUAGACCAUUUUUUCAACAAUUCAAACAAUUAACCUAAAUGUAAUCAUGCAUUUCAACACAAUUUAUGAUAGUUUGUCAUCCCUAGGGUUCUGAUUUCUCGCUAUUUAACUUUGGUAGCAUACAAAGCUAGGAACCCUAAGUCGAAACUACCAUUUAGACUAUUUACCCUGAGUUAUUUGAUUACAACGACAACACAAUCACAUUCUAUCGUCCCAAGGGUGUUUCUAACUAUAGUUUAUCAUGCAAUUUCAUACAAAAACAAUCCAAGGUCAAGACCCACUUCGUGACUUCAUGUAUUGAACAAUGAAUACCGAAAUUCAGAGUUAAGGUGAAGUCGUUUGUUUACCUUACAAGUAUUGGAAUUGGGUGAUUGUGUGAUGCAAUAGACUCCUUAGACCUUUUUUGAACCUUUGACACCGAACCCCGACCUUGAACUCUUUGGUGAAGGGAAAAUGUGAUGAAUUUUGGUAGAGAGGAAUGGAGUAAUAGGAGAGGAGAAGAUAAUUAUGGGAAAGGAGAGUGAUUUAGGGGAUUUAUGAGGGAGUUUUGGGAUUUGGAGGGGUUAGAAACGGUUAGGAGGGAGUUUGGGUAAUGGGGGGUGUAUUUGAAUUAAAGAGUUUUUAUUAAAAGGGGGUCUGGGUCGGGUCGACAAAACCCUAACUUUGGACCCACGAAACCCCGUCUACGGGCCGUGGGUCGACCUACGGACCAUGGGUCAGGUUCAUAGGUACCUCAACACUUAGAAAAAAAUUAGGCUACUUACCUGGGAUCUACGAACGCCGUUCACGAUCCGUGGGUGGAACCACAGACCAUCGAUGGGGUCCGUAGACCUCUGUAACAGACAAUUUCUGCAGAUUUGGCUUUCAUCCCUGCACAUUUAGCAACCGUUAGGACGUUCUUUUUACAUUUUCUGGACACUUUUUAGACAUGGACCCUAUGCUAUAUCUAGCCAACACUAAUACAAAAAUAAAAUGCCAAUCUAAUGAAAUAAAGAAAACCAAUUAAACAAAGAAAACUCCUAAAUCGAAAAGAAAAACCUAUAGUUGGCUAGAUUGUACAUCUUGGGUUGCCUCCCAAGCAACGCUCGAUUUAACGUCACGGUACGAUGCAGGCCUCUUGUUUACUCAAACUUCAUCAAGGUAGUAGGCCUCAACCACUUUUUGCACACUCUCUUCUUUCCCCAUGUAGACCUUGAUCCUUUGCCCGUUCACCUUGAACCUUGUUCCUUCCUUGUUCUCGAGCUCGACCGCUCCAUGUGGGAACACUUGAGUGACUAUGAAUGACACGGUCCACUUGGACUUGAGCUUGCCAAGAAACAAGCGCAACCUAGAAUUGAAUAGAAGCACCAGAUCACCCACAACAAAUUCACGCUUUUCAAUCUUUUGAUCAUGAUACUUCUUCAUCUUUUCCUUGUACAAGGCUGAACUUUCAUAAGCUUUUAGGCGAAACUCAUCAAGCUCAUUCACGUCAUUCACUUUUUGACUCGAUGCGGCUCCCCAAUCCAAAUUCAACUUCUUCAGUGCCCACAUAACCUUAUGCUCUAGCUCUACCGGCAAAUGGCAAGACUUCCCUUAUACAAGUUGGUAGGGGGACAUACCUAUAGGAGUCUUGAAUGCGGUGUGAUAGGCCCAUAGAGCAUCAUCAAGCCUCCUUGACCAAUCGGUUCUAUUUGCAUUCACAGUCUUAGCAAGGAUUUGCUUUAUUUCUCUGUUGGACACUUCAACUUGCCCACUAGACUGCGGAUGGUAAGGAGUGGCUACAUUGUGGCGGACUCCAUAUUUCUCAAGCAAACCCUUUGAACAACUUAUUACUUAAGUGGGAACCUCCAUCGUUGAUAAUUUCCCUAGGUGUACCAAAUUUGGAGAAGAUAUUCUUUUUCAAGAAUGUGGUGACACUUUUACCUUCAUUGUUUGGAAGCGCAAUUGAUUCCACCCAUUUCGACACAUAAUCAACCGCAAUAAGAAUAUACUUCAUCUCAUGUGAACUAAAAAAUGGACCCAUAAAAUCAAUGCCCAUACAUCAAACAACUUAAUCACCAAAAUUGAUUCAUGGGUAGUUCUUGCCUCUUUGAAAUUCCUCCUUCUCUUUGGCAACGAUCACAAGACUUGGCGAAAUCAUGAGCAUAUUGGUGGAUGGAAGACCAGUAAUACCCAGACUGCAAAAUCUUAUGCGCAGUCCGAAUACCACUAUGAUGCCCACCAACAGGCGAAGAAUUACACGCCUCUAGUAUAGUCAUCAUCUCAACCUCGGGCACACAACGAAGAAUAAUCCCAUCAGCACAAAUACAGAACAAAUAAGGAUCAUCCCAAUAGAACUUCUUUACAUCAUGCAUAAACUUUUUUCUUUGGUGAAAAGACAAAUCUGAUGGAAUCAGAUCACUUGCCAAGUAGUUAGCAAAGUCUACGAACCAAGGAAUCAGACCAUGAGAAGCUGCCAAUACCUGUUCAUCUGGAAAAGCAUCAUCAAUUUCAGCCCCAUCUCCUAGCUUAAGCAUAGCUUCUUCCUCUAAUCUGGACAAGUGAUCGGCAACUUGAUUUUCGGUUCCCUUUCUGUCUUUCACCUCAAAGUCAAACUCUUGCAGUAACAAGACCCAUCUAAUCAAACUCGGUUUCGCAUCCUUCUUAGCCAUCAAAUACCUCAAUGCAGAAUGGUCAGUAUGCAUUAUGACCUUAGUACCAAGCUAGUAGGAUCAAAAUUUCUCGAAUGCGAAAACUACCACAAGUAUUUCAUGUUCCAUCACUGUAUAGUUAUUUUGAGCCACAUUUAGAGCUUUGUUGGCAUAGUAAAUAGGAUGAAGAAUCUUCUCUCGCUUCUGUCAGAAAACCACACCAAGCGUCACUCCACUUGCAUCGCACAUUACCUCAAACAGUUGUCCCCAAUCCGGUGAAAUAAUGNNNNNNNNNNNNNNNNNNNNNNNNNNNNNNNNNNNNNNNNNNNNNNNNNNNNNNNNNNNNNNNNNNNNNNNNNNNNNNNNNNNNNNNNNNNNNNNNNNNNNNNNNNNNNNNNNNNNNNNNNNNNNNNNNNNNNNNNNNNNNNNNNNNNNNNNNNNNNNNNNNNNNNNNNNNNNNNNNNNNNNNNNNNNNNNNNNNNNNNNNNNNNNNNNNNNNNNNNNNNNNNNNNNNNNNNNNNNNNNNNNNNNNNNNNNNNNNNNNNNNNNNNNNNNNNNNNNNNNNNNNNNNNNNNNNNNNNNNNNNNNNNNNNNNNNNNNNNNNNNNNNNNNNNNNNNNNNNNNNNNNNNNNNNNNNNNNNNNNNNNNNNNNNNNNNNNNNNNNNNNNNNNNNNNNNNNNNNNNNNNNNNNNNNNNNNNNNNNNNNNNNNNNNNNNNNNNNNNNNNNNNNNNNNNNNNNNNNNNNNNNNNNNNNNNNNNNNNNNNNNNNNNNNNNNNNNNNNNNNNNNNNNNNNNNNNNNNNNNNNNNNNNNNNNNNNNNNNNNNNNNNNNNNNNNNNNNNNNNNNNNNNNNNNNNNNNNNNNNNNNNNNNNNNNNNNNNNNNNNNNNNNNNNNNNNNNNNNNNNNNNNNNNNNNNNNNNNNNNNNNNNNNNNNNNNNNNNNNNNNNNNNNNNNNNNNNNNNNNNNNNNNNNNNNNNNNNNNNNNNNNNNNNNNNNNNNNNNNNNNNNNNNNNNNNNNNNNNNNNNNNNNNNNNNNNNNNNNNNNNNNNNNNNNNNNNNNNNNNNNNNNNNNNNNNNNNNNNNNNNNNNNNNNNNNNNNNNNNNNNNNNNNNNNNNNNNNNNNNNNNNNNNNNNNNNNNNNNNNNNNNNNNNNNNNNNNNNNNNNNNNNNNNNNNNNNNNNNNNNNNNNNNNNNNNNNNNNNNNNNNNNNNNNNNNNNNNNNNNNNNNNNNNNNNNNNNNNNNNNNNNNNNNNNNNNNNNNNNNNNNNNNNNNNNNNNNNNNNNNNNNNNNNNNNNNNNNNNNNNNNNNNNNNNNNNNNNNNNNNNNNNNNNNNNNNNNNNNNNNNNNNNNNNNNNNNNNNNNNNNNNNNNNNNNNNNNNNNNNNNNNNNNNNNNNNNNNNNNNNNNNNNNNNNNNNNNNNNNNNNNNNNNNNNNNNNNNNNNNNNNNNNNNNNNNNNNNNNNNNNNNNNNNNNNNNNNNNNNNNNNNNNNNNNNNNNNNNNNNNNNNNNNNNNNNNNNNNNNNNNNNNNNNNNNNNNNNNNNNNNNNNNNNNNNNNNNNNNNNNNNNNNNNNNNNNNNNNNNNNNNNNNNNNNNNNNNNNNNNNNNNNNNNNNNNNNNNNNNNNNNNNNNNNNNNNNNNNNNNNNNNNNNNNNNNNNNNNNNNNNNNNNNNNNNNNNNNNNNNNNNNNNNNNNNNNNNNNNNNNNNNNNNNNNNNNNNNNNNNNNNNNNNNNNNNNNNNNNNNNNNNNNNNNNNNNNNNNNNNNNNNNNNNNNNNNNNNNNNNNNNNNNNNNNNNNNNNNNNNNNNNNNNNNNNNNNNNNNNNNNNNNNNNNNNNNNNNNNNNNNNNNNNNNNNNNNNNNNNNCUCUUAGAGGCUUGCAGACUAGUGUGUGCGGUGUUUAGAUACGUUAUGGCCAUGUUGGCUUAGUUUGUUGGUUUGCUGAAGCUUGUUAGUUGUGUGAUGCAUUGUCUUGUUAUAUACAUGCUUUCAGUUUUGGUAUAGAGAUCAUGGUGGCCUUGACGGCCCAAUCAGGACUUCUGUGCUAGCUGACAAUUUCUUUAUAUGAACUCUUAGGAGUAGUUGUUUCUUUUGUAGAUCUGUUGACAGGGGCCUUGCCGGCCAAGGGCUUAGCUUUAAGCCGAGAUAUACUUGUUUGUUUUCUUAAAUGCAUGUGACUGCCAUGCGCUAGUAGCAAAUGGUUCGGCAGGGUCGGCUUGGGCCUGAGUUUUGGCCUUAGGAGCCAGUUACGCUCCUUGAGUUUGGGGUGUGACAGGUUGCCCCCAAUCCGGUGAAAUAAUGAUUGGUGCGGAAACUAGCUUUUCCUUCAACUCUCCAAAUGCUCUUAGAAAAUCAUCAUCAAAAUCAAACUUACACUCCUUUUCGAGCAAUUUGCACAAUGGGUGUGCAAUUUUGGAGAAAUCCUUGAUAUACCUCCUAUAAAAGCAUGCAUGCCCAAGAAAACUUCUAACACCUUUAACAGAGAUAAGUGGUGGAAGCUUUUCUAUUACCUCUAAUUUCUCUUUAUGAACCUCAAUACCCUUCUCAGAAAUCCGAUGACCAAGCAUGAUCACCUCUUUCACCAUGAAGUGGCACUUUUCCCAAUUGAGCACAAGAUUGCACUCUUCACACCGUUUAAGCACCUCAGCCAAAUGAUCCAAACAACCAUCAAAUGAAUCACUUACCACUGAGAAAUCAUCCAUAAAUACCUCAAUAGUGUCCUCCACCAUAUCAGAAAAUAUCAACAUCAUGCAACGCUGGAAGGUCGCUGGAGCUUUACACAACCCAAAUGGCAUCUGUUUGAAGGCGAAAGUCCUAUAAGGGCAAGUGAAGAUGGUCUUCUCUUGGUCUUCCGGAGCUAUGGAGAUCUGAUUGUAGCCCGAAUAACCAUAAAAAAGCAAUACCAACCCUUACCAGUAAGGCGGUCCAACAUCUGAUCCAUGAACGACAUAGGGAAGUGGUCAUUUUCUGUCCAAGCAUUUAAUUUCCAAUUGUCCAUGCAUACUCUCCAUCCAGUAACUGGCUGCAUCAGAACAAGCUUGUUUUUCGCAUUAGGUACCACAGUAAUCCCACCUUUCUUGGGCACACUGAACAUGACGCACCUAACUACUAUCUGCAAUGGGAUAAAUGACUCCAGCAUCCAACCACUUGAUGAUUUCCUUUUUCACUACCUCUUGCAUAGACGGAUUUAGUCUUCUUUGGUACUCGAUACUAAGCUUGUGAUCUGGCAUGAGUUGGAUUUUAUCAGAACAAAUGCCAAGAGGAAUCCCACUAAUGUCCUCAAUAGUCCACCCAAUUGCCCUCUUGAACCUUUUCAACACAGAAACUAAUGCCUCAACUUGCACCUCACUCAAAUCAGCCACAAUGAUGACUGGUAAAGUACUAUCUCUCCCAAGAAUACAUACGUCAAUGUGAUGGUAGAGCCUUAAGCUCCAAUCUUGGAGCCUCUUCAAAAGACGGUUUUGUGGUGGAGAGUUGCAAUUCUCCAUAUCUAGCUCCAAUUUCGUUGGCUUGGAAUGGAAUUCGAACCUAUCAAGUGCGGUGACCAAUUCAUCAUAGUCUUCAAUACCAUCACCCUCAAAAUUUAUCAUUACCGCUGCCAGUGCAUCAGCACCCAACCUCUCCUCAAUAGACACAUCAAAACCUCACUCCACAAUAUGAUUCACCACACACAUUGAUUUGAGAUCGCUUUCCUGCUUCAUGGACCUACACAUAUUAAAAGUUACCUCUUCACUGUUCAAUUAGAACUUCAUCUGCUCCUUCUCCAUAUCGACCAAGGCGCGCCCAGUAGCAAGGAAUGAUGUCCCUAAAAUGACGGGGACAUCAAAAUCAACUUCACAAUCUAGAAUCACAAAAUCCGCUGGAAAAAUAAACAACUCCACUUUCACAAGUACAUCUUGGAGAACACCAAUGGGCCUCUUCACAGUUCUAUUGGCCAUGAGUAUUUGCAUCGCAGUUAGUUUUGAAUCCCCUAAACCCAACUUCUUAUAAAUAGACAAUGGCAUCAGAUUAAUACUAGCACCCAAAUCACACAACAUCUUAGUAAAACGCAACAACCCGAUGGUACAUGGAAUAGUGAAGGCACCAGGAUCCUCCUUCUUCUGCACAAGUAACCUCGUAGCAAUAGCACUACAAUGUUGCAAUCUAUCAUCAUCUUUAAAGCUCACGACCCUCUUCUUCGUCACCAAAUCUUUCAUAAAUUUUGCAUACCCAGGCAUUUGCUCCAAAGCCUCUAUCAACGGAACAUUGAUGGAAAGUUGUUUCAACAUAGUAAUAAACUGCGGUAUUUCCCUUCUUCAUUCUUCUUUACCAACCACUGUAGGAAUGGAGGUGGAGGUCUAGGCAUGGGGAAAACUUUUUGGGUUAUCUCCGCUUCUUUCUCUGUAGCAUUCUUGGACUCUCCAGUUACCUCAAUCUCAUUAUCAUCUUUCUCAACUACAAUUUCAACCUCAGACGGCAUAAGUGGAUCAAUGGUCUGCUUACCCCCUCAAGUAGUGACUGCCAUACAAUGCCCAUCAUUCUUCAGAUUCUGGAUGGUGUUGCUAGGAAGUGUGCCAGGCUGACGUGGGUUGACUGUAGUGGACAAUUGAUUCAUCUGCUGCUCAAGUUGCUUGAUCAACACUGCAUGGGCAUCAACUUUUUGACCGAUUCCAGACAAUUCGUUUCGCAUCUCCUUCACAUUCUCAUCAGCGGAGUCAACCUCUUCAUCAUCUUCUGCAUCAUAUCCUCAAUUCGUCAUAUACUACCCCCAGCUUCCCUAUUGCCAGAUUCCCAAUUUUGUGGAGGAACAUAAGGCCUAAUUUUAUCCUUUCUAUUACCAUAGUUGUUCCAGUUGUAGUUGUUGUCACGAUUGUAGUUCCCAUCCGGACAUAUUGACCCUCUCGAUUGUAGUUGCCAUAGUUUUGACCUUGGUUUCCUUUCCCUUGGUGUCAAUUAUUCGAGUUGGAACCUUGGGCAUUGGCUCGGAAACCCCCCGUCUGAUCAUUCACCAAGUAAGCAUCCUCCUCUUAAUAACAUUCCUCUUUCGGUGGUGGUGGAGUCCUAGUCAAUUAAUUCACCGCAUUUACCUUUUCUGGACCUCCAUUUACAUGCUUCAAUACCAACCUAGGUUUUGUCCUUAUCUGCGCCAUCUCCUUACAAAUGUCAUCGGCAGAUUGCCUAGGUGCAGCUUGAACUGCAAAUGUGCUCAUUCCCGUGUCAGACUUUUGAGUGCUCCAUGCUUUAUUGUUUCAGGAAAUCUUCUCCAGUUUCUCAGCGAUCUUCUCAAAAGUGCACUCACCAUAUGAUCCUCCAACGACAUUAUCAAGAACUGAAGCACUGCCUUACCAUUGUCAUCUUGACCUCUGUAGAAGUACUCCUUCAGUGAUUCAUCAUCAAUGCAGUGGUUCGGAACACUUCUGAUGAAUGCAGUGAACCUGUCCCACAACUACUCAAAGACUCUCCAGGUAGUGCCACGAAGUUGUUGAGUUUAUCUUUGUGGUUCAAUUUCUUGACAACGGAAAGUACUUGGCCAUGAACACCUUGUGCAAUUGAUCCCAUGUAUGAAUAGAGUUGUACGGAAGCUCAGAAAACCAUACAACAACAUCACCGGUCAAUGAUAGAGGGAAGACUCUCAACCCUAUGAUGUUCAUAUCCAACUUUGAUUGCCCCACACAACUCUUACAAACACUCCUCAACUUGGCCAUGUGCCCAUGCGGAUCUUCCGAAGCCAUACCAGAAAACAAACCCCUCGUUGUAAGCAUCUGCAUCAAACUACUAGUCACUACGAAUUUGUGCCCCAGAGGUAGUGGAGGGAGAAAAAUAGGUCCUUCAGAUUCAACAGUAUUAAACUCGACCCUGUAGUUAUCUUGCAGCCUUGGUUCUGGCAGAUUUUUCACCCUUAAUGCAUCUCCAAGUAAGUUUUCGCCAUGAACCUACGCAUUUUCCUUAACAACCCCAGGAGGCUGCAACUAAACUCCAUCACCUAGAUUCCCACCGAUUAGAUUGAGUUGGACCCCUUGAUUAUUCAUCCUUCUCAAAGUUAUGUUCAACUCUGGAUCGUAUGGGGUCAAUGGUUCGCCUCGACUCCGUGUACUUGGCAUACAAUAGAGUAGAAACCUGUAAAAAACAAAAAACAAAAAUAAAAGUAAAAUUAGGAAAUAAUUGACUAAAGUUCAAUAAUGUAGUUAAACUUAAUCUAAAAGUCAAAAUUUGAUACGCUCAAAUUACACCUCCCUAAAGAAGCAUAAGCGAUCGUUAUCAAGUAAAGAACCCAACUUAUAGGUUGGGGUCGAUCCCACGAGGAACAUGAUUUAGACUUAACUUUAACUUACGAAUAUAUUCGUUUAGUCAACGUAUUUCCGAGACAAGUAAGUAAAGGGGCGGGGGGUUUGCAAAACAAAUAACUGAUUGAUUGUUAAGUAACAAGUGAGCAAGAUUCAAACUUUUGUUGUUAUCAAUGAUAGAGAGAAACUAGGGUGUAUGUGUUCCCUAUAAGCUAUUAACUCGAUAAUCUUAAUAAUAGUAAUCCCUUCCUAGUGUAUUACAUGCAAAGUGGUAAGUUAUGUAUCCCUAAGUGUUUGGUCCGCCAAAUAGGGAAUUUCACCCCGUACCUUGGUCCGGCUACUUGUGUAUAGUUUACUAACCCUUACCUUUACCUCGGAUUAGAUAUCACAUCAAUGUAUGGCUUAGUUUUCACCCUCACUCCAACUAACAUUAGACUAUUAGAUAGUAUCACACUAAAUCUUUGAUAAUUCUUUUCUUAUUAACUACCUCUUUGGUCCGGCAAGUAGCAACAAAGUGAGUUCUAACGCGUGCACUCGUUGAAAAGAUUUCUAAGCGAAAGAAUUACCAAUACAUGCAUCAACACUAGUCAAGAAUUACUUAGUUAUUAUUCAUACGUUGUUAAUUGCUCAUGGUUCCCACAACCGUAGUUGUGGAUUUAGCUACUCAUGCUUGAAAGAACACAAUUUAUAUUUGUAAAAGAAGAAUUCAUGAACUAACGUAUUGAGUAGAAGAAAGCCGUAAUCUCCAAUUGAAAUUCAAAGAAAGAAUAUUGAUAAACCGAAAUUAGGAAAUCAAAUUGCUAAAGUUUGCAAGUUAAUUCCCAAGAUAAUACCAAGAACUAAAAUUAUAUUAUGGUGUCUAACCCCCAAAAAUGAGGCUUACAUGCCCUAUUUAUAGAAAAACAUGUCCUAAAAAAGCAAAUGAAAUAAGGAAAUAAAAUUUUCUGGACGCGACUUCAAUCGAUGAUACUGACCUACGAACCGUGGACUGACCUACGGUCCGUAGGUCCCUUCAGUGGCUCAAAACUUAGACAAUUUCUCAGAAGUUUUGGAACCUUCAAAUCCCAUUUGCAAUCGAUGGACGUGCAGUACGGACCGUGGGUCGAUCCACGGUCUGUGGGUCCUCUUCCAUGGUUCUACACUUUGAACUUUCCAUCAUGUACUGGAACUUCAAUUCUCAGUGAUCAUUGACGGACGUGCAGGACAUCCCGUGGGUCAACAUAUGGUCCGUCACUCGCAUCCUUAGUUCCACACUUGGUCAAACUUUCCUACCCACUAAUGAAUUAUGACUGGACCUACGGUCCGUAGGUCACUUCCGUGGGUGGCAACUUCUGCAGAAUUUCAGUUGUAUCUCUCUCAACCUCAUCCAAGCCUAUUUCCUACAAUUUUAGCACAAUAAACAUUAGUUCUAAUACAAAAUGGCCCUAGACACACAAAACUUUAAGUGAAAUGUAUUAAAAAUACUGUAAACUCACCUUACAUCAAAGAUGCCAUGGUUUAUUUUAAGAAUUGUUCUAUUAGAUCUAAAUAUAUAUUGUAGCGAUUAUAAGCGUUGCAACAGAUAAUCUAGUGCCACAGUUGAAUAAGUGUUUCCAAAUAAGUGUUGCAGUAGGUCGAAUUUCUAGUAGUGACAACACAUUACAAAUAUGACCUUAAAAGUUUUCACUAAAAUAUUAUAUUCCCUCCAACAUUUUUAACUCUCCCUCCCAUUUUAUUAAGCAAAAAACAUAUUUCAUAAAACAUUAAAAUUUACGUUUCCCCCAAAUCAAAACUAAAGAACACGCUGAAUCCCCCAAAUCGAGCUAAGAGCUUUUCUCUCCGUCAAAUUUUCUCGUUGAAUCACUGAAGAACACGCUGAAUCACUGAAGAACUUCUCGCUGAAUCACUGAAGGUUUAUCAGGUAAUUCAUAAAACAUUAAGACUUUCUUUUCCCCCAAAUCAUAAAAACUACCCGUCAAUUUGAAGAACACGAUUUUCUCUCCAAGCUAAGUCUGAAGAACACGAUUUCCGUCAAACAUUCUCACAGAUUUCACGAUUUCUUGUUGAAGAGCUUAAGGUUACGCCUCACAGAUGAACACGCCUUACUAAAAUGCUUCACUUGAGGUGAUGAUGUCUUAAAGCUUCAUCACAUUGAAAGUAUUUUGUUGGAAUAGGGUUUAUCAGGUAAGAAAUUGUAUCUUUGAAAGUCAAAAUUUUAGCUUUAGGGUUUUGAUAUUUCUGUGUCUGCAGAUACAAUUUUUGUUAUUUUUUGGAAGUCUAACUCGUAGUUGUAUUACCCACAUACGUUAUGAUAUUCGCCUGGACAGUUCUGAAUGAGGCAUGCCUUACUCAGAAUAAUAUGAUGAGAAGGAAAAUUCAACUAUCCAUUAGAUGUAAUAUGUGUAAAAAGAAAAGCUGAAAAUGCUACCCAUCAUUUUCUACAUUGUGAAGUUGCCUUUGAUCUUUGGAGCAUGUUUAUGUGCAUUUCUGGCCUCAAAUGGGUCACUCCUAAAUCAUUAAGGAAAGCAUAUAGGUCUGGGUGUUUGUGGGAUGUUGAUAAAUCCAUCAAGAAUAUCUGGAAAAUAAUACUUGUUUGCAUUUUUUUGUAGCAUAUGGUUGAAAGAAAUAUGAGGUGUUUUGAUGGGGUUUCAACUCCCAUAGAUUCUUUAAAGGCCAAAUGUAUUUCUAGUUUAUUAAUCACUAACACCAUGUAUCAUCAUCAAUAUUUCAAUAUUUCUCUAAGUAAAAUAGCAACUACAAGUGUUAUUUUAUUCCUAUAACCAUAGUUUUUCCAUUUUGGAACUUUCUCCUGUUUUAUUCGAAAUCAGUUGAUGUCAUCCAGACAACUGAAUUCUAACAUUUGUCAAUAAUAAAAAAGGGUAAGUCAUAUUGAGUUGAGUUUCUAGCUCAAAUUAUGUACCAAGGUUGUAGUAAAAAAGGAUGUCCAUGUCCUUUCUAGACCUCUUUUGAUAUAUGUAUUUCAGUAUGUGUUCAUUCUAAUCACUGUAGCAUUUUUACAAGUAACUUAUGUGUAGAUAUCUUAUCUUUUAUUAUGAGUUACUGCUUAAAUUUGGUUUGCUGGAUGUUCUACUACUUUCCGGUUUCAGUGUUUGAAUUGUUUCUUUUAGAUAUUAUGCAGAAAGAUUCUAAUUUUAUAUAUAUAUUUUUUUUAUUUUAUAUUUUAUUUUAACUUUUAAUAUUCCACAUAGCCAUAAUUAUUUGGGUGCAUUGCCUGAUCUAAUGUAUUUUAUUGCCUUGGUGCACCAGAGAAUUGAUGAAGUGUAAGGUAAUGACAUUUAAUUCCAUAUUAAGACAUGCAACAAAUGUCCUCUUUUGUUGUAGGGUUAGCUGCAUGGUAGCUGUUAAUGACAUUGGUGCUUCAGCAAUCAGCUAUCAUUUUCUUGGGUUACCUAUUAAAGGUUAUUAUAUGUUAUCCUGAUAAUAAUCCUGCCCUUCUUACCCAUAUGUAUUACAGCUCUAAUUCCUAUUGCUCAGUUUUGAUGCAUGUAAAAUGUAUACCUUUAUUUUAUUUACUUCUUAAUUUUUCCUUUUCCCCCAAACCUGGAUGAGUUAAUGAUGAUUGAUUUGGAAGUUUAUGUCUAAUCUUUUUAAAGCUUAGGCGAGAUUCUACCUCCAACAUUUAUUUUGUUGACGUUCAUACGAUGGUGCCUUUUAGAAGAUUACGUCCAAAUAAUUCGUGUAACCAGAGCUGGUGGAAAGAUGAUGCUUCUAACAUACUGAAAAUCUUAUCCCACCAUAAAUUCAUGGAUUUUUGUAUGUUUCCCAUGUUGUAUUGAAUUUUUACUCUUAGCUUACAACCAAAAGGUUUUUUAAAGCUUAUAAAAACUUACCUCUCUUUUUUUCACAAGCUAGUAAGCUGGAUUUAAAUCUAGCUUUUUUUCUUUUGCAUCCUCACAGGGAUGACAGUUGGACACCAGUUGGUUUGUGUUGUAAACACCAACUCAAAUAUCUUUUUCCCUUCUAGUUUUUGAAAGUUGGAUUGUUAUGCCCUCUAUUUGAAACUAAGGAGCUGCUCUACAAUUUUUCAUUAAACUCUUUUCAUAAGUCAAAAAGUCCAUUACUAUUUAGAAUUUGGAGAAAAAUAAUGGUCACCUUUUAAUAAAUCUAAAGUUAUUAUAAGAAGAAAACUUCUUAAUUUCCUAGUUGCUAAUUUAUCUAGUUUUAGCACUUGAAAUUAUUUUUUAAUCUUUCUUGAUAUCUAUUGCGAUAUAAAGUUUUUGAGUAUUUGCAUAUAUUUUUUGGUCUUUGGAGGCUACACACUUUACAUCCCUGCAACUCAUAUAUGCACAAUUGGUUGCACUCAAGAAUCUAUUUGCAUUUGAUGUUUAUAUACAUGUUCCUUGCAUGAUGUGCUACAUUCAGUCUUAUUCCAAAAUCAAGUGCUUUGUUUCUGUCCAUCUUGAGUGGUCUAAAUUGAUUAUUAAGAUUAGAAUGCUCGUCACAUAAACUAAGUGCAGGUACACCUGAACAACUAAAACAACAACCAAGGCAAUAACAUUAGUUUUUGAGUUUGAUGUUCAUGAUCAAUUGAUCAUGUUGUUCAUUACUUAGUUGGUUGUAAAGGUGGAUCUGUUUAGGCAUGUACGUAUAUACUGUAGUGAAAAUAUUACCAUUAUGAUAGUUAUUUUUACCAUUUUAGUAGUUUAUCUAUUACUGAAUAUAUACAGUCAUUUUUAAAAAAAUCUCUUUUAUAAGUCUAGUCGCAAAUCUUUCAGGGUGCAAAUGGUGCAACACGAGAUGAGUUAUUGUUACAAAUUGAUGUAACUGUUAUGUUCAUGCAGGUAAAAGCACUUUGUGGUAGAUGGAUCCGUAUCACAUGGACAUAAAGGUCCAUCUUAUGGAGGCUUAUUUGUUAGACGGUCAUUAUUUUUUAUUAAUACGUACUAGAAUGGACACACAUUAGCUAAAUUUGAAUUGCUUACAGAUGGGCUAUAUGCAUACUUGUAUCUAUGGGGCUGAGAUAUACAUUUGAAUCGACAUAUAUGCAUACAUAAAUACAUUUCAUUAUGAUUUCUUUUGACUACUUUUGUGCACUCAUUGCUAAUUUGUUAGGUCUAACUAACAUUAUUAUAUUAUUCACAGCUCAAUCAGUCGUGUUUUCUCAGCCAUUACUAUAAUAUCAUAAAUUAUGUGGCUUGGGAGUUGGAAGGGGGUGAUGGUGCCAAGGGUAAACUUAAAUUCAUGCUCAAGAUUUUGUAUAAAUGUUAUGGCUUAUUUUCAUGUAGGGCAGCAAAGAUGGGCUUUGUCUACUCAAAAAGCUGGAAGCUGUAAGAAAGAAAAUGAAGUGUGUUAAUGAAUUAUAUGUGAUAGACGGUAGUGAUCACUCCUUCAAAAUGUGCAAAAAGCACUUGCAGUUGAUUGAGUCCACCCAAGAGGAAGCUGAAAAGCUUGUUGUUCAUGCUAUUGCAACUUUUGUUUCUAAUCAUGUGAAAGAGGGGUGAAGUACUUAAUGGUAAGAAACGGAUGAUAGUUUAAAAUAUUUUGUCCAGUUUGCGCAAAGAUGGUUCGUGAAUGCUUCCUUGAAGUAUACAGGUUUUAGAUCUGUUCCCUUUCACAGUUUGUGGAUGUCCAGGUUUUAGAUCAAUUUUGUGAAAUACUCCGUCUGUUUCAAUUUGUUUGUUUAUUUUCCUCUUUUUUCAUGCUUUCUUUGGUGCGACUGCUAUCCUGAAUUACAGGAUCCCUAUUUGGAUUUUUCUCCUUCUGCCCCCCCCCCCCCCGUUCUUUGGCCUAAAAUGGACUUAGAGUUGGCAUUGAUGUAUUGAUACAUUCCUAUGUGCGAUUGUGACUCUAUUUUGCGAGAAUUAGGUGUGUCAUCUUCCCUUUUUUCCACAUUGAGAUUGUUGUGAGGUGUUCUGCCAGGUGAGGGGAAGAAUCCCCAAUGUCUUAGCUUUGAGGAGUCUUGAUUUUGGUGCUUGGUUUGUGUUAUGUUCUUUUUCAUAUGGUGUGUAAAUAUUUAUUUGUAAGAGUUGCUGCAAUCUGCUAUAAUACAGUGAUGCCUGAACUCAACAAAUUUGCAGUCUGCAAUCUGGAACUGCUGCAAUCUGCUAUAAUACAGUGUUGCCUGAACUCAACAAAUCCAUUUUGUGCAUUAUGUAAUUAAAUGGUUUAGGUUACUCAUGGAAUGAUACAUUGCAGGAGCAGAAAGCCUCUUUAAAUCCUUAAACAUAUCAUUUUUAUCUACUUUUGACAAGUUUACAUUUUGACUAUCAUAAGAAUAUUGAUAAAGUCUUCUCUCUUAUUUAUCUUGUACCUUUGCUUAUUGGUGACUGCUUCUAAGUCAGAUUCUCCCGGAACACUUUAUAUUGUACUUGAUGCAUUCAUCUGAUUGGCUGUGUAUCGUAUGAGACCUUGUUAUACUGAGGUUCAAGAAAGUUUAUUGAACAUUUGCAGGUUGUAGAAUUCAUGUUCUUCCUAUGUGCUAGUCUCAUUGAUAUCAUUGUGACUAAGUUUGUCAUGUUCCAUUCUAAUGGAAAUGGUCUAUAUUUGAUUAAUCGAACUUCUAAUUACUCUUCAUUUGUUAUCUAAUUGUGGUAUAUGAGUGUUAUUUUUGCUAAGAUCAUAAUCUUGCUCAACUUAUCUUUGUCAAUGAAACUGAAGUUUCAUUAUGUUACCUCCUUUGAGUUGCUAUGUUUCAUCCUUUGAGUUGAUGUGAGGUGUUCUGCCAGGCGAGGGGAAGAAUCCCCAAUGUCUUAGCUUUGAGGAGUCUUGAUUUUGGUGCUUAGUUUGUGUAAAUAUUUAUUUGUAAGAGCUGAUGCAAUCUGCUAUAUAUAGUGCUGCCUGAACUCAACAAACACUACUAAAAAACUGUUAAAAAACGACGGAAGUAAAAGCUACGGACGGCGUCGCUCCAAAAAGCGACGCCAUUAGCCAUACUGUCUAUCGCUUUUUAAUUAAAAUAAUAUUUUUUUUAAAAGCGACGGACGGCAUCGCUUAGUCCGUCGCUUUUUUCGCGGAUUUUUGCUAAUUAAUUAUUUUAUAUAGAUAGCGACGCAGUCCGUCACUUUUUAUAAAAAAUAAUUAUUUAUUAAUUUAAAAAAAUCCACGCCGUCCGUCGCUUUUUAUUAAUUUGAAUUAUUUAAUUAUUUUUUAAAUUAGCGACGGAUAGCAUCUUNNNNNNNNNNNNNNNNNNNNNNNNNNNNNNNNNNNNNNNNNNNNNNNNNNNNNNNNNNNNNNNNNNNNNNNNNNNNNNNNNNNNNNNNNNNNNNNNNNNNNNNNNNNNNNNNNNNNNNNNNNNNNNNNNNNNNNNNNNNNNNNNNNNNNNNNNNNNNNNNNNNNNNNNNNNNNNNNNNNNNNNNNNNNNNNNNNNNNNNNNNNNNNNNNNNNNNNNNNNNNNNNNNNNNNNNNNNNNNNNNNNNNNNNNNNNNNNNNNNNNNNNNNNNNNNNNNNNNNNNNNNNNNNNNNNNNNNNNNNNNNNNNNNNNNNNNNNNNNNNNNNNNNNNNNNNNNNNNNNNNNNNNNNNNNNNNNNNNNNNNNNNNNNNNNNNNNNNNNNNNNNNNNNNNNNNNNNNNNNNNNNNNNNNNNNNNNNNNNNNNNNNNNNNNNNNNNNNUAUGUAUGUAUGUAUGUAUGUAUGUAUGUAUGUAUGUAUGUAUGUAUGUAUGUAUGUAUGUAUGUAUGUAUGUAUGUAUGUAUGUAUGUAUGUAUGUAUGUAUGUAUGUAUGUAUGUAUGUAUGUAUGUAUGUAUGUAUGUAUGUAUGUAUGUAUGUAUGUAUGUAUGUAUGUAUGUAUGUAUGUAUGUAUGUAUGUAUGUAUGUAUGUAUGUAUGUAUGUAUGUAUGUAUGUAUGUAUGUAUGUAUGUAUGUAUGUAUGUAUGUAUGUAUGUAUGUAUGUAUGUAUGUAUGUAUGUAUGUAUGUAUGUAUGUAUGUAUGUAUGUAUGUAUGUAUGUAUGUAUGUAUGUAUGUAUGUAUGUAUGUAUGUAUGUAUGUAUGUAUGUAUGUAUGUAUGUAUGUAUGUAUGUAUGUAUGUAUGUAUGUAUGUAUGUAUGUAUGUAUGUAUGUAUGUAUGUAUGUAUGUAUGUAUGUAUGUAUGUAUGUAUGUAUGUAUGUAUGUAUGUAUGUAUGUAUGUAUGUAUGUAUGUAUGUAUGUAUGUAUGUAUGUAUGUAUGUAUGUAUGUAUGUAUGUAUGUAUGUAUGUAUGUAUGUAUGUGUAUGUAAUUUUAAUUAAUAAAAUCAACCUCAAAAGGUGAGUUUAUAUUAAAAUAAAUUAAUAAAUACCGACCUCUUUAGGUCGGUAUAUUUAAAUAAUUAUUUUAUUUAGAUAAUAUCGACUUCACGAUGUCGGUAUGUUGACACCCAAUUUUGACCAACCUAUAACCGUUCGGAAGUGUUAUUCAGUUAAAUACGUAUUUUUUUAAAACUAUUUUGAGUUUAAAUUUUUAAUCAAUUUUGUCUAAAAAUUAUAUAUUUUAGUAUGCAUGCUUUAUAAAAUUAUAGUAAAUAUUAUUAAAAAUAUUUUUAAAAUUAUAAGUAAAACUCGAAAAAAUUAUUUUAUUCAAAUGUUUUAAAAUUUAAGUGAUUUUUAUUAUAUAAAAUGUUAUAAUAUUUGUAGUAUUUUAAUUGGAUAGCAUAUCUUUAAAUUUUCUCGAAAUCAUUUAAUUUUUAGCCCAUUUUGAUCUAAUCCCUUUCAAUUCUAGCUUUUUCCUUAUCCAAUUCAUUGCAAUUCUAGUCACCUCAAUCCAAUUUCGUUUUUCAAUUAUAGCCUCUUAUAUCAAUUUUAGUUGCAAUUUUAGCCAUUCAUUCAUUGCAAUUAUAACACUUGUCCAAAUCUUGAAAUAUUAGUUUAAAUCCGAACCGUCCAUCCUUUAAGUGAAUCCUAGAUCAAAUCCUAGCCGCUCAUCUUAACUAAUCCAAUGGCUCAGAUUAAAUCUACCUAACCUUCCUAUUUUUUUACCUAUAAAAAAGACCAAACCCUUUUUUGAAAUCUCAUUCUUUUCUUCUCUCUCUAGCAGCGCCGCAACCCCCUCCAUCAGUGAGAACUAGCGAGAGCUCCACCAUCGCCGUUGAGCUCUCCCUCUCGCUCCUCCCGUCGCCCUCCUCCCUUAGCUUUCCUCUUCUCAUCUCUUCUCUCCUUGGUCCCUCCCGUCUCUUCUCUCCGGCGAGAAUGGUGAGACAAAUGGCUGCCUCCCUCUCGUCUCUCCAAUCAGCGAAAUUUCACUGCUCUCUCUCUCCCUCAACUGCUCCGGCCAGCGAGCUCCAAGCAAUCAGCAUCAGCAGCCGGCGAGGAGAGCAAUAACAUCUCCGGCCAACAACAACCAGUGCGAGAGCCAGCUCCGACGAGCUACCGGCGAAACUGACCCCGACCUCGACCCACCACCCUUCUCCUUUAAUUCAAGGUUAGGGUUUCAUAAUAUUAUUUUAAUUUCUUUCAAUUUGAGUAUUGAAUCUGUUAAUUAGUGUAUUGAAUUCGUUUUUUAUUGAUUGUUAGUUUGAUUGAUUGUUAGUUAGUAAGUGAAUGAUUUAGGGUUUUUGAUUGUUAGUUUGAAUUAGGGAUUAUUUGAUUGUUAGUUUGUGCUUGUUGAUUGUGAAUUGAAAAUUUUAAUGUUGGGGUUAGUUUGAAUUAGGGUAUCUUAGGAUUUGUUUGAAAUUCAAUAUUUCUUGAGUUAAUUAGUUUGAUUUUGGAAUUGUAAGAUUAGAUUUAAUUAGGGUAUUUAAGGAGUUGUUUGAAUUUAGGAUUUUAGCACUAGUUAGAUUUUGGGAUUUUAGGUAGUUUGAAUUUGUGAUUUUAAGACUAGUUUGAAUUUUGAAUUUAGGACUAGUUUGAAUUAUUAUUGAGAUUUUAGGACUACUAAUAGUUUGAAUUUGGAGUUUUAGCAAUAUAGUUUUAUUUUUGAAUUCUAGGAGUACUUUCAAUUUGUGAUUUUAAGACUAGUUUGAAUUUGGAAUUUAGGACUAAUAGUUUGAAUUAUAUUUGAUAUUUUAGGACUAAUUAAUAGUUUGAAGUUGGGACACUAGCUAGCUAGUUUGAAUUUAGAAUUUUAGGGAUUUGAAUUACAACUUAAUUAGAACUUAUAAUUAAUUAUAACUUGAAUUUACUAUAAAUUGAACUUAAUUAGGAAUAUGAACUUGAAAUUAUAACUUGAACUUGGAACUAAUUAGCUUGAAUAUAUAACUAAUUAAGUUUAGAAAUUAGAUAUGAACUUGAAUUGAAACUUGAACUUAUUAAAACUUGAGAAUAUAUAUAUAUUAAAUAAGUUAAAUUAAUUAAUGUGGUUUAGUUGGUGGAUUUAGUGUUGUAUUAAGUCAAAACUAAACUAGUUAAAGUUGUUAAGUUGUUUAAAUAAGUUAAAUUAAUUAAUGUGGUUUAGUUGGUGGAUUUAGUGUUGUAUUAAGUCAAAACUAAACUAGUUAAAGUUGUUAAGUUGUUUAAAUAAGUUAAAUUAAUUAAUGUGGUUUAGUUGGUGGAUUUAGUGUUGUAUUAAGUGAAAGCUAAACUAGUUAAAGUUGUUAAGUUGUUUAAAUAAGUUAAAUUAAUUAAUGUGGUUUAGUUGGUGGAUUUAGUGUUGUAUUAAGUCAAAACUAAAUUUGUUAAAGUUGUUAAGUUGUUUAAAUAAGUUAAAUUAAUUAAUGUGGUUUAGUUGGUGGAUUUAGUGUUGUAUUAAGUCAAAACUAAAUUUGUUAAAGUUGUUAAGUUGUUUAAAUAAGUUAAAUUAAUUAAUGUGGUUUAGUUGGUGGAUUUAGUGUUGUAUUAAGUCAAAACUAAAUUUGUUAAAGUUGUUAAGUUGUUUAAAUAAGUUAAAUUAAUUAAUGUGGUUUAGUUGGUGGAUUUAGUGUUGUAUUAAGUCAAAACUAAAUUUGUUAAAGUUGUUAAGUUGUUUAAAUAAGUUAAAUUAAUUAAUGUGGUUUAGUUGGUGGAUUUAGUGUUGUAUUAAGUCAAAACUAAAUUUGUUAAAGUUGUUAAGUUGUUUAAAUAAGUUAAAUUAAUUAAUGUGGUUUAGUUGGUGGAUUUAGUGUUGUAUUAAGUCAAAACUAAAUUUGUUAAAGUUGUUAAGUUGUUUAAAUAAGUUAAAUUAAUUAAUGUGGUUUAGUUGGUGGAUUUAGUGUUGUAUUAAGUCAAAACUAAAUUUGUUAAAGUUGUUAAGUUGUUUAAAUAAGUUAAAUUAAUUAAUGUGGUUUAGUUGGUGGAUUUAGUGUUGUAUUAAGUCAAAACUAAACUAGUUAAAGUUGUUAAGUUGUUUAAAUAAGUUAAAUUAAUUAAUGUGGUUUAGUUGGUGGAUUUAGUGUUGUAUUAAGUCAAAACUAAACUAGUUAAAGUUGUUAAGUUGUUUAAAUAAGUUAAAUUAAUUAAUGUGGUUUAGUUGGUGGAUUUAGUGUUGUAUUAAGUCAAAACUAAACUAGUUAAAGUUGUUAAGUUGUUUAAAUAAGUUAAAUUAAUUAAUGUGGUUUAGUUGGUGGAUUUAGUGUUGUAUUAAGUCAAAACUAAACUAGUUAAAGUUGUUAAGUUGUUUAAAUAAGUUAAAUUAAUUAAUGUGGUUUAGUUGGUGGAUUUAGUGUUGUAUUAAGUCAAAACUAAACUAGUUAAAGUUGUUAAGUUGUUUAAAUAAGUUAAAUUAAUUAAUGUGGUUUAGUUGGUGGAUUUAGUGUUGUAUUAAGUCAAAACUAAACUAGUUAAAGUUGUUAAGUUGUUUAAAUAAGUUAAAUUAAUUAAUGUGGUUUAGUUGGUGGAUUUAGUGUUGUAUUAAGUCAAAACUAAACUAGUUAAAGUUGUUAAGUUGUUUAAAUAAGUUAAAUUAAUUAAUGUGGUUUAGUUGGUGGAUUUAGUGUUGUAUUAAGUCAAAACUAAACUAGUUCAAGAGUUAAAGUUGUUUAAAUAAGUUAAAUUAAUUAAUGUGGUUUAGUUGGUGGAUUUAGUGUUGUAUUAAGUCAAAACUAAACUAGUUAAAGUUGUUAAGUUGUUUAAAUAAGUUAAAUUAAUUAAUGUGGUUUAGUUGGUGGAUUUAGUGUUGUAUUAAGUCAAAACUAAACUAGUUAAAGUUGUUAAGUUGUUUAAAUAAGUUAAAUUAAUUAAUGUGGUUUAGUUGGUGGAUUUAGUGUUGUAUUAAGUCAAAACUAAACUAGUUAAAGUUGUUAAGUUGUUUAAAUAAGUUAAAUUAAUUAAUGUGGUUUAGUUGGUGGAUUUAGUGUUGUAUUAAGUCAAAACUAAACUAGUUAAAGUUGUUAAGUUGUUUAAAUAAGUUAAAUUAAUUAAUGUGGUUUAGUUGGUGGAUUUAGUGUUGUAUUAAGUCAAAACUAAACUAGUUAAAGUUGUUAAGUUGUUUAAAUAAGUUAAAUUAAUUAAUGUGGUUUAGUUGGUGGAUUUAGUGUUGUAUUAAGUCAAAACUAAACUAGUUAAAGUUGUUAAGUUGUUUAAAUAAGUUAAAUUAAUUAAUGUGGUUUAGUUGGUGGAUUUAGUGUUGUAUUAAGUCAAAACUAAACUAGUUAAAGUUGUUAAGUUGUUUAAAUAAGUUAAAUUAAUUAAUGUGGUUUAGUUGGUGGAUUUAGUGUUGUAUUAAGUCAAAACUAAACUAGUUAAAGUUGUUAAGUUGUUUAAAUAAGUUAAAUUAAUUAAUGUGGUUUAGUUGGUGGAUUUAGUGUUGUAUUAAGUCAAAACUAAACUAGUUAAAGUUGUUAAGUUGUUUAAAUAAGUUAAAUUAAUUAAUGUGGUUUAGUUGGUGGAUUUAGUGUUGUAUUAAGUCAAAACUAAACUAGUUAAAGUUGUUAAGUUGUUUAAAUAAGUUAAAUUAAUUAAUGUGGUUUAGUUGGUGGAUUUAGUGUUGUAUUAAGUCAAAACUAAACUAGUUAAAGUUGUUAAGUUGUUUAAAUAAGUUAAAUUAAUUAAUGUGGUUUAGUUGGUGGAUUUAGUGUUGUAUUAAGUCAAAACUAAACUAGUUCAAGAGUUAAAGUUGUUUAAAUAGGUUAAAUUAAUUAAUGUGGUUUAGUUGGUGGAUUUAGUGUUGUAUUAAGUGAAAGCUAAACUAGUUAAAGUUGUUAAGUUGUUUAAAUAAGUUAAAAUAAAUAUUGUGGUUUAGUUGGUGGAUUUAGUUGUUGUAUUUAGUCAAAACUAAACUAGUUAAAGUUGUUAAGUUGUUUAAAUAAGUUAAAAUAAAUAUUGUGGUUUAGUUGGUGGAUUUAGUUGUUGUAUUUAGUCAAAACUAAACUAGUUAAAGUUGUUAAGUUGUUUAAAUAAGUUAAAAUAAAUAUUGUGGUUUAGUUGGUGGAUUUAGUUGUUGUAUUUAGUCAAAACUAAACUAGUUAAAGUUGUUAAGUUGUUUAAAUAAGUUAAAUUAAUUAAUGUGGUUUAGUUGGUGGAUUUAGUUGUUGUAUUUAGUCAAAACUAAACUAGUUAAAGUUGUUAAGUUGUUUACUUUCUCUAAAUUAAAUAAUGUGGUUUUGUUGAUGGAUUUAGUUGUUGGAAUUAAUUCAAAACUAAACUAGUUCAAGUUAAAAAGUUGUUAAGUUGUUUAAAUAAGCUAAAAUAAAUAAUGUGGUUUAGUUGGUGGAUUUAGUUGUUUUAUUAAGUCAAAACUAAACUAGAUAAAGUUGUUAUGUUGUUUAAAUAAGUUAAAAUAAAUAAUGUGAUUUAGUUGGUGGAUUUAGUUGUUGGAAUUAAGUCAAUACUAAACUAGUUAAAGUUAUGAAGUUGUUAAGUUGUUUAAAUACGUUAAAUUAAAUAAUGUGGAUUUGUUGAUGGAUUUAGUUGUUGGGAUUAUUUCAAAACUAAACUAGUUCAAGUUAAAAUGUUGUUAAGUUGUUUAAAUAAGUUAAAAUAAAUAAUGUGGGUUAGUUAGUGAAUUUAGUUGUUGGAAUUAAGUCAAAACUAAACUAGUUAAAGUGAAAAAGUUGUUAAGUUGUUUGAAUAAGUUAAAAUAAAUGUUGUGGGUUAGUUAGUGAAUUUAGUUGUUGGAAUUAAGUCAAAACUAAACUAGUUAAAGUUGUUAAGUUGUUUAAAUAAGUUAAAUUAAUUAAUGUGGUUUAGUUGGUGGAUUUAGUGUUGUAUUAAGUCAAAACUAAACUAGUUAAAGAGUUAAAGUUGUUUAAAUAAGUUAAAUUAAUUAAUGUGGUUUAGUUGGUGGAUUUAGUGUUGUAUUAAGUCAAAACUAAACUAGUUAAAGAGUUAAAGUUGUUUAAAUAAGUUAAAUUAAUUAAUGUGGUUUAGUUGGUGGAUUUAGUGUUGUAUUAAGUCAAAACUAAACUAGUUAAAGAGUUAAAGUUGUUUAAAUAAGUUAAAUUAAUUAAUGUGGUUUAGUUGGUGGAUUUAGUGUUGUAUUAAGUCAAAACUAAACUAGUUAAAGAGUUAAAGUUGUUUAAAUAAGUUAAAUUAAUUAAUGUGGUUUAGUUGGUGGAUUUAGUGUUGUAUUAAGUCAAAACUAAACUAGUUAAAGAGUUAAAGUUGUUUAAAUAAGUUAAAUUAAUUAAUGUGGUUUAGUUGGUGGAUUUAGUGUUGUAUUUUACUUUCAAAAAUAUUGCAGGAAAAGCGACGGACAGCGUGGUUUUGUCCAUCACUUUUCUGGUUUUUUUUUUUUUUAAAUCCCAGAAAAGCGACGGACAGCGUGGUAUUGUCCAUCGCUUUUUUGGGUUUUAUUUUUUUUAAAAUCCCAAAAAAGUGACGGACAUCGUGAUUUUUUCCGUCGCUUUUUUGGGUUUUAUUUUUUUUUAAAUCUCAGAAAAGCGACGGAUAGCAUGGUUUUGUCAGUCGCUUUUCAGGGAUUUUCAAAAAUAAAAUUUCCAGAAAAGCGACGAACUGCGUCACUUUUUAGAAAUAAAAAAAAUUAAAAUUAAAAUAAAGCGACAGAGUCCGUCGCUUUUGUUAAAAAAAAAUAGUCAAAAAGCUAUGUUGUCCGUCGCUUUUUGAAAAGCGUCGGGGUAAAAAGCGAUGGAGGAGACUACGUCGCUUUUGACCAAAAAUGCGACGCAGUUCGUCGUUUUUUGAUAUUUUUUUAGUAGUGAAAUCUUCAGUCUGCAAUCUGCAAUCUGCAACUGCUACAAUCGAUUUUAUACAGUGCCCAACAGAACUUCUUGCCUCCAAUCUGCAAUCUGCAAUCUGCUGCACUCAAACAAAACUUCUUGCCUCUUCUAUAAAUGAAUGUUGUACAUGGUUUGUUUUGAUUUUUAAUUUCAUUUUAAAUGUGUAGGGAAAUGGAGGUGAUCAAAUUGAAGGUCGCCACAAGUCAAUUUGAUCUCAUUGAAGUUGAUAAUGAAGAAUUUUUGAACUAUUGUAAAAGUUUGAAUACAUUAUAUUUAGAUUUUUGUGAAAUAUAUUCAUUGCUAGAAUAUAUUGAACUAUUGUAAGAGUACUUUUUGAACUAUUGUGUACACAUAUUUAGAAUAUUGCUUUAUAAGUAUCUGUAUGUACAGAAGACAUACUAUCUUUUAGAGUUUAUUGCAAAUUUAUAUAUUUGAAUUACUUAUUAGCUAAUUUAAUGCUUGAGAUUAUUUAUUGCAAAAUAAUAUUGGUGUUUUUUAAUUAGAAAUUGUGGCAUAUAAAUAUUUUAUAGCCAAAAUAAUAUUACCACACUUAAAAAUGUAGCUAUAGGACUGUAAAUUGUGGUAUGAAUUGAUAUGCUCAAAUUACACCUCCAUAAAGAACUAUAAGCGAUCGUUAUCAAGUAUGUUAUCAUACAUUAGAUAGAAAAGGCCACACUUUAAAAUCGUGGACAAUAAGGAAGCAAAGGCAACGCUUGAAAGUUGAAAGUGUAGUUCUAUAAGAUAGAAAUGUUGCUAUAUGAGGUAUUACAAAAUGUGGCCUUUUUGCCUUUUAGGCUACGCUUUUAAGCAUAGAUAAUAAGACAACACUUGAAAAGUGUCGCCUAAACUCUAAGGUUACGCUUCUUUCGGCCACCCCUGGAAAAGCGUGGCUUAAAGUCCAAAAGUGUGGCCUUUUAUCAAAGGCCACACUUUUUCAUAGUUUAGGCCACACUUUUCUAGGGUGAUUGUAGACAUAAAAUGUUGUAAUGUCUUAUUUUACUUUAAUUUUAUAACAAAAUAAUAAUUUUGCAAACUCUCUUAACUUAUUGUUUUAAUUUUUUUUUUGUCACGUUCCACCCUUUGAUUCUUGCAAAAAGCAACUGUUACAAAAUAUAUUUAAAAAUUUAAAAUAGUGAGAACAAAUACUCUUAAUUAAUAAGUCGACUAAAGACAAGUGUGUUGCGUGUAUGGUCCAUACAGAUGAUAAUGAAAGAAAAACUAAUGGACGAAAAAAUAGCCGAAAUCGCUGAAGAAAACUAAGGAUGUACUCCCUCCGUUUAUUUUUACGUGUCAACUAUUUUAAAAAUAUAUUUUUAUUUUUAAUAUAUUAAUUUUUAAUUUUUCAUAUCUUUAGCAUUUAUUACUUAUUUUAUAAAAAAAAAUUCAAGAUCUAAAAUUAAAUGUCAAUAUUAUUAUGUGUAAAAUACUAAUUGAAUCAUUGUAUUUAAAGCUACAUGUAAAAUUUAAAGUGGCGAGUAAAUAUAGACAUAGGAAAAUUAGUUAUCGAUAAAAAAUGUUUAUGAUUUAGAUAAAAAUUGAUCUGAAUAAAAAAAUAAAACCAAACCAAUUAAAUAAAUCUAUUUUUAUUUGAUUUGGUUUGAUUUUACAUUUUAAAAAAUCAAUAAUAUUUCGUUCGAUUUUGAUUUUGUUUAAAAAAAACAGAAGAAAUAAUCGAAUCAAAUUGGAAAUUUAUAAACAAUUUUUUAAAAUAAUUAAAUACGUAAUUACAUUUUAUAAAUAAUUCUUUAAGCGAAGCAUUCUCAUUUUUUAAAAAAAAUAAGGUAUGAUAAUACUUCUUUUAUUUCUGUAGCAAUAUUGAUAGCUUAUGCUUUAUCCAGAAAUUUAUGUUAUUUUAUACAUUGAAUUAAGAAAAAAUAUAAGGAGAAAGUUAAACAUAAUUGAAAUUUUGAUAUAAAAUUUAUAAGAUUCAAAAUGACACGAUGACAAUUUUUUUUUGUUUUGAAUAGAUUGUUAUCUUUUUUGAAUGAAUCAUUUUUGUUUAUUUUUAUGUAAACCAAAUCGAAUUGAAACAAAUAACAACCAAAUCAAUAAAUAAAUAUUAUAUUUACUUUGAAUAGUUUCAAAUCUAAUUAAAUUAAUAAUCCAUCCAAAUCCAACCGUAAACCUUCUUAAAGUCAAAUUAGUCUCAUUUAUCACGUGGUAACACGUAGCUAUUUGUUUGUGGGGACGCCAUCUUCUUUUUGUACAUUCUCCUUUUUCAAGUGUGCGUUUCGUGUUCAAAGCUCAACUAAUUAAAAACGUGGCUUUGCAAUACCCAAAAAACUCAUCUUGUAUAUAUUCAUUCAAACUCUCCUAUCUUCUUUCAUUAAUUCUCUCUCUUAUAUAUCUCAACUGAAUAAAUAAAUCUUCUAUUAUCACUAAAAAAAACAACUUGUUUGUUGAUUAUUCUUUUCUCCCAAUUAAUUGAAGAAAAUGAGAAGAAAUUGUAAUUUGGAGCUCACUCUUAUGCCUCCUUCUAUUUUAGAUAGUUUUUCUUCUAAGAAUUGUACAAUGUAAGUCAUUCUCCCUCUUUUAUACUUCUUGUAAUAAGUAAUGUUUAUAAGGUAUUUGAUUAUAUGUUUUUAUUCACUAUUAGGGAGGAUCAACAAUUGGAGAAUAAGCAAUCACAACAGCUAACUAUAUUUUACAAUGGAAAAUUUGUGGUUUCCGAUGCUACUGAGCUUUAGGUACAUAAGAUAGUCAACCAAUUAAGCUUUUAAGAUUCUCAUCAAGUAUAUGAAUUUAGUUUAAAAGAUGCAUUUUUUAUUGAUUAUAAUAAUUAAUUUAAUGAGUUAUUUUGUUAUGCAGGCUAAAGCUAUAAUAUAUCUUGCAAGUAGAGGAAUGAAGGAGAAAACAAACAAGAUGUCAGAGCCAUCAUCACCAUUAUUACAACCUCAAACUGGUUUAUUCAUGAAGCGAUCUCUACAAGGAUUUCUACAGAAACGAAAAAUAGAGUUCAAGCAACUUCGCCAUAUCACCACUAGCUGCGACUGAUGAACUUCGUAUUAGUUUUAGUUCCAUUUGUUCAUACAUUUUUAUUUUUGGUGUUACUAAUAUGAUAGAUUUUUCCUAUAAGUGAAUUUAGCAAGUGUAUCACUUAUUUUACUGAUUUGUCAAUACAAAAAAUUCUCAAUUUCUCUCAUUACCUUCAUGUGUGGUGAUCAGAACUUGGUUUUUCCUCUCUCCGAACACAUGCACUUUGGCAAAAAUGAAAAUGAAGGAAGGAUUGAGAUGAUGAAAUUAAGUUUCCUUAUAUAUAAGAUAUUGU